AAGUCUUUCAUCAUGACAUUGUUCGAAGUCAUUUUGAUGGAUACGCGUGGAUCUGCGUUUCGCAAGAUUUUAAGCGGAAGGAUAUUUGGCAAAAGUUAUUGCAAGACCUUAGACCACAUGAUAAGGGCAUCGAACAUAUGAAUGAGAAUACACUCCAGGCUGAGCUCUUUCACUUGUUGGAGACGUCUAAAUAUUUAAUUGUCAUGGAUGAUGUAUGGAAAAAAGAAGAUUGGGAUGCAAUAAAAGACGUUUUCCCCCAAGAAAGAAGAGGUGAGCUCUCUUAUUGUACAUACAUUACUUAAGAACUCCCCAUAACCACAUUUCAUAAAUGCCUUUUGAGUCCCUGAGAUGAAAGGAAAUACAAUUGCAGGUUGGAAGAUGAUUCUUACUUCACGCGAUGAAGGUGUUGGUUUGCAUGCAGACCCAACAUGUUUUCCUUUUAGACCAAAACCACUUACUCCCGAAGAAAGUUGGAAGCUAUGUGAGAGCAUAGCAUUCCCUAGAAAAGAGAUAACGGGUAAUGUUUUUAUAUAAGAAUCAUAUGAAUCCAGAAUCCUUAAGGCCAGUAAUUUCUUACGGCCGGGACAUCUUAUCAAAAAUCUUGUGUAUUAAUUCCUAAAUCCGCAUGACAUAUAUUAUUACAUAUACCUUUGAGAAACAAUAUACCAUCAAUACUAUUAAAACAGAAGACCUUUUUUUGAGGUGCUCUUCUGUUUCAACAAUAUUUUCAGAUCUUUGCCACUGAAAUAUUUAAAACUUAUGAUUUUAAUUAAAUUCUGAAUUUUCUUUUAUUUAUACAACAGAAAAUCUAAUAAUGAAUCAACACGUUAUUAAAGUAAACCGACUUAUUUAAUAUUUUACCAAAAAAAAAAAGUAAACCGACUUACCCAACGAACGUAAACCAACCAACAUACUUAACAAUAAAAUAAAGUGUUAUGCUGGUUCAAUCCAUCGAAGUAUAAAUUAUAAACUACAUGAUUCUAUAUACUUAACACGUCUUUAACUUGAUAUCAAGUAUAUAAACAAACAAUUUACAGCAUUUCAAUUCCUAUAGGAUACCGGUUCAAAUGUUCUAUAGAAAACUAAAUCGACGUUGGUAUGAAUUAAAUCAUCCAAUAUAUCACACUUAAAGAAACGAAUAUAUAAACAAUAAAUAUUAAAUAUAUGAACAAAAUAGGUGUGGGAAUAUUCAUUAAGAACAGUUAAUAUUUUCCUAAUUGAAUGGUCGAUAAGAUAUUUAUAAUAAUCAUAUUUUUCAUAGCAAUCAAUUAAAUGCAUCAGUUUCGGAAUGCUAAAUAACAAUACCUUUCUUUUUAAAAAUAAAAUUAGAAAGAUCUUCCUAACUAAAUAAUUAAGUCGACAGCAAAAAAAAAUUAUACAUGAACAAAAUGACUAAUCCUAUUAGAAAAAAUAAAUGAAUUUAUAAGGGUUUGAGAUUUAAAAAGUGUCGGUUAAAAAAGAGACGGGUUCAAAUACAUGACAGAUUUAUUUAUUGUAAAAUAUUAUUUUUAAAAACAAUUAAUUAUAAACUUUCUGAAUAUUUUUUUUUUAAAUUCACCUUUCGUAUUGAAAUAUAAAUAUUCUAAAAAAAAUUGUUUUAUCAUGUAAUCUAAGAAAUAUGUCAUUACAAAUAUGUUCUUUACAAUUUCAUUUAUGAUAAUAAUGUGAAAUCUUUUUUUUCAAUAAUGUAUUUUUUCCUAUUAUAAAAAAUAUUAAUAAAAUAUUUUAAUAUUUUUAAUAAUAUAGUUAUUUGAAUUCAGAAUUAUUAUUAACAAUAUUAAAAUUAUUAUGAUCUAUAUACAUAUUUUUAUUUUAUAAUAUUAUGUCCGGAAAUUUAACAAAAAAUGAUUAAUCCUUGCGGACUAACAUUUUUAUGUGUAAGCAUUCAGUAAAAAAAAAUUAUUUAGAACUAAAUUACAAACAAUUAAAAAAAUGAUCUAAACGGAUUUGAAAUUUAAAAGGUCAAGAAAAGGUUUAAACAUGAUAAAUUUAUCUAUUUUAAAUUUUAUGACAAAGUGGUAUAGACAUUUUUAGAAGUGGGUGUUCGGACUACCAUUCGGGUUUGGUUCGGGUCUAUUCGGAUUUUGGGUUUUCAGGGUACGAUAUUUAAGCCCCAUUUGGAUUUUUAUAAAUUUUGUUUCGGGUUCGGUUUAGAUCUUUGCGGGUUCGGAUAACCCGUUUAAAUUAUUUUAAAUUUUUUAAAAUUGUAUAUACUUUAAAUUUCUUAAAAUCUAAAAAAUAAAAUAAUAUAUAACAUAAAAUUUUGAGUAAUGUAUGCCAAGAUACCUAAACCUAACAUAAAAAUUGGUUUGCAUUGCUUAUUUGGUUAGGUAAUCAAUAUAUAUUAAGUUGGUGUUUUAAGUAUAGUUUAGCUACAUUAGAUAUUUACUGACUAUUUCUUUAAAUUUUCAAACAUUUUGGACAACUUCAAAAUAUUCUAUACAUUUUGGAAGUUAAAUAUAAAAUAGCUAAUAUAUUCAAGUAUAUAAAUCUAAUUCGGAUAUAUUCGGAUACUCGAAAUAUUUUUGUUCCGGUUCUUUAGAUACCAAAAUUUUAAACAUGUUCACAUAUCUAACAAGUUUCGACUCAGGUUCAGUACUACUUUCUCGUAUCAUAUUCAUUUCAGUUCUUCGGAUUCGAAUUUUUUGCCCAACCCUAAAAUUUUUAAGAAUUUUGACAACAUAAAAUGUUCCAGGCUUCAAAACGUGUCGGUAAAAAAGGAGACGGGUUUAAACAUGACAGAUUUAUCUACAUGAAAUAAUAUUUAUUAAAAUUUUAAUUAUAAACUUUCUGUAUUUUUUAAUUAAAAUCCAUCUUUCUUGUUGAAACGUAAAUAUUAUAUUAAACCUUUUUAUCAUGUAAUAUAUGUCAUUUCGAAUAUUUCUCUUUAGAAUUUCAUUUAUGCGAAUAAUGUGAAAUCUAUUUCUAACCAAUUUAGUUAUACCAUUUUUAUAUUUUUAAUAAUAUAUGUUUUUCCUAUUAUAAAAUUAAAUCUUAAUACUUUUAAUAAUAUAUUUAUUUGCAUUUGAAAUUAUUAUUAAUAAUAUUUCAAUUAUUAUAAUCUAUAUGCGUCUUUCAUUUUAUAAUAUUAUUUUUGAUAAAUAAACAAAAAUGAUCAAUCUUUGUUUACUAACAUUUUUAUACAUAUUUUUUCAGUAAAACAUAUUUUUAUACAGAACUAAAUAGUUAAUUCUAUUAAAAAAAAGGAUCAAAACGGGUCUGAAAUUUAAAACGAAUCGGUCAAAAAUGAGACGAAUCUAAAUAUGAGAAAUUAACCUAUUUGAACUCCCGAAAAAAAGAUUUAUCUAUUUUAACAUUUGUGACUAAGUGACAUAGAUAUUUUCUUGGUUUUUCACGACGUAAAAAUCCUGCGCUUUAAAAGCGCGGGUCAAAAUCUAGUCUAAACUAUUAAAACAGAAGUACAAAAUUAAACUAACCCUUAAACUUACACAAUAUUUACAAUAGAAUGCCACUGCAGUAUUUAAUAAACCUAACAAUAGAUAUUCUUUGUCUUUCAUGUUUUAUUAAUGCAUUUUCCUAAAUUAAUUUUUAACUAAAAACAUGGCAACAAUAAUUUAAGCAAAUCUAAACAAUAAGGAAUAUCAAAACAUGAAUCAGUUGAGACAAUUUUUUUCACGAAAAAGAUGAUUAAUUAGUUUGUACUUUUAUUAUCAUAUCAUGAAUCAGUUGUAAUUUAAAAUCCAAUUUUUAUAUAUAUAUUUAUACUAUAAUGUAAAAAAAAUGACGUAAUAAGUGAAAAAAUCAUUUUAACCACACGAGAUCAACAUAUGAACAAUAAGAAAACAUAUACAAACAUCGUCCAUUUGUUCAAUGAAUAUUAUAUCUUUUUAAUGCUCUUCAUAUACUCAAUAUAAUCAAAAUAUCUAUUUUAAUAUAUCUAUAUUAUUAAAACUGAGGUAAGUAUUAGAAUUUUUUUUUUCAUUCUAAUAACUACAUGCGCUACCUAAUUAAUAAUUAUUAAUUAAUUGACAACAAAUCAUUUAUUUUGUUAGAUUUUUUGCUAUCCAAACUUCAAACUUAAUUCAUUAACUACAAAUCAUUUAUUUUUUUAAAUUCUUUUCUAACCAAACGUACGAAACUUACGAUUAUUUUCUAACUGGAUUAUUCUGUAACCAAAUUUUACAAUAAAACUAAAAAAAUUUAUUUAAAAUGUAUCUACAAACUUUAAAUGUUAUAGAUAUAUUCAUAUAUAUCAUUAUUUUAUUUCACAUGCAAAAUAUAAACUAUAGAUAUUUUUAUAAAGUUAUUUUCAAAAUAUAUAUUAAAUAAUUUGAUGAUUAAUACAAUUCACAAAUAUAAAUUUAAUUAUAAGAAUACAAUAAAUAAAUUUCAAUUUAAUAUUUUCUCAAAAAUGAAAAUAAAAGUGAAAUUUAUUUGGCAUAUAAAAAAAAUUUAGAGACAUAUAUAUCUAUGUUAUUAAAACAUGAUACAUUUAAUUUUUAAAAUAUAAAUUUAUUAAUAUAUAUAUAAACAUAAUAAUUGGUACUCUAAUUUAGAAAUAAAUACAUCAAAAUGGUUACUGUAGUCAAAAAUAUAAAUCGACAAAUAUAUUAUAUAAUAUAUUUUUAAUUUGUUUUGUAUUCUACCAUAAUAUGAGAAAUCAACAAAUUACACACAGUAAAAAUAGUCCAUUUAUCACAAUUACAAAUCGAAUAAAUACCAUAUGAAUGUAUAUAUCUACAACUAUUAUAUUUUGUAUUGUAAAAAAAAUUAUAUUUCUAUUUUGUUAAUUAAACACCCGUGCGGAUGCACGGGUCAAACUCUAGUUUGAUUUAUUUCAUAUGUCAUCACCAAUGUUUUAAAAACCAGAUCGGACAUUGACUCGGCAUUGUACCUGGGUAAACGGUCGGCUCGGUCCAACCCGGUUCAAGCGGCUUUUAAAUUUUAAUCAAAUUUUAAAUUAAAUAACUAUAUAUAUAUAUAUAUAUAUAUGUAUAAUCAAUUUAAUUUUAUAAACCUUUCUAUCAUUGUUAAUAUAAAAAAUCAUAUGAAAAUAAAAUGCAACUUCAAAAAUAAUAUAAAACUAUAGUUAAAGUAAUUUAUUUAGAUAAAUAUUAAAAAAAAUAUGAAUUUUUAUGAAAUCUUUUUUAAAAUUGCAAAUUUUAUUUUUAAACUUGAAUUUGAGAAAAUCUCAUAAUUUCAUAAUUGAAAAAUAUUGUUUAAAAUCAGUUUAAAAUUGCAUUAUUUAAACAUAACUUAACAUUUAAAAGUUUUACGUAAACACAAGUUCAAUUAAAGCUACUUAAUUUUUUAUAAAACUUUAUUGUAAAUAACAUGUUUGGUUUUCUGUUGUGAAAGCAACACUAAGUAUAAAUUGCAUGCACCAUUAAAUAUUGAUUCUGGCAGAGUAACAAACGUUACAGAUACUAAAGUUUUAGCUAGCUCUAUUCAAAUAUGAAAGAAUUUCUAUACCAAAAACGAUGUGUGUUUUUUACUGAGAAAAACAUAAUUUUUUUUACUGAGAAAAACAUAAUUUUCUUGAAUAAAGUAGAAUCUUAAAUAUUGAAAUAUUUAUGUUGAUAGUUCAAAUUUCUUCUUAUAUUAAAUUACAUAUAAAUCUGAUAUUGAUAUAUUUAUAUUAAAGAUAUUGUCUUUUUAUAUUAAAUUUAUUUUUUAGUUAUAUAAAAAGAAAAUCGUUUUUAUUAAAUUACAUGUUUUAUAUUUAUUAAAGAUAUUUCCUUUUUGAUGAUAAAGUGAUUUUGAAACAAAUAUUUAAAUGUUUAUUAAAAUAUUGAUAGUGGUAUUUUAACAAUAAAAUUUAUUUAUUAAGGUUAUCACUGUAAUUAACCAUUCUAAGAAUCAACGUGAGUGCGACACGUAGAAAACUGACUUAUCAUAUACUAUUAUAGAGAUAAAGUACUAUUAUGGAGAUAAAGUACUAUUAUGUUCUACACAACUUUAUAUAAUUUUGCUUAUUUGUCAUAUUUUUAAUGAUUUUGACUGAUGAAUCAUCAAUUUAGAUUUAUACUAUUAUUUAAAAUUUUAUCUUAUUUAGUCAUCAAUUAUUUAUUUAAUCUUAAUUUUAAAAUAGAAUUAAACUAAUAUUUAAAAUUAAUUAAUGUAAUCAAAUAAUAAAAUCUAAAAACUGACAAAAAUUUAUUUUAAAUAAAAUUUAAAUUUAAAAAAAUAUUACUCUAAACAUAGUGCAGAAAAAUACCUAAUACAAACUUCAUAUUGUAAGUGAACAUAAAUGUUCAAGACAAAAAAAAAGUGGUAGUAAUAGCAAAAAGUAUAAAUACAAAGUAAACUAUAAAAGGGGCCAUCAUAAAAACUAACAAUUCUUCAAUAGUUAUAAGUUAGAAAAUAUAUAUAGAUUCUUUUAACUUAUAAAAUUAAUUAUUUAUUAAUGGUAUCAACGUUUUUAACCGAUCUGACUUUUAAGGUGAGAGCUAAUAAAAAAAAUUAAAUCAUUUUGCAAAUAAUAAUAUAGAUAUAUUAUAUUUUAACAUUUAAAAGACACACAUAUUAUUUCGAGGCUCUAAUCUUAUAGUACGGUUUUCAGAAUUAAAUGUUGAUGAAGAACUAGAAGCCAUGGGUAAGAAAAUGGUCACAUAUUGUGGAGGACUACCAUUAGCCGUUAAAGUGCUGGGAGGCUUGUUAGCUAAUAAAAACAUGGUUGAAGAGUGGAAAAGAGUAGAUGACAAUAUUCAAACUCAGAUAGUUCGCAUAGAUGACAACAGUCAAGAUUCGGUUUACCGAGUAUUGUCUAUGAGCUAUGAAGAUUUGCCCAUGCAGUUAAAGCAUUGCUUCCUAUACCUAGCUCAUUUUCCCGAAGAUGACAAGAUACAAGUACGGAUAUUGUAUAAUCUUUGGGAAGCAGAAGGAAUAAUAACGUCAAGUUGCGAUGGAGAAACCACUAGGAAAAUUGGAGAAGAAUACAUAGACGAGCUAGUAAGGAGAAAUAUGGUUAUUGCAGUAAAAGAUGAUUUGAGUUGCAAAUGGAAGUAUUGUCAAAUGCAUGACAUGAUGAGAGAAGUAUGUUUAUAUAAAGCCAAAGAAGAGAACUUUCUUCAGUUUAUCGAAGUACCUACUUCUUCCACCUCUACCAUCAAUGCGCAUACUCCUACCAGAGCUCGCAGACUCGUAGUACACGGUGAUGGUAAUGCAUUUGAUAUGCUGGGACGUAAAAACAAUCAAAAAGCUAGAUCUGUUUUGGGUUUUGGACUCGACAGCAACUUGUGGAAGCAGUCAGGUCAAGGAUUACGAAAUUUACAACUACUUAGGGUCUUAGAUCUGAAUUUACAAACACAUGAUAGCGACUCUAGAGGAGGGAGAAUACCAUCCAGCAUUGGAAAGCUCAUUCAUUUGAGAUAUUUGAGCUUACACAUGGGUCGUGCAACUCAUGUACCUUCUUCUUUACGGAAUCUAAAGCUUCUAAUCUGUUUGAGCAUUUACUCCGAGGGAAGAGUUCAUCUGCCAAGUAUCUUUAAAGAGAUGGUAGAGUUAAGGUCCCUGAUGCUUCCCCGUUAUAUUGACGCUAAAACAAAGUUGGAAUUGGGUAAUCUACUGAACCUAGAGUACUUGGUCGGCUUCCGACUUGAAUACGGUAGCAUCACAGACUUCCUCCGAAUGAAAAAGCUCAGGACUCUCGAGAUAUUUCUCAAAGGCAGGUAUACUUCUGAAAUUCUUGCGUCAUCUCUCUGUGAAUUAACAAACCUGGAGACGCUUAAAUUGAUCAAUGUGAACGGAUACGAUGAGGCUUAUGAUUUGGAUUUCGUUUGGAAUUUCAUUCAUCUAAGGCAUUUAGAGCUGGACAUACAUAUAACAAGGCUUCCUGAUCACUCUCGAUUUCCUCCCCACCUUGCACACAUAUCUCUAUGUGACUGUAAAAUGGAGGAGGAUCCACUGCAGAUUCUGCAAAAGUUGCUUCAUUUAAAGUCGGUUGAAUUAUCAUAUAGUACUUUCGUGGGGAGGAAGAUGGUGUGUUCAAAAGGUGGAUUCCCUCAGUUAUGUAAGCUACAAAUACGGUUCCUGCACAACUUGGAAGAGUGGAUAGUCGAAGAAGGGUCGAUGCCAUGUCUUCGUACCUUGUCUAUUCGGUAUUGUAAGAAGUUGAAGGAGCUACCGGAAGGGCUCAAGUAUAUAACUUAUUUAAAGGAACUGGAUAUCAGACAUAACAACAAGGAGUGGAAGAAGAAACUCGCACCAGGUGGGGAAAGUUAUCACAAAGUCAAACACAUUCCUAGUGUUCAAUUAAACUAUCGUGGCAAUUAAUAAGGAGAAUAAAACUGUCUCAGGUAUAUAUUCUUUUUGGUAUAAUGUCAAUAUUGUUCAUUUUGUUGGUUAUGUAUCCUCCUUGAAGUUUAGUGUGAGUCUCAACUCUCUGUUAUUCGGUUUUCAGGUGAACCUACUCAGGAUCAGUACCCACCACUAUCGAUUGUGUGAUAUGAUAAUAAGUCGUUUUUGUUGUAUGAAGUUUACAUAUCUUGUUUGUGAUAUAUUUCGUUUAUCUGUUUGCAUGCUCAUUCACUGUAAUACUAAGUUUGAAAUAUAUUUUGUAUGUUGAACCAUAUCUUCUUCGAUGUCUCCGUUGUGUGUGCUUAGUUGAUUUUCAUAGUCGGAACUGGAGAUAGAACGAUGGUUUUAUCAUGACAAAACGCAAGAACAACAACACAUAUAAAUUAGAUAUGUUGUAACAACUAUUUAAAAAAUUGAAUGAUGGAAACCCCAAAUUUGUUUAAAGAAAAUGAUGUUGAUAGUGGUUUUUGAAAAAAAAAAAGGGAUUAUGAUGAACAAUAACAAUGAAAACUCAUUGUAAACACGCUUUAGAGAGCCAAACAAAUAAAUCAAUUCUAAGAUUUUUGGUGGAAAGGUAAUUUAAGAGGAGAUGGAAAACGAUAACAGGAAUGAGUCUUUAAAAACACACAUAUAUAUAGAUUGAUAAAGGAUGCUUCAUCUAAGAGUUGUAUUGUUUUGAGAUGGAGACUAUUCGGUGAAAAGAUGCAACGCACCGCAGUUUUGUUUUUUUAUAUCAUUAAAUUCAAUCAAAUAUGACUGUUGGACUUAAAACCUUUUUUCUUUUAAAAAGUGACGAUAUCACCAGUUUUGGUAUGCUAUUAUAUAUAUAAUUUUUUUAUAAUGAAAAUAUACAAUUUUAAAAAUUAAUAAUAUUCAGAUUGUUAUGAAAAUAUACAAUUUAUAUAAUGAACAGACACAAUUUUUCAAACUAAUACAUUUCAGUUUUUUUUUAUGAAACAACACAACCAAAGUAGUUAUUUUGAAAAGACACAACUAUUUCGAUUUUUAGAAAAGAUACAACUUUUCAACAUAAGUAAGAUUCAUAACCUUUGAAAUUAAUCAGGAUUGCUAUUAUUAGUAGAUAAAAUAUUUGAUUUUAUCAUAUAUAUAUAUAUAUUAACAGUGGCGGUUCUACUAAGCUCAAGAAGGUGGCACUUGCCCCCUAUAAAAUCAUUAAAUUCUUUUUAACUUACCCAAAAUUUUGUUACAUACGUUUACUGAAAAUCAUGUUUUAUUUAUAUAGUUGUAUUUACAUAUGAUUUGCCCCCAGUAAAAUUUUGUUCUACAUCCGCCCCUGUAUAUUAAUUAACUUUUAGAAAUCCGACAUUUAUAUUUUUUUGUUACACUAUUUGGUGUAUACAAAAUAUGUUUUAUAGAAUUUAAAAUGUAUUUUUAUAUAUAAUUUUACGAAAUAUUAUCAAAAUAUAUUGAAAUGUUAAGAAAAAAUAGAAAUGAACUUCAUUUGUGAAUAUAAAACAAAUAAUACAAUGUUUAAUGUUUGUACUUUAUGUGUUUAUUAAUUAUAGAAUUUUUACUGCAUAUUGUUAUAAAUAUAUAUAUAUAUUUUAAAAACAUUUGAAAAGACUAAACACACUAUUAUUUCAAGACUCUGAUCUUAUAACGUGUGUUACUAUUUUCAGAAUUUGAUGUUGAUGAGGAACUAGAAGCCAUGGGUAAGGAAAUGGUGGCAUAUUGUGGAGGACUACCAUUAGCCAUUAAAGUGUUGGGAGGCUUGUUAGCUAAUAAAACCAUGGUUGAAGAGUGGAAAAGAGUAGAUGACAAUAUUCAAACUCAGAUAGUUCGCAUAGAUGACAAAAGUCAAGAUUCUGUUUACCGAGUAUUGUCUAUGAGCUAUGAAGAUUUGCCAAUGCAGUUAAAGCAUUGCUUCCUAUACCUAGCUCAUUUUCCCGAAGAUGACAAGAUACAAGUACGGAUAUUGUAUAAUCUUUGGGAAGCAGAAGGAAUAAUAACGUCAAGUUGCGAUGGAGAAACCACUAGGAAAAUUGGAGAAGAAUACAAUAGACGAGCUAGUAAGGAGAAAUAUGGUUAUUGCAGUAAAAGAUGAUUUGAGUUGCAAAUGGAAGUAUUGUCAAAUGCAUGACAUGAUGAGAGAAGUAUGUUUAUAUAAAGCCAAAGAAGAGAACUUUCUUCAGUUUAUCGAAGUCCCUACUUCUUCCAUCUCCACCAUCAAUGCUCAUACUCCUACCAGAUAUCGCAGACUCGUAGUACACGGUGGUGGUAAUGCAUUUGAUAUGCUGGGAAGUAAAAACAAUCAAAAAGCUAGAUCUGUUUUGGGGUUUGGACUCGACAGCAACUUGUGGAAGCAGUCAGCUCAAGGACUCAGAAAUUUACAAUCACUUAGGGUCUUAGAUCUGAGUUUAGAUUAUAAAAACGACUCUAAAGGAGGGAGAAUACCUUCGAGCAUUGGAAAACUCAUUCAUUUGAGAUAUUUGAGCUUAGACAUGGGUUGGGCAACUCAUGUACCUUCUUCUUUACGGAAUCUAAAGCUUCUAAUCUAUUUGAGAAUUUCCUCCUGGGGACUGGAAAGAGUUCAUCUGCCAAGUAUCUUUAACGAGAUGGUACAGUUGAGGGUCCUGAUUCUUCCCCGUUCUUUUGAGGCUAAAACAAAGUUGGAAUUGGGUAAUCUCGUGAACCUGGAGUACCUGAUCGGCUUCCGAUCAGAAUACGGUAGCAUCACAGACUUCCUCCGGAUGAAAAAGCUCAGGACUCUCGAGACCUGGAGAAGCUUACAUUGAUCAAUGAGAACAACAAAUCCGAUGGGGUUUAUGAUUUGGAUUUCGUUUGGAAUUUCAUUAAGCUAAGGCAUUUAGUGAUAUGGAUGCAUAUGCCAAGGCUUCCUGAUCACUCUCGAUUGCCUCCCAACCUUGCACACAUAUCUCUAACUAACUGUGAAAUGGAGGAGGAUCCACUGCAGAUUCUGCAAAAGUUGCUUCAUUUAAAGUCGGUUGAAUUACAUCAAAGAUCUUUCGUGGGGAGGAAGGUGGAUUCCCUCAAUUAUGUAAGCUAGACAUAUGGUACCUAGACGACUGGGAAGAGUGGAUAGUCGAAGAAGGGUCGAUGCCAUGUCUUCGUACCUUGUCUAUUCGGUUCUGUGACAAGUUGAAGGAGCUACCGGAAGGGCUCAAGUAUAUCACUUCUUUAAAGGAACUGGUUAUCACACAUCAGAACAAGGAGUGGAAGACAAAACUCGUACCAGGUGGGGAAAGUUAUUACAAAGUCCAACACAUUCCAAGUGUUCAAUUAAACUAUCUUGGCCACGAAUAAGGAGAACAAAACUGUCUCAGGUAUAUAUUAUUUUUGGUAUAAUGUCAAUAUUGUUCAUUUUGUUUGUUAUAUAUCCUCCUUGGAGUUUUGUGUGAAAGUAUGAACUCUCUGUUAUUCGGUUUUCAGGUGAACCUACUCAGGAUCAGUACCCACCACUACCGAUUGUGUGAUAUGAUAAUAAGUCGUUUUUGUUGUAUUGGUGUAUGAAGUUUACAUAUCUUGUUUGUGAUAUAUUCCGUUUUAUCUAUUUGCAUGCUCAUUCACUGUAAUGCUAAGUUUGAAAUACAUCUGCAUGUUGAACCAUAUCUUCUUCGCUGUCUCCGUUGUGUGUGCCUAGUUGACUUGUAUUGUAUGGUCGGAAAUGGAGAUAGAACGGUGCUUUGAUAGUGAUCACUUAAUACUAUUCUUAACAUGAUUUUAUCAUUUGGUUUAAGGAAUGUCAAGAGCUUUUAAAUGAAACAUCUAGUUAAUCCGUUUUAACAGAUAUAGAACCUUGGAGUUUAUUGAAACCAAAGUCAAGAGUUUCUCACCACAAUGAGACUAUCCUCACAGUUGAUAUCAAUGGCGCAAUCAAAUCAUAUAUACAACACCUUAGAGGAUUCAAGAAAGUCUCUUGGUUCCAUUCCUUCGCGACCUGGUUCGCUUUUUUCACUACUCAAGUGAUCAGCACUUUUGAUUGAAAACUGAUACCACACAGCAUCCACUUGAAACUAAACAUAAAUAUACAACCAAACAGUUACGCAAUGAUAGCUCAACCAGACAGAACCGAACCGAAUCUUAGUUUUGCUUUCCAAAUUUUAAAUAACGGGAUAAACCGGUUGAUUCUCAUCCAGUUCUGUAAUUUGUCUGACACUACUCAAGUGAUCAGCACUUUUGAUUGAAAACUAAUAACACACAGCACCCACUUGAAAGUUGAAACUAAACGCAACUCAAUGAUAAACCGGGAUAAACCGGUUAGUUCUCAUCGAGUUCUGUAAUUUGUCUUUUACUAUCAAACCGGACAAAUUGAUGGUUUAAAAACAAAACUCAGUCUGGAUUAUAAUAAAAUCAGAUCAUGAAACUCUACCAAACAAGAGUCCUUUCGGUCUCUGCAAAUUUGUUUUCGACUCUAAUUGAGAGGAGGAGAAGUCCAGUACUUGAAACGAAUCCAAAAACGCGGUGAUCCGUGCGUUUUCAGACACCAUCGCGACCGUAUGCAUAACUGGGUUAGAGCUUCCUCAUCCGAUUUCACCGGAACUCCUCCACAGCCCAGGAGGUAAAUUAAUUACUUCUUCUCCAUUCAAUUUCCGAUUUUAAUUUCAGCUGAUGAUUUUUAUUCUUCAUCAGUGGACAUACAGCUGUCAAUGUCGGAAAAUCCAUGGUCGUGGUGUUCGGCGGCCUCGUCGACAAGAAGUUCCUCAACGACAUCAUUGUUUAUGACAUUGGUAAUAUCAUACUUCCUUAGGAUUAUUGUUUCCUUGCUUCAAGAAAGAUGCUUUCUUUCUCACGAGUUACGUUCUUGGCUUGCUCUGCUUGUCUCUAGUAGUUUAUUUGAUAGAACGAUGCUUACAUCAAAGAUAGUUACUUUGCAACAAAAAAAAAAAAAAACUAUAGAAAGCUGAAAACUUCAAGAUGAGAUUAUUCGAUUCGGUGUUGUUGAAGAGGAAUCAGAUGGAUACUCUCUUUUCUUAUUUUGCUAGUUUUGUUUCUGAGCUUCUUUUGACCCCUCCUUGGCCUUGUUUUAAGUAUCAUAUAUGUGCAGCUUUUUUGAUCAUGUGAUAAUCGGUUUGUCUUAUGAUUUGCUUCUUCUUUAUCCUGUCGACUAGAGAACAAACUCUGGUUUGAGCCAGAGUGUACUGGCAGCGUUUCUGAAGGAAAAGUUGGCCCUACACCUCGCGCCUUUCAUGUUGCCAUCACUAUUGAUUGCCAUAUGUUCAUCUUUGGUGGACGUUCUGGUGGCAAGAGGUACUCACUACUAUAUAUUUUCUAGUUAGAAGCGUUUUUACAUUUCUACUUUCACCGGAAUAGCUUAUUUCUAGAAAUAAAUCAAUUUCAGAUUGGGUGACUUCUGGGUUCUAGAUACAGGUAAGUGUACAAUCAUAACAAUGUCAGUGACAUUAUGUCACUGAGACCUGCCUGGGAACUUUUUAAUACCCUGCUGCUGACAUUUUCUGCAGAUAUAUGGCAGUGGUCUGAGCUAACCAGCUUUGGCGACUUACCUACACCUCGUGAUUUUUCUGCUGCCGCUGCUAUUGGCAACCAGAAAAUCGUGUUGUGAGUAUCUGAAAUUUUAGACGUUCCAUCAGCUUGUUUCCUGCAUUGGCUUAGCCUAUGAUCAUUGGCAGGUGUGGCGGCUGGGAUGGUAAAAAAUGGCUGUCAGAUGUGUAUGUUAUGGACACAAGUAUAUCUCUCGUCUACUUCAGUUUUGUAAUAAACUGUUUUUAAGUUUCUGAUAAUGUCAGCUUUCUUGGUGUCUGUUAGUGUCUCUUGAAUGGAUGGAGCUGUCGGUUUCGGGGUCGUUGCCGCCUCCUAGAUGUGGCCAUACAGCCACCAUGGUUGAGAAACGUUUACUUGUUUUUGGUGGCCGAGGUAUAACACCAGAACCAGAAUCUUUGUUCUGCUUGAGCUGAUGACAACUAAACUGAGACUAUGGUUAUCUUUGACAGGAGGUGGUGGCCCUAUCAUGGGUGAUCUGUGGGCUUUGAAGGGUCUAAUAGAUGAAGGUUCAUCCUUACCUAAAUUACUUAAAAAUUGCAUUCUUAUGUUCUGUUUGCUAAUCUUAUUGUGGUUUACCUUUGUUGUGCAAGAAAGAACGUGAAACACCUGGAUGGACCCAACUAAAGCUUCCUGGCCAAGCACCAUCAGCUCGAUGUGGUCACACUGUCACAUCCGGAGGACAUUAUGUAUGUCUAUUUCAGCUUCCGUUUGCUCUUUUGUAUAAAUAGGUCGCAUGACAUACAUCACUCACAUCAUUAAUGUUCAUGUAUGAAGCUUCUGUUAUUUGGGGGACAUGGAACUGGUGGAUGGCUGAGUCGUUAUGAUGUCUAUUAUAAUGACACUAUAAUUUUAGACAGAGGUACAUUCUUGCUUAUGAGAUUCGUCUCCUCUGCUAAAGGAGCACUCUAAAUCCAAAAAUCCACCUCAGUAAUUUACAAUCUAGUGAGAUGAUAAAAUUGUGAUGUGCUUUAUCAUUUUUCUUGCUGAGCAUUGUUUUCUACGCGUUGUUGCUAAAUUUAUAUUUUCGCAUACUAGUAACUGCGCAGUGGAAGCGCUUACCAAUAAGCAAUGAUGAACCUCCUCCUCCUCGAGCUUAUCACACCAUGACAAGUAUUGGAGCUCGUCAUCUUUUAAUUGGUGGUUUUGAUGGAAAAUCAACCUUCGGUGAUCUUUGGUGGCUGGUUCCUGAAGGUAUCUUUCUCUUAUUUAUACUGAUGUUUUAGUCCAACUUAGCUAUCAUUCUGUGUACACGCAUCAUCAGUUACUUAUUGUUGGAAACUCUUUAGACGAACUAAUCCUGGUGUUGGUCGCAGAUUGUAGGCAAUUUUAGAGACACUUAAUUUCUAGCAUAAUCUUUUUUUUCUUCUUUAUCAAGUUUGUAUUGAAAGUUUUGAAGUUUUACUGAACUGUUUAGCCUUCUGAAAAUGUUGUUAUUCGUUUUUUUCUUUUUCUCUUUUCUCAGAUGAUCCCAUAGCCAAGAGGUCUUCUGUACCUCAACUUAGAAACCCUCCUGAGACUAAAGAGUCAGAGAGAGAUUUGGAUACGGUAACUGUAGUUCCUGCUCAUCAUCUUAUGUGUUUCUCGCCAAUGCAGUUAAAUUAGCUUUUCAACGUGUUUUUAACACCAAGAGUUUGGUCACAGCAGGAAAGAGGACAAGAGGGAUUCACUAUCGCCGACUUGCAAAAGAAAAUGGGAAUCUCUGUUUCUUCAGGGUUACGCCUUCAAAUACCCGAGGAGUUAGAAGAUCAAGAGUUCGUUGAGUUAGGAACCAGAUUGAUUGAGGGAGAUGCAGUUGAUAAUGGAGCCUCCAUGAUUCAGGUGAGUUUUUCCUCUUGUCUAUUUUAGAAUGUGUGAUUGUGUUAUUCUUGUACUGAAAAUGCUUCUCAACGAAUAGAUGGCAGUUGAAGCACUUCGUCAACAUUGGAAAGAGUCCACUCCAGAGACUUUGCAAUUAAAGGAGCUUGGUUCCUUGCUUCGAGAUUAUCAGCGACUGGUUACCCGAAAAUACACGUGAGUUCUUAUCCAUGCCUAACUAUUUCAGACUCAGUUCUUGUUUAUGUAGAUUAUCUUUUGUUUCACUAAAAAUGGUUGUUCUUUGAUUGCGCUUGGAAUCACCACAUGGCAUUAGAAUAACUUAGAUAAAUCUCCUGAGAGUUUAGGAGUCAUAUAGAGUUAAUAUGAAUAUAUCAUUUUUGUGUCUUGAAUAGCCCUCGAGACUCUUUAAUCCGAGCAUAUUGUCAAAACUGAUAAUGUUGUGAAUGCAUUGUUUUGUGCCCCUACUAUUACAUGUUAUGAAAUCUCACAUCUGCUUCUUCCUUUCCUUGACACAUGUUUCUUUUCAUUUGUUGUGGCGGGUUUCUAUCAGAGCACAGAGCAGCUUAACAUCUGCUGAUUUUGGAAAGAAGACGUUUACGUUUUAUCAUAUCAAAAAUUCUUCCGAGGUAUUACUCUGCAUACUUUCCUCCCUCGCCUGAAUAUUUGACACCAAUCAAUCAAAACAUCAGGCUUUCCUCCUGACAUGUCAAGUUUACAUUUUGCUAUUCUCAGUUGCGGAUGGAUGACAUUCCGGAGUUGCUGGAAGAAUACAAAACCCUUGUAAUCUGAUUGAGGAGCUCUGCCAUGAAACUCACAAGGAGAAUACAAAACUCAUCAAGUAGCUGCCAAGAAGAUCACCAAGAUUGCUAUCAGCAUUACCAUUGCAAACCACAAAGCUAAAAAGUCUCAAGAGAAUCACAUCUCUGAUAGACAACUAUGUACAACUUCUUUUUAGCAAGAACAAAAAGAUACAACGUAUAUGUAAGACUUCCAUUAUCUCAACUUAAAUCCAUAUCUAAGCCUCUGCUCUUUUAUUUCUUGUUUGGGCUUUGAAAAUAGAUUGUUUUGCCUUGAAGCCAAUGCGAAAGUAAGGAAAAAAGUAGGCAAACUUCAUCUAUUAGACUUUGAAAUGGAUUACAACAACAACGGUACUCUUGAUAACUUAAACCACAGAGUUUCUGUCUGCAUAGACCCGUAUUGUCUUUUCUCUAUCCCCUAAAACAACUCGAACUCAAGAUGAUCUCCCAUGGCUUUACAUUCAAGAUAUCCAUUACCAUUUCCUUUAGGAGAAGUUGCUUCCGUUGCACCAUUCUCAUAUACAUCCGGCAGCUCAGGCGGAAUGGCGCAGCGGAUGAGAGCCCAGUUCAAUCCUUCAAAGAAUGGAUGCCUCUUGAUCUCUGCAGCUCCUUUCUCCCACCCGAGGCGGCUCCCCGGAUCCUUCAUCACCAACCUUCUGAUCAAAUCCUUUGCCUGGAAGCUCACAAGAGGGCUAUCAGGAAACUUGAGGUUCUGAAACACAAACGUCUCCUCAUUGUCAUAACCUUUGAACGGUGUCUUCCCGUAUAAAAGCUCAUAGAGAAGAACCCCAAACGUCCACCAGUCUACUGCAGCACCGUGACCUUCUCCUUUAAUGAUCUCCGGCGCCAAGUACUCGUGCGUUCCUACAAAAGAGUUUGAUCUUGCUUCAGUUGGUUCAGCCACAAGCUGAGGCAAUGAUCUGAACUGUUGGGUCAGAAGAUCAGGCCUUCUCUGUUUUCUUGGUUUUGAGUUUCUAGCUUGCGUUGACAAGAGCCUAGGGCUGAAACAUGGGACACGGCACGAUGGACUCUAUCUAAAUCACAGGUUCUUCAUCUUCUUUGGAAGCUGAGGAGCUUGAUACAAUAAGUGAAGACGAAGACAAACAGCAGUAUCCAGGCGAUGUGCACCGCAGCUACAGCUGGUAAGAAGUCAUGUUCGAACCCGGAUCCAUCUUUGAGCAACUGUUUUAGUUCCGUGUCUAGGAGACCAGUGUUCUGCACUAUCGAAUCUUGGUCUCCUACUUGAGAUGUGAUGCUUCCAUACAAUGUCCAGCCACUGGCGUUGCCUAGUAAUUAAUAUCAUCUCCACCAUAUCAAUAUUUGCUGCAUCCCCUCCUCCAUAAGAAACAUAAAACAUAAAAGUUAGGUAGCUCUAAAACACUUCUGAUCAUAACAAAAAGUAAGAUCUAUAACACACUUGAUGAUUACGUAAGUUGGUUCGUAAUUUUUACCAAUCUUUGGGAUGAGGAACUGGAGAAAAGAUUCCAAAUAGACCGAGGAAGAAAGACAUGCAGAUUCCGGAGAUUUGAUAGUUUGGUGUCAAGGCCACAAAGCAUCAAGCUUGGUAACAUGUCGUAGUAGUAGAAGUAGAACCAGAAGAACUUGACCACAGUACGGUCGUAUCCUAUCAUUGAGUAAAGGAUUAUAGUAUGUAAACUCUAGUUUGUAUGGUGUCAUACUACAUGAUCUAAUAACUUUGUCUAUAUUACCAAUUUUCCCAAUUAAUUAUUUCUAACAAAAGUAUAAUGUAUACAUAUCAAUGAAUAUAUAUUUUGAAAGUUGAAAAUAAGGGAGAAAUUUUUUUUUACCAAAAAGAAUAAUAAGGGAGAACUAUAGUGAAUGCUUCGAGUGGGCCUAAGCAAACGCAUUAUUGCCUUGCGAAAAAAUCAUUAUCGCCAGAGACUAGAAAAAAACUCCUAUUUUCUUUUUAAUUCAAAAUUAGAACCACAAGAUGACUGUCAUAGACUGUCGAUACUCUUUCAUUAUUUCUUCUUCCAAAGAACGUCGCUAAGCAAGUUGCAGAUCUGUUACAUGUAAGGUAAAUCACGUUCUUGUAUCAUUAUUUGUCUGUUUAACUUGCUCUGAUCUGUCUUUUGGGCUCUGUGGUGGUUGAAUCUGAAUUUAAAAACAAAAAUUCGUUGCAUUGUUACAAAUCUUGUUUUACGAAUUUAAAGCAUUUAAUCAUCAAUGCUUGAAUAAAAGUAAGUUAAGUAAAGUUCCUCUGACAGGUAUCAUGUUUUAUUAGAUCAACCAAGGAUUAUCAUAACCGGUUUUAAAUCUUACUAUACAAGUUUGUACUCAUAUGUUGACGGUGGAACAGGAGAAUAGCGAUGGCUGAGGGAAUUGUAUCGUUUGGAGUGCAGAGACUCUGGGAGCUCUUGGCUCGAGAAUCUGAGAGACUGCAGGGAGUUCAUGAGAAAGUUGAUGAUCUAAAAUGUCAGAUGAGAAUGUUACAGUCGUUGUUGAAAGAUGCAGAUGCGAGGAAACAUGAGAAUGAAGUAGUGAGAAACUUCUUGGAAGAUGUCAAAGACAUUGUUUUUGAUGCUGAAGAUAUAAUUGAAUCUUUUCUUUUGAAAGAAUCUAGCGGUGACGAAAAAGGGAUCAAGAGGCGUGUGAAAAGACUUUCGUGUUUCUUAGUGGAUCGCCGAGAUAUUUCUAUGGACAUUGAAGGCAUAACUAAGAGAAUGUCUAAGGUUAUUGCCCAAAUGCAGAGCUUUGGAAUACAACAUAACGUCUACAGAUCACCGUCUCUACAAGAGAGGCAAAGGGAGAUCCGACAAACAUAUCCUAAGAGGUCUCAAAAGGAUCUUGUGGGGGUGGAACAGAGUGUUAACGAAUUGGUUGGUCAUUUGGUGGAGAAUGAUAGCAUCCAAGUAGUUUCCAUAUCUGGGAUGGGUGGUAUUGGGAAAACCACUCUUGCGAGACAAGUUUUUCAUCAUGACAUUGUUCGAAGUCAUUUUGAUGGAUUCGCAUGGAUCUGUGUUUCCCAAGAUUUUAAGCGGAAGGAUAUUUGGCAGAAGUUAUUGCAAGACCUUAGACCACAUGAUACGGGCAUUGAACAAAUGAAUGAGGGUACACUCCAGGCUAAGAUCUUUCACUUGUUGGAAACAUCUAAAUAUUUAAUUGUCAUGGAUGAUGUAUGGAAAAACAAAGACUGGGAUAUAAUAAAAGACGUUUUCCCCCAAGAAAGAGGUGAGUUCUCUUAUUGUACAUACAUUACUUAAUACUCCCCAUAGCUAUUUCAUAAAUGCAUUUGAGUCCCUGAGAUGAAAGGAAAUACAAUUGCAGGUUGGAAGAUGAUUCUUACUUCACGUGAUGAAGGUGUUGGUUUCCAUGCAAACCCAACAUGUUUUCCCUUUAGACCAAAAACUCUUACUCAUGAAGAAAGUUGGAAGCUAUGUGAGAGCAUAGCAUUCCCUAGAAAAGAGAUAACGGGUACGUUUUUCUAUAAGAAUCAUAUGAAUCCUUAAGGCCAGAAAUCUCUUACGGGCAGUGUUUUUAAAACCGGAUCGGCUAGCGAACCGAAAUUUUUUUAGAUCAUGGGUCAUUGUGGUUCAACCGGGUCUGAACCGUGUUCGAUCGGGUUUAAUUAGAUUAAACUAAAUUUAAUGAUAUUUUAUAAAUAAUAUGCAUAUUCUUAAAAAAAAAUAGAUCAUAUCAAAUAAAAUGUUUAAAUAGCCAUAAUGUGUAGAAAAACUUAAAAAUAACAAUUAAAAUUUAAAAUCAAUAUGAAAAGCAUAAUUAAACUUUAUUCGCAAAUCUUAUCACUCUAAAUCUUUAUCAUCUUAUAAAAAAAAUUUAUAGUAAAAUUUAUAUUUUGAAAUACAAAUUUCACAAACAUAAAGGUUUCAAUUAUUAGAAGUCUUCAAAACAAGUGAUCAUGAAAUAAAAUUUAAACAAAGUGAGAAGUAGACAAAAACAACAUCUUGACGUAUUAAACUUUGUGAAUCUUGUAAUUUAUGAGUUGUAGAGACGACAAAAGAAAAAGACGAAAGACGAUAUUUUAUUAAUCUUUAAUAAAACUUAUUUUUUAUUUAAAAAAGAAGAAAAAUUAAUUAUUUCAUUAACAAAAUUUUGGCUUAUAUACUAACCGUAGUUUGGCCGAUUCAUUGGAUCGCCGGUUCCUAGGGUUUUGACGGUUUGAUAGGGGUUUUUAACUGGUUCAAAUUUAGUUGGGUUUUAGUAUUAACCCAACCCAGAUUAUUUUCGGUUGAUAGUUCAACCCGGUCUGACCGCCAGUUCGGUCCAAGUUUAAAAACAUUGCUUACAGGACAUCUUAUCAAAAAUCUUGUGUAUUAAUUCCUAAAUCCGCAUGACAUAUAUUAUUAUAUAUACCUUUGAGAAACAAUAUACCAUUUGAUUUAUUUCAUAUGUCAUCACCAAUGUUUUAAAAACCAGAUCAGACAUUGACUCGACAUUGUACAUGGGUAAAUGGUCGGCUCGGUCCAACCCGGUUCAAGCGGCUUUUAAAUUUUAAUCUAAUUUUAAAUUAAGUAACUAUAUAUAUGUAUAAUCAAUUUAAUUAUAUAAACCUUUCUAUCGUUGUUAAUAUAAAAAAUCAUAUGAAAAUAAAAUGCAACUUCAAAAAUAAUAUAAAAUUAUAGUGAAAGUAAUUUAUUUAGUUAAAUAUUAAAAACAAUAUGAUUUUGUUUUGAAAUCUUUUUUAAAAUUGCAAAUUUUAUUUUUAAACUUGAAUUUGAGAAAACCGGAUUUUAAUAUCGAACCAAAUCACCGGUUUUAACGAGUUUGACAAGUUUUUUGAUAAGGUUUACCAGUUUAAUUCAAAUUUGGUUUUAACACAACUAGGAACCGGCUAAAAGAACGAGUCACGGUCCAAACAGACGGUCCGGUUUUCAAAACGUUGGUCAUCACCAUAAUGACUCUUUAAUUUCUUAGAGCAAUAAGUUAUAAUCUAAACAUAUAAUCUAAUUCUCAUUAGACUAACUAUAAAAUUAAUUAUUAAAAUACAAAACAUAUUAAUUAUCCCUUCUUUGCUUAACACGUGUUAUUAUUUUAUUUAUUUAAAGAAAAUAAAUUUACGUUUUAAUAUUAUUAUAUUUAUAUUUUAAAUUCAUCAGUUUAGAAAAGAGUGAAAUCAUAACUUUUUGUAAUUUUGUUUCAUUUGAUUUGGUUAAUUUAUUUUAAUUUCAAUAGAAGAUAAUUAUGUUUUAUAUAAAUAUGAGUUUAUUUAUAUUUUUUUAGUGAUUAUUUAUUUUAAAUAUGUUUUUUAUCCUUUAAGUGUAUAAAUUUUAAUAAAUUUUGAAUUUCUAUUUAAAUGUAUAGCUAAAAUAUGUUAAAAUCGUAAACUAAAUUUGUUAAUUAAUAAAAUAAACUAAUAGAUCCUAAUAAAAUUUGAAACAUUUAAUCAUAAAAAAUUGAUUAGCAUUGCUUUAGUUUUGUAUUUGUUAAUGCACACUUACAAUUUAUUUUAGUAGGAAAACAAUAUAUAUUUAUAGAAAUAUGAUUAAUAAUUUAAAAAUUAAAAUGUAAUUAUAUUUAGUUUAUUUUUUUAUAAAUAUGAUAUAUAUAUUUUUAUUAUAUUUUAAUGAUGAUAUAUGAAUUAUUGAUUAUUAAUGUAUUUAAAGUCCUGUCAAAAUAAAAAUUUACACAAAAAUGUUAACUUUUAAAUAGUGAUAUAAAAAUUAUUAGUUACUACCAUAUUUAAAAUUUCUUACUAAAAAUAUAAAUUUAUAAAAAUUAUUAUUUAUUACCAUAUUUAUAAAUAUUUACAGAAAUAUAUUUUUAUAUAAUAAAAUUUUACAUAUCAAAAAAAAAAAUUGAUCUCAUAUCACUAUUUUCUAAAGACAGGUUAUCUUUUUUUUGUGAGAAUGUAUGUUGUGAUGACAUGUACAAACCACUUUGCGAAAAUGUUUAGGGAUAUUAGAUUUUGAAUGAUAAAUAUUUGAUAAAUUUGACCCAAAAAAAGAUUUGAUAACAAUUUGUGUAUCUUCUAUCAUUUUUAUUUAAUUUUAUAUUAUUAAAGUAAAUUAGACAAUCUCAUUAAUCAUAUAAUAAAAUUAGAUUUUUUGUAUAUGAUAUAUUUUGAUUUUUUAAAUGACUAUAAAUUACUUAAAUUGUUAAAAAAUUGUUGUCAUCAGUGGUUUAAUUUUGUUUGUUAUAACAAGAUACAAAUGAUCAAAAAAUGGGUAUGAAGUCUCAAUUAAUAGAACUUUAGAUUAAAAUAUAUAUAUCUAUUUUAAUACUGUUUGAAUUAAACUAUCUAUAUUUUUUUCUGAACAUUUGAAAAGACUAGAGACAUUAUUUCGAGGCUCUAAUCUUAUAACAUGUGUUACUGUUUUCAGAAUUUAUUGUUGAUGAAGAACUAGAAGCCAUGGGUAAGAAAAUGGUCACACAUUGUGGAGGACUACCAUUAGCCGUUAAAGUGUUGGGAGGCUUGUUAGCUAAUAAAAACAUGGUUGAAGAGUGGAAAAGAGUAGAUGAGAAUAUUCAAACUCAGAUAGUUCGCAUAGAUGACAAAAGUCAAGAUUCUGUUUACCGAGUAUUGUCUAUGAGCUAUGAAGAUUUGCCAAUGCAAUUAAAGCAUUGCUUCCUCUACCUAGCUCAUUUUCCCGAAGAUUACAAGAUACAAGUGAAGAGAUUGUAUUAUUACUGGGAAGCAGAAGGAAUAAUAACGUCAAGUGGCGAUGGAGAAACCACUAGGAAAAUUGGAGAAGACUACAUAGACGAGCUAGUAAGGAGAAAUAUGGUUAUUGGAGUAAAAGAGGAAUUGAGUUGCAGUUGGGAGUAUUGUCAAAUGCAUGACAUGAUGAGAGAAGUAUGUUUAUAUAAAGCCAAAGAAGAGAACUUUCUUCAGUUUAUCAAAGUCCCUACUACUUCCACCUCCACCAUCAAUGCUCAUACUCCUACCGGAUCUCGAAGACUCGCAGUACACGGUGGUGGUAAUGCAUUUGAUAUGCUGGGAAGUAAAAACAAUCAAAAAGCUAGAUCUGUUUUGGGGUUUGGACUCGACAGCAACUUGUGGAAGCAGUCAGCUCAAGGACUCAGAAAUUUACAAUUACUUAGGGUCUUAGAUCUGAGUUUAGAUUAUAAAAACGACUCUAAAGGAGGGAGAAUACCUUCGAGCAUUGGAAAACUCAUUCAUUUGAGAUAUUUGAGCUUAGCCAUAGGUUGGGCAACUCAUGUACCUUCUUCUUUACGGAAUCUAAAGCUUCUAAUCUAUUUGAAACUUAAGUCCUACGGAAGUGUUCAUCUGCCAAGUAUCUUUAACGAGAUGGUAGAGUUGAGGUUCCUGCUGCUUCCCUUUUUGGUUGACGAUAAAACAAAGUUGGAAUUGGGUAAUCUAGUGAACCUGGAGUACUUGAGCGGCUUCCGAUCAGAAAACGGUAGCAUCACAGACUUACUCCGAAUGAAAAAGCUCAGGAUUCUCCACAUAAAACUCAAAGGCAGGUAUACUUCUGAAACUCUAGCUUCAUCUCUCUGUGAAUUAAGAAACCUGGAGGAGCUUAGCUUGAUCGAUGAGAAGCUUAGCUUGAUCGAUGAGAAGCUUAGAUUGAUCGAAGAGAACAACGAAUCCGAUGGGGCUUAUGAUGUGGAUUUCGUUUGGAAUUUCAUUCAUCUAAGGCGUUUAGCGCUGGGCAUACAUGUGACAAGGCUUCCUGAUCACUCUCGAUUUCCUCCCAACCUUGCACACAUAUUUCUAAGUGACUGUAAAAUGGAGGAGGAUCCACUGCAGAUUCUGCAAAAGUUGCUUCAUUUAAAGUCGGUUGUAUUACAUCUAAGGUCUUUCGUGGGGAGGAAGAUGGUGUGUUCAAAAGGUGGGUUCCCUCAAUUAUGUAAGCUAGAAAUAUGGAACCUAUACGACUUGGAAGAGUGGAUAGUCGAAGAAGGAUCGAUGCCAUGUCUUCGUACCUUGUCUUUAUGGAAUUGUAAAAAGUUGAAGGAGCUACCGGAAGGGCUCAAGUAUAUCACUUCUUUAAAGGAGCUGGAAAUCACACACGAGAACAAGGAGUGGAAGACGAAACUCGUACCAGGUGGGGGAAGUUACCACAAAGUCCAACACAUUCCCAGUGUUCAAUUACACUAUCGUGGCAACGAAUAAGGAGAAUAAAACCGUCUCAGGUAUAUAUUUUUUUGUGUAUAAUGUCAAAAUUGUUCAUUUUGUUGGGUAUAUAUCCUUCUUGAAGUUUAGUGUGAAAAUCUCAACUAUCUGUUAUUCGGUUUUCAGGUGAACCUACUCAGGAUCAGUACCCACCACUAUCGAUUGUGUGAUAUGAUAAUAAGUCGUUUUUGUUGUAUGAAGUUUACAUAUCUUGUUUGUGAUAUAUUCCGUUUAUCUAUUUGCAUGUUCAUUCACUGUAAUGCUAAGUUUGGAAAUACAUUUGUAUGUUGAACCAUAUCUUAUUCGAUGUUCUCCGUUGUGUGUGCUUAGUUGACUUGUAUAGUUACCGAACCGAACCUGAGUUUUCCAAAUUUGUCUUUUACUACCAAACCGGACAAUAUUGAUGGUUUAAAAACAAAACUCGGUCUGGAUUAUAAUAAAAUCAGAUCAUGAGAGACUACCAAACAAGAGAGUUCUUUCGAUCUCUGCAAAUUUGUUUUUGACUCUAAUUGAGAGGAGAAGAAGUGUACUAGUUGAAGCGAAUCCAAAACGCUGUGAUCCGUGCGUUUUCAGACAUCAAUCGCCAAACGUAUGCAUCAUUGGGUUAGAGCUUCCUCUUCCGAUUUCACCGGAACUCCUCCACAGCCUAGGAGGUAAAUUAAUUACUUCUUCUCCAUUCAAUUUUCGAUUUUAAUUUCAGCUGAUUAUUUUUAUUGUUCAUCAGUGGACAUACAGCUGUCAAUGUCGGAAAAUCCAUGGUCGUGGUGUUCGGCGGUCUCGUCGACAAAAAGUUCCUCAACGACAUCAUUGUUUAUGACAUUGGUAAUAUCAUACUUUAGGUAGAAAGAUGCUUUCUUUCUCACGAGUUACGUUCUUGGCUUGCUCUGCUUGUAAUGACUAUUGUCUCUAGUAGUUUAUUUGAUAGAACGAUGCUUACAUCAAAGAUAGUUACUUUGCCAAAAAAAAAAAAAACUAUAGAAAGCUGAAAACUUCAAGAUGAGAUUAUUCGAUUCAGUGUUGUUGAAGAGGAAUCAGAUGGAUACUCUCUUUUCUUAUUUUGCUAGUUUUGUUUCUGAGCUUCUUUUGUCCCCUCCUUGGCCUUGUUUUAAGUAUCAUAUGUUCAGCUUUUUUAAUCAUGUGAUAAUUGGUGGUCUUAUGAUUUGCUUCUUCUUUAAUCCUGUCGACUAGAAAACAAACUCUGGUUUGAGCCAGAAUGUACUGGCAGCGUUUCUGAAGGAAAAGUUGGCCCUACACCUCGCGCGUUUCAUGUUGCCAUCACUAUUGAUUGCCAUAUGUUCAUCUUUGGUGGACGUUCUGGUGGCAAGAGGUACGCACUUCUAUAUAUUUUCUAGUUAUAAGCGUUUUUACAUAAGAGCUCAUUUCUAUAAAUCAAUUACAGGUUGGGUGACUUCUGGGUUCUAGAUACUGGUAAGUGUGCCUCGGAGUUUUAAUUUCUCUGCUUUGGCACUUCUAUGAGACACCUAUUAAUGACAUUUUCUGCAGAUAUAUGGCAGUGGUCUGAGCUAACCAGCUUUGGCGACUUACCUACGCCUCGUGAUUUUUCUGCUGCCGCUGCUAUUGGCAACCAGAAAAUCGUGUUGUGAGUAUCAUAAAUUUUAGACGUUCCAUCAGGUUGUUGCAUGCAUUGGCUUAGCCUAUGAUCAUUGGCAGGUGUGGCGGCUGGGAUGGUAAAAAAUGGCUGUCAGAUGUGUAUGUUAUGGACACAAGUAAAACUUUAUCUCUCUCCUCUACUUCAGUUUUGUACUAGACUGAUUUUAGUAUCUGAUAAUGUCAGCUUUCUUGGUAUCUGUUAGUGUCCCUUGAAUGGAUGGAGCUGUCGGUUUCGGGGUCGUUGCCACCUCCUAGAUGUGGUCAUACAGCCACCAUGGUUGAGAAACGUUUACUUGUUUUUGGUGGCCGAGGUAUAACACCUUGAACCUAAACUUUGUAGCUUCUUGCUCUUGACUUAUCACCAUUCUCUUAAAAAAGUUAAGGUGUUUGCAUAUUAAACCAACUUGGCGGACUCAUAUGAUAGAUAAAAGUAAAAGACCGAAAAUUUAUUUACUGUUCCACCUUUUCAUUCAUCAAACAUGUUAAGGAUGCUGAUGUGUUUGGUUCCACGAAUUACACAUCCAAAUUCAAUAUAAGUCCAUAAAAUGCAAAUAAAGAAAACAAACAAAUUAGAGGAGGGGGGGAACUUGAGUGAAAUAUGAAUCAAAUAUUAAUAAAUAGCAAUUUAUGCAUCGUUGUAAGUUAAUAACUUCCAGUCAUUAAUGAAUUGUCCUGAACGGGAUGGUAUAUGUAAUGUAGAAACCCUCUUCCAAUCUUAAGGAUUCAUACUUUUAAGCAAAUCCACUAGUUUGAUAGUUCUUUGGUUCUGACAUCUGAGGUAUAGGUCAUGAUCACAAUUAUUUUUUGCUUGAUCUGAUAACAACUAAGCUAAAACUAUGGUGUGUGAUAUGUUUAUCUUUGACAGGAGGCGGUGGCCCUAUCAUGGGUGAUCUGUGGGCUUUGAAGGGUUUAAUAGAUGAAGGUACAUCCUUAAUUAAAUUACUUCAAAAUUGCAUUAUAUGUAAUGUUCUGGUUGCUGAUCUUAUUGUGGUUAACCUUUGUUGUGGAAGAAAGAACGUGAAACACCUGGAUGGACGCAACUAAAGCUUCCUGGCCAAGCAUCAUCAGCUCGAUGUGGUCACACUGUCACAUCCGGAGGACAUUAUGUAUGUCUUUUUCAGCUCCUGUUUGUUCUUUUGUGUAAGGAUAGCUUCGCAUGACAUACAUCACUCACAUCAUUAAUUUUCAUGUAUGCAGCUUCUGUUAUUUGGGGGACAUGGAACUGGUGGAUGGCUGAGUCGUUAUGAUGUCUAUUAUAAUGACACUAUAAUUUUAGACAGAGGUAAAUUCUUGCUUAUGAGAUUCGUCUCCUCUGCUAAAGGAGCACUCUAAAUCCAAAAAUCCACCUCAGUAAUUUACAAUCUAGUGAGAUGAUAAAAUUGUGAUGUGCUUUAUCAUUUUUCUUGCUGAGCAUUGCUGUCUACGCGUUGUUGCUAAAUUUAUAUUUUCACAUACUAGUAACUGCACAGUGGAAGCGCUUACCAAUAAACAAUGAUGAACCUCCUCCUCCUCGAGCUUACCAUACCAUGACAAGUAUUGGAGCUCGUCAUCUUUUAAUUGGUGGUUUUGAUGGAAAAUCAACCUUCGGUGAUCUUUGGUGGCUAGUUCCUGAAGGUAUCUUACUCUUAUUUGUACUGAAUGUUUCUUAUCGUUGGAAAGUCUUUAGACGAACUAAUCUUGGUGUUGAUCACAGUUUGUAUUAAAAGUUUUGAAGGUUUACACAUCUGAUUGAAUUUAGUAUACUGUUUAGCCUUCUAAAAAUUAAAGAGAAAAAUGGACGUGGAACUCUAGAUAGGGAUCUCACUCAAUACUUGUGGGCUUCAAAUACCCGAGGAGUCAGAAGAUGAAGAGUUCGUUGAGUUAGGAACCAGAUUGAUUGAAGGAGAUGUAAUUGAUAAUCGAGCCUCCAUGAUGCAGGUUAAUUUUUCCUCUUGUCUUUUUCAGGAUGUGUGAUUGUGUUAUUCUUGUACUGAAAAUGCUUCUCAACGAAUAGAUGGCAGCUGAAGCACUUCGUCAACAUUGGAAAGAGUCCACUCCUGAGACUUUGCAGUUAAAAGAGCUUAAUGCCUUGCUUCGAGAUUAUCAGCGACUUGUUUCCCGAAAAUACACGUGAGUUCUUACAUUAUCUUGUUUAUGUAGAUUAUCUUUUAUUUCAAUAAAAAUGGUUGUUCUUUGAUUGCGCUUGGAAUGGCAUUAGAAUAACUUAGAUAAAUCUCCUGAGAGUUUAGGAGUGUUAUAUAGAGUUAAUAUCAAUAUCAUUUUUUGUGUCUUGAAUAGCCCUUGAGACUUUUUAAUCCAAGAAUUGCCAAAACUGAUUCAUUUCUUAAUGUUGUGCAGUCCUCACAUAAAAGUUGAUUGUAAAUGCAUCGCUUUGUACCCCUUUGAAAAGUAUUAAACAUCAUGAAAUUUCACAUUUGAUUCUUCCUUUCCGUCACACAUGUUUGUUUUCGUUGUUGUGGCGUGAGUCUCAGAGCACAGAGCAGCUUAACAUCUACUGAUUUUGGCCUCCCCGGAAAGCAGACGUUUACGUUUUAUCAUAUCAAAACUUCUUCCGAGGUAAUACCACAUACUUUCCUCCUGUUAUGAGCUCUCUUGAACAUUUGACAGCAAUCAAUCAACACAUCAGGCUCUUGGCACAUGCUCUGACAUGUCAAUUUAACAUUUUGUUAUUCUCAGUUACGGAUGGAUGACAUCCCGAAGUUGCUGGAAGAAUACAAAACCCUUGUAAUCUGAUUGAGGAGCUCUGCCAUGAAACUCACAAGGAGAAUACAAAACUCAUGAAGUAGCUGCCAAGAAGAUCACCAAUAUUGCUAUCAGCACUACCAUUGCAAACAACAAAACUAAAAAAAGUCUCAACAGAAUCAUAUAUCUGAUAGACAACAAGACAUGUACAACUUCUUUUUAGUCAAGAACAAAAACAUGUACCCAUAUGUAAGAUUUUCCAUUAUCUCCACUUAAUCCGUAUCUCAGCGUCUGCUCUUUUUUUUUCUUGUUUAGCCUCUUGCAUUUUACUUUGAAAAUAGAUUGAUUUGCCUUGAAGCUAAUGUUCGAACCCCGAUCCAUCUUUGAGCAACUGUUUUAGUUCCGUGUCUAGGAGACCAGUGUUCUGCACUAUCGCAUCUUGGUCUCCUACUUGAGAUGUGAUGCUUCCAUACAAUGUCCAGCCACUGGCGUUGCCUAGUAAUUAAUAUCAUCUCCACCAUAUCACUAUUUGCUGCAUCCCCUCCUCCAUAAGAAACAUAAAACAUAAAAGUUAGGUAGCUCUAAAACAUUUCUGAUCAUAACAAAAAGUAAGAUCUAAACCACACUUGAUGAUUACGUAAGUUGGUUCGUAAUUUUUACCAAUCUUUGGUAUGAGGAACUGGAGAAAAGAUUCCAAAUAGACUGAGGAAGAAAGACAUGCAGAUUCCGGAGAUUUGAUAGGUUGGUGUCAAGGCCACAAAGCAUCAAGCUUUGUUAACAUGUAGUAGUAGUAGAACCAGAAGAACUUGACCACAGUACGGCCGUAUCCUAUCAUUGAGUAAAGGAUUAUAGUAUGUAAACUCUAGUUUGUAUGGUGUCAUACUACAUGAUCUAAUAACUUUGUCUAUAUUACCAAUUUUCCCAAUUAAUUAUUUCUAACGAAAAUAUAAUGUAAAUAUCAAUGAAUAUAUUUUGAAAGUUGAAAAUGAGGAAGAAAAUUUUUUUUACCAAAAAGAAUAAUAAGGGAGAAGUAUAGUGAAUGUUUCGAGUGGGGCCUAAAGCAAAUGCAUUAUUGCCUUGCGAAAAAAUCAUUAUCGCCAGAGACUAGAAAAAAACUCCUAUUUUCUUUUCUAAUUCAAAAUUAGAACCACAAGAUGACUGUCAUAGACUGUCGAUACUCUUUCAUUAUUUCUUCUUCCAAAGAACGUCGCUAAGCAAGUUGCAGAUCUGUUACAUGUAAGGUAAAUCACGUUCUUGUAUCAUUAUUUGUCUGUUUAACUUGCUCUGAAUCUGAAUUUAAAAACAAAAAUUCGUUGCAUUGUUACAAAUCUUGUUUUACGAAUUUAAAGCAUUUAAUCAUCAAUGCUUGAAUAAAAGUAAGUUAAGUAAAGUUCCUCUGACAGGUAUCAUGUUUUAUUAGAUCAACCAAGGAUUAUCAUAACCGGUUUUAAAUCUUACUAUACAAGUUUGUACUCAUAUGUUGACGGUGGAACAGGAGAAUAGCGAUGGCUGAGGGAAUUGUAUCGUUUGGAGUGCAGAGACUCUGGGAGCUCUUGGCUCGAGAAUCUGAGAGACUGCAGGGAGUUCAUGAGAAAGUUGAUGAUCUAAAAUGUCAGAUGAGAAUGUUACAGUCGUUGUUGAAAGAUGCAGAUGCCAAGAAACAUGGGAGUGAAGUAGUGAGAAACUUCUUGGAAGAUGUCAAAGACAUUGUUUUUGAUGCUGAAGAUAUAAUUGAAUCCUUUCUUUUGAAAGAAUUGAGUGGAAACCAAAAAGGGAUCAAGAGGCAUCUGAAAAGACUUUCUUGUUUCUUAGUGGAUCGCCGAAAUAUUUCUAUGGACAUUGAAGGCAUAACUAAGAGAAUGUCCAAGCUUGUCGAGCAAAUGCAGAGCUUUGGAAUACAACAGAUCGUCUACAGAUCACCGUCUCUACAAGAGAGACAGAGGGAAAUCCAACAAACAUAUCCUGAGAAAUCUCAAAAGGAUCUUGUGGCCGUGGAACAGAGUGUUAAGGAACUGGUUGGUCAGUUGGUGGAGAAUGAUCGCAUCCAAGUAGUUUCCAUAUCCGGGAUGGGUGGUAUUGGAAAAACCACUCUUGCGAGACAAGUCUUUCAUCAUGACAUUGUUCGAAGUCAUUUUGAUGGAUUCGCAUGGGUCUGCGUUUCUCAAUAUUUUAAGAAGAAGGAUAUUUGGCAAAAGUUAUUGCAAGAGCUUAGACCACAUGAUACGAGCAUCGCACAAAUGAGUGAGGGUACACUCCAUGCUGAGAUCUUUCACUUGUUGGAAAGAUCUAAAUACUUAAUUGUCAUGGAUGAUGUAUGGAAAAACGAAGACUGGGAUGUAAUAAAACAUGUUUUUCCCCAAGAAAGAGGUGAGCUCUCUAAUUGUACAUACAUUACUUAAGUACUCCCCAUAGCUAUUUCAUAAAUGCCUUUUGAAAUACAAUUGCAGGUUGGAAGAUGAUUCUUACUUCACGCGAUGAAGGUGUUGGUUUCCAUGCAGAUCCAACAUGUUUUCCCUUUAGACCAAAAAUCCUUACUCCUGAAGAAAGUUGGAUGCUAUGUGAGAGCAUAGCAUUCCCUAGAAGAGAGAUAACGGGUACGUCCAUUUGUCCAUGUUUAUAACCGAGUCCAUUAAAGACCCUUUUUGUGUGUGGACAAACAUUGAUCAUGUUAUUAAGAACCGAGUCCAUUAAAGACCAAACCUAUUAACAUCAGUGUUAACAUGACUUAUCCAUGGAAUCCAUUAGAGACCAUAUAAGUAAACCUACUACAAAAGACAAACCUACAAUAUAUAAGUUCUGAAUUUCAAAUCUAUUAAAGACCACAGCUUCAUAAGUAGGAUACAUAACAUAAAAAAUACUUGUAAAUUCACAUAUUGUAGUUUUAGUUUUAAUUUUAAUUUACGUAUUAAUGUUAACUAGAUUUUUGACAAAAAUUAUAACUUUAUACAUAUUUCAUAUGUUUUUAAGUUUUGUGCAUAAUUUAUAUUUAAUUUGUGUAUCUAAUUUAUUUUUAUGUUAGUAACUAACAUCUAAUAUAAGAUGAACUUAUAAUAUUUUAUUUUAAUGUACAUUAAUUUAUAAUCAUUUACAUUUUACAGAAUUACAUACAUUCAUAUAUAGAGUUUAUUAGUUUUUUUUUAUAAAAAUUAUAUGAAUACUAUUAUAUGAUAAUGAAAAUAUAAUUAUCUGUUUAUUUUUCCCAAGUUUUAAUUUAUGUUUCUAUAAUUUAACACUAAAACGAAGUAAUCACAUAUAUCAUAUUAGUUAAAAUUUGUUUAAUAUUCUUAUAAUACUUUAUGAUUUUAUAUGUAUGUUACAACAAAAAAAUGAUUUUAUAUGUUUACUCAACCAUCUCAUACUAAAUAACCUUUGUAUAUUGAUAAAAUAAUCCGUAAAAAUUACACAUAAAUAUAUGAACCAUAACCCAAUAUUUAUAUAAGUAGGUUUAGUGCUGGUUUUUAGAAUUAACGCAGAAUAUUCUUUAUAGAUUUCAAUCGUGUAAAAUUACGAAAUUUAGAAUAUUUUGAGGAUGCCAGAAUUAUCAAAAUUUAAAAUAUUAAGAUUGAUAUCAUUGAUGUCAAAAAUAUACCAUUUAGCUAGGUCUAAAUUUUUUAUAAGAAAUUGCAUUCAAAGUUUUUGUUUUCAAACGUAAAUAUCUAAGUUUUGAAAUAUUUAAGUCAUUUUCAUUUGAAUGAGUAAAUUUUGACCUACUAAGAUUUAUAAAUGUGAUUUUCUAGAUUGUAAGUUAUUUAGUAAAUAUUAAAAAUACAAAAAAUAUAUUCUCAAAACUGUUAAAGUUUUGUUAUGCUUCCAUAAUUUCAGCUUAUCAAAUAUCUAAUCUAUUAAAAGAAAAGUACCAUUUUUAUCUACUACAAAAUUGUCAUACUAGAAGUCUAGUUCCAUAUAUUUUAUUGUUUACUUAAUGUAUAACAUUUCUAAAUAAUUAUAAGGAUAUUAAUAACAAAUCUAUUUUAACUAUAAAUUUAAAUUUUAGUUUUAGGAAUAACAAAAUCUGUAGAGAAAAAAUCUAACAAAAUCUUUUUAAAAUUUUAAAUAUUAUUUUAAUUAAUGCACUGAUUAAUUUCGUAAUUAGUAGUAUAAUAUUAUUAUAAAUUAAUUUUAAUCAAAAUUUUAUUAUAAACAAAAUAAUGAAAUUAUAUGCUAAUUUUAUAAUUUUUAUUAGUAUAUUCUACAUUAUAUUAAAAUAGAAUUAAUUAAUGAAUUACAUAUUAACAUUAUGUUUUUGUACAAACAUAUUAAAAUUAUGUUGAAUUGGUAAACCAAUAUAUUUUGAAAAAUACUUUCAUUAGAUAAAUAAAUAAAAUGUCAUUCACGCUUAAAGUGACUAAAAUAUCAUUCACAUUUUAAAAUGAUUAAUAUUUAUAAAUUAUGUAAUAAUUUUUACAAAAAUUAAAAUUGUUAACAUAUGUUAAAUUUUAAUAUUUAGAACUAUAUAUCAUCUAUUAAGUUAUUUUUAAAAUGACAGCAAUAUAUUAUCAUAAAUGAUUAUAUACAAAAUAAUAUAAAAUUUUAUAUUUAUAAAUGAAAUGUUACCCACACGGGUGUGCGGGUUACAAUCUAGUUUGAAUUAUAGCAAAUAACUAUGUAUAUGAACAAUACCAAUAAAUUUGAAUGUUAUAAAUUAAAAUAGGUUUGCUAGUAGGCAAUUGAGAAUUUGAACAAAUUCCAUAUUUAUACUAAAAUCUUUUAUGUAGUUUGGAAAAUCAUAAUAAUACUAAAUAUAAUAGUCUUCUGAAUGAUUUAUCAAGUAUAUUCAAUAUUAUAUACUACAAAUAUGUAUAGUUUUACAUCAUGUAUUUUAUAAUUUUAGAAUAAUAUAAAUAUUCUUCUUUGUUAAGUUAGAUGAAUCAUGGGAGGAUGUUUAGCAAUUAAGUAGGAAACUAGAUUAAGAUCCACGCAAAUGAAUAUUAUAUAUAAAAAUAAAUUUUAUUUAUUAUUAUUUAUUUGUAUUCAUUUAUGUAUUAUGUACAUAAUUAAAUUAGAGUAAAUACAUAAAUCAAAACAUUACAUCUUGUUUAUUUACGAUAUUUUUUGGUAAAUAAAUCAAAACAAUUAUAUUCAUACGAUUUAUGAUCAUUUAUAUCUUGUUAUUACCAAAACAAGUUAAACCAUUAAUUACAAAAUUUUAGUGUAAGACAUUUAAUAUUUUUAGUAAUUUAUAGUCGUUUUAAAAAUUCAAAAUAUAACAUAUAAAAAACAUUUUAUUAUAUGGUUGAUGUGGUUGUUUAAUAUAUUUUAAUAAUAUAAAAUUAAACCAAAAAAAGCUAAGAUACAAAAAUUACUAUCAAAUAUUUAUAUUCAUAAUCAUUAAUUAUCAAUUUAAAAGUUAGUUUAAUAAAAAAUAUAAUAUAAAUUAAGAUGGACCGACCUAUUUCUCUAAGAAUUCUGAAUUUCAUUCUUAUGGUGACACGUGGCUACAAAACAAUGUUGUAAUGUUUCUCAAUUAAUAUAUAAGGGAUAUAGUUAAAAUAUUUCUUUUAAUAAAUUUAUUUUAAAAAAAAUAGCUAGUGGCAUGGUAUUGUAAUUAUCAUUGAAAACUAAAGGCAUAAUCUUAUUAGAAAUUCCGGUUUAAUAGUAUAAAUUUCAGUUUUAAGUUUAAUUUCCAUUAUUUUUAACUUGCCAAGGAACCCACGCGAUAACGCGUGGAAACUUAUUUUUAUAAAUAAAUAUAUGAUAUUAUAAUUUAUAUAUUGUAUAAAAAAUAAUUUUAUUAAAAGGAUUCCCAUGUCAAAACGUAGAACAUAUGUGUUUAUAUUUACUUAUUGAUAAUAUUAAAAAUGUAUAUUCUAUAAUUUUAAAUUACAACUAAAAUACAAAUAUAUCAAUCCUAAUAAAAUUAUACAUUUUUUUAUUAUUUUAGGUAAGUUACUCUAAAAUUUUAAAUUAUAUCAAUUUAUAAUAAAUAAAUAAAAUCUCUUUUUAAACAAAAAAAAUCUUUUCAAAUAAAAAAUGUAUCUUUUACGUUAGACGGUUGUGUUAUCAACGAAAAGUACGAACGACUCAUAACCUAAAAGGUACAAACACGUCUUAAACUAAGUGAUACAAACAUGAUGUGAUUCAAGAAGUAUGAACUUGGUCCAUGGGGUGGACGAAUGUACCUUGACCGAAGGUAUGAAUGUGUCAUUACCAAAAAGUGUAAAUGGUGUGAACGAAAUGGUGUAAAUUGAAAUUGAGAUCCAUAAGACAAAAAUUUUGGGCAUGGGUAAAAACAUGCAAAAUCUAAGAAAUAUUAAGAAAAUGAUAAACUCUAAUUUGGAUAGACUAUUUAUGUUGUCGAGAAAAGGUCAUACUCUUAUAUCAUCAGCACCAUGGUUGACCAUAAGACAAAAUAGUUUCCGGAUGGGUAAAAACAGGUAAAAUCUAAGAAAUAUUAAAAAAAAAGAUAUAUUAUAAUCUGGAUAGACUUUUUAUGUUGUCGAGAAAAGGUCAUACUCUAUAUCACCAGCACCAUGGUUGACCUUUAACAUUCUUUCAGUGAUGUCUCGUUCGCACUUUUUCAGUCACGAUCCAUUCUUACCUCUUCGGUCAUGAUUCAUUGACACUCCUUUGGAUACGACUCGUUUGCACCCUUUCAUUCACGAUCCAUUCACGUUCUUUCAGUUACGAUCCGUUCACACUCAUACGGUUAUGAUCCGUUUACUCCUUUUGGUCAUGACACGUUUGCACUUUUUUGUCACAACCCAUUUGCAAUCUUUCGGUCACGACCAUUUGCACCCUUUGGUCACAACCCGUUUGCAAUUUUUUGGCCACGAUUCAUUUGCAAUCUUUCGGUCACGACCAUUUGCAAUCUUUCAAACACGACCAUUUGCACCCUUUCGAUCAUAACCCAUUUGCACGUUUUCGGUCAUAACUCAUUUGCAUGCUUUCGGUCAUAACCCAUUUGUACCCUUUUUGUCAUGGUCAAGAUCCAUUCGCAUCCUUUCGGUCAUGAUUAAUUUCACAUCCUUUCGGUCAAGAACCGUUCGCACGCUUUCAUUUAUGACAGUUCAGAGAGUUUCGGUCACGGUCCUUUUGUACAUUUUCGGUCAUAAUACAUUCACACAUUUUCAGUCACAACACUUUCGCACCCCUUGGAUCAUGAUACAUUUGUAUCUCUUGGAUCAUAGCAUGUUCAUACCUCUUAGAUUAUGAUCCGUUCAUAUCUCUUAAAUUACAAAACAUUUAUACCUCUCUGUUGAUGACACUAUAUAAAUAUUUAUAAUUUUUAAUCAGUGUUAAUAUGAAAGUAAACUUAUAUGGAAUUGUUUUGCAUUUAUUAGUAUUGAGAUGAAAAUUUAUGUGUUUGUUUUUGGUUUUUACUUUACUCAUAUCUAUAUAUUAAUACUUCAUAAAUAUUAGUAUUUGUUUUAAAUAGACUUUUUAUGUUGGCCAAAAAAGAUCAUAUUAUUAUAUCACCAACAUCAUGGUUGACCUUUAGCAAUCUCUUGGUGAUGACUCGUUCGCACCAUUUAAGUCAAGACCCAUUCACACUCUUUCGGUAACAAAUCGUUCACACCCUUUUUUUGUCAUGACCCGUUUACACUUUUUCGGUCACAACCCAUUCGCAAUCUUUCGAUCACGACCAUUUGCACCCUUUGAUCACGACCUGUUUGCAAUUUUUCGGUCACAAUCCAUUUGUAACCUUUCGGUCACGAUCAUUUGCACCCUUUCGGUCAUAACCCAUUUGCACCAUUUUGGUCAUAGUCAAGAUCUGUUCUCACCCUUUCAGUCAAGAUUAAUUUCACAUCCUUUCGGUCUAGAUCCAUUCACACUUUUUCAUUUAUGAUCAUUGGCAGCCUUUCGGUUACGACCAUUUUGUAUAUUUUCGGUCAAAAAACAUUCACAUCCUUUCAGUUACAAAACGUUCAUACUCCUUGGAUCAUGAUAUGUUUGUACCUCUUGGAUCACAACACGUUAUACCUCUUAGAUUAUGAUGCGUUCAUAUCCUUAAAUCACAACACAUUUGUACCUCUUCGUUGAUGACACCACGUAAAUAUUUAUCAUUUUUUUAAUCAUUGUUAAUAUGAAAAUUGUGUCUCUUAAGUUUUUUUAUGAAAAGUUAUUUUUAUUAGUAAUGAAAUGAAAAUUUAUGUCUUUUUGUUUUUACUUUAUUCAUAUAUAUGAAUAGUCACAUCUUUCUAUAUAAAGGUGGUUAUUUUGAAAUGAUACUUAUAUGAAUAGUCACAACUUUUCAAUUUAAAUAGUCACAUCUUUUCAAAUUUAAAUGUAAUUAUUUUGAAAUUAUAGAAAUAUGAAUAGUCAAAACUUUUCAUUUAAAUAAUUACAUAUUUUACAAUUAAAUUCUGACUAAUGCACAACUCUUGAAACAAAUAACGAAAAGACACAACUUUAACAAGAAAUAAAAUUCCUAUAAAUAUACACAACUUUUCAACAUUGUUUGAGUUUUUCAUGUAAGACAUUUAAGAGAUGCAACUUUUAUGUAUAAAACUUAAGAGAUUCCAAUUUUCAUAUUAAUCAAUACACUGAUUUUUAGAAAUAAAACAAUUGCAAAUAUUUAUAAAAUAUUAAUAAACAGAUAUGAGAAAAAUAAAAACGAAAAAACAUAAUUUUCAUCUGAAUACUAAUAAAUACAACUUUUCAUAUAAAAAAUUAAGAGAUGCAACUUUCAUAUAGAUGAAUAGUCACAUUUUUUCCCAGUUUAAAGGUGGUUAUUUUGAAAUAAUACUUAUAUGAAUAGUCACAACUUUUCAAUUUAAAUAGUCACAUCUUUUCAAUUUAAAGGUAGUUAUUUUGAAAUGAUACAUAUAUGAAUAGUCACAAUUUUCAUGUAAAUAAUUAUAUCUUUUUAAUUUAAAUACUAACUAAUAUACAACUCUUGAAACGAAAUGACAUUUCUUAAUAUAUAAUGAAAAGACACAACUUUUAACAAGAAAUAAGAUUCAUAUAAAACACACAACUUUUCAACAUUGUUUGGGUUUGCUAUUAUUAAUUGUUUUUCUUCUUCACCAUUUUAUUUGAUUAGUGAAAAUUAUGCUUUGAGAAGACAUGGACAUUGGACUAUUUAUAGAUUUUUAAAAUUUUGUUUGAAGAGUCACAUCUUUUAAAUUAAAAGUUUGUGUCUUUUUGUAAUAAUACUUAUAUGAAGAGUCACAAAUUUUCAAUAUAAAUUGUCACACUCUUUCAAUAUAAAUAGUUAUUUUUAAAUAAAAAGACACAACUUUUAAUUGUUGAAAAGACACAUACUUUUAACAUAAGUGGAAUUCACAACCUUUUGAAUUAAUUGAGAUUGUUAUUAUUAGUAGAUUUUUAUAUAAACUAUAUAUAUAUAGAUAUUAUUUUUUAUUUGAACAUUUGAAAAGACUAGACAAAUUAAUUCUAGGCCAAUCUUACAAUGUGUUACUGUGUUUCAGAAUUUAAUGUUGAUGAAGAACUAGAAGCCAUGGGUAAGAAAAUGGUCACAUAUUGUGGAGGACUACCAUUAGCCGUUAAAGUGCUGGGAGGCUUGUUAGCUAAUAAAACCAUGGUUGAAGAGUGGAAAAGAGUAGAUGACAAUAUUCAAAGUCAGAUAGUUCGCAUAGAUGACAAAAGUCAAGAUUCUGUUUACCGAGUAUUGUCUAUGAGCUAUGAAGAUUUGCCAAUGCAGUUAAAGCAUUGUUUCCUCUACCUAGCUCAUUUUCCCGAAGAUGACAAGAUACAAGUGGAGAGAUUGUAUUAUUACUGGGAAGCAGAAGGAAUAAUAACGUCAAGUUGCGAUGGAGCAACCACUAGGAAAAUUGGAGAAGAAUACAUAGACGAGCUAGUAAGGAGAAAUAUGGUUAUUGGAGUAAAAGAGGAUUUGAGUUGCAAAUGGGAGUAUUGUCAAAUGCAUGACAUGAUGAGAGAAGUAUGUUUAUAUAAAGCCAAAGAAGAGAACUUUCUUCAGUUUAUCAAAGUCCCUACUACUUCCACCUCCACCAUCAAUGCUCAUACUCCUACCAGAUCUCGCAGACUCGUAGUACACGGUGGUGGUAAUGCAUUUGAUAUGCUGGGACGUAAAAACAAUCAAAAAGCUAGAUCUUUUUUGGGGUUUGGACUCGACAGCAACUUUUGGAAGCAGUCAGGUCAAGGAUUCCAAAAUUUACUGUUACUUAGGGUCUUAGAUUUGAGUUUAGAUUAUAAAAUAGACUCUAAAGGGUGGAGAAUACCUUCGAGCAUUGGAAAACUCAUUCAUUUGAGAUAUUUGAGCUUACAAAUGGGUUGGGCAACUCAUGUACCUUCUUCUUUACGGAAUCUAAAGCUUCUAAUCUAUUUGAGUAUUUACUCCCGGGAAAGAGUUCAUCUGCCAAGUAUCUUUAAAGAGAUGGUACAGUUGAGGUUCCUGCUGCUUCCCCCUUUUGUUGACGCUAAAACAAAGUUGGAAUUGGGUAAUCUAGUGAACCUGGAGUACUUGGGCUGGUUCCGAUCAGAAUACGGUAGCAUCACUGACUUCCUCCGAAUGAAAAAGCUCAGGACUCUCGAGAUAUUUCUCAAAGGCAGGUAUACUUCUGAAAUUCUAGCGUCAUCUCUCGGUGAAUUAACAAACCUGGAGGAGUUUAGAUUGAUCGAUGAGAACAACGAAUCCGAUGGGGCUUAUGAUUUGGAUUUCGUUUGUAAUUUCAUUAAGCUAAGGCAUUUAGUGAUAUGGAUGCAUAUGACAAGGCUUCCUGAUCACUCUCGAUUGCCUCCCAACCUUGCACACAUAUCUCUAACUAACUGUGAAAUGGAGGAGGAUCCACUGCAGAUUCUGGAAAAGUUGCUUCAUUUAAAGUCGGUUGAAUUAUCAAGUAAUGCUUUCGUGGGGAGGAAGAUGGUGUGUUCAAAAGGUGGAUUCCCUCAAUUAUCUAAGCUUGAAAUGUCGUACCUAGACGACUUGGAAGAGUGGAUAGUGGAAGAAGGGUCGAUGCCAUGUCUUCGUACCUUGUCUAUAUGGUAUUGUGAAAAGUUGAAGGAGCUACCGGAAGGGCUCAAGUAUAUCACUUCUUUAAAGGAACUGGAAAUCAUACAUAAGAAGAAGGAGUGGGAGACGAAACUCGUACCAGGUGGGGAAAGUUACCACAAAGUCCAACACAUUCCCAGUGUUCAAUUAGACUAUCGUGGCGACGAAUAAGGAGAAUACAACCGUCUCAGGUAUAUAUACUUUUGUUUGGUAUAAUGUCAAUAUUGUUCUCCAUGAAGUUUAGUGUGGAAGUCUCAACUAUCUAACCUUUUUAUUAUUCGGUUUUCAGGUGAACCUACUCAGAAUCAGUACCCACUUAUUGAUUCUGUGAUGUGAUAUAUGUCGUUUUUGUUGUAUUGGUGUGUGAAGUUUACAUAUCUUGUUUGUGAUAUAUUUCGUUUAUCUGUUUGCAUGCUCAUUCACUGUAAUGCUAAGUUUGGAAAUACAUUUGUAUAUCUUCUUCGAUUUCUCCGUUGUGUGUGCCUAGUUGACUUGUAUGGUCGGAAUUUGAGAUAGAACGGUGCUUUGAUAGUGAUCACUGAACAUCAUUCUUAACAUGAUUUUAUCAUUUGGUUUAAGGAAUGUCAAGAGCUUUUAAAUGAAACAUCUAGUUAAUCCGUUUUAACAGAUAUAGAACCUUGGAGUUUAUUGAAACCAAAGUCAAGAGUUUCUCACCACAAUGGGACUCUCCUCACAGUUGAUAUCAAUGGCGCAAUCAAAUCAUAUAUACAACACCUUAGAGGAUUCAAGAAAGUCUCUUGGUUCCAUUCCUUCGCGUCCUGGUUCGCUUUUUUCACUAUUCAAGUGAUCAGCACUUUUGAUUGAAAACUGAUACCACACAGCAUCCACUUGAAACUAAACAUAAAUAUACAACCAAACAGUUACGCAAUGAUAGCUCAACCAGACAGAACCGAACCGAAUCUUAGUUUUGCUUUCCAAAUUUUAAAUAACGGGAUAAACCGGUUGAUUCUCAUCCAGUUCUGUAAUUUGUCUGACACUACUCAAGUGAUCAGCACUUUUGAUUGAAAACUAAUAACACACAGCACCCACUUGAAAGUUGAAACUAAACGCAACUCAAUGAUAAACCGGGAUAAACCGGUUAGUUCUCAUCGAGUUCUGUAAUUUGUCUUUUACUAUCAAACCGGACAAAUUGAUGGUUUAAAAACAAAACUCAGUCUGGAUUAUAAUAAAAUCAGAUCAUGAAACUCUACCAAACAAGAGUCCUUUCGGUCUCUGCAAAUUUGUUUUCGACUCUAAUUGAGAGGAGGAGAAGUCCAGUACUUGAAACGAAUCCAAAAACGCGGUGAUCCGUGCGUUUUCAGACACCAUCGCGACCGUAUGCAUAACUGGGUUAGAGCUUCCUCAUCCGAUUUCACCGGAACUCCUCCACAGCCCAGGAGGUAAAUUAAUUACUUCUUCUCCAUUCAAUUUCCGAUUUUAAUUUCAGCUGAUGAUUUUUAUUCUUCAUCAGUGGACAUACAGCUGUCAAUGUCGGAAAAUCCAUGGUCGUGGUGUUCGGCGGCCUCGUCGACAAGAAGUUCCUCAACGACAUCAUUGUUUAUGACAUUGGUAAUAUUAUACUUCAGCCUAUGAUUAUUGAUUCCUUGAUCCAAAGAAAUGCUUUUUUUUUUUAAUUUCUCUUGAGUUACUGUCUUGGCUUGCUUUGUUUAUAAUGAAAGACUAGUGUUUCUGGUAGUUUAUUUGUCUGUUAAGCUUAGUUAGGCUGAUGCUUCCAUCAAAGAUAGUUACUUUGGAAAAAUUAUAGAAAACUGAAAACUUCACAAUGAAAUUAUUCGAUUCGGUGUUAGUUUUGUUGCUUAGCAUCUUUUGUCCCCUCCUUGGCAUUGUUUUAAUUAUCAUAUGGUCAGCUUUUUUAAUCAUGUGAGAAUCGGUUUGUCUUAUGAUUCGGUCGACUAGAGAACAAACUCUGGUUUGAGCCAGAAUGUACCGGCAGCGUGUCUGAAGGAAAAGUUGGUCCUACACCUCGCGCGUUUCAUAUUGCCAUCACUAUUGAUUGUCAUAUGUUCAUCUUUGGUGGACGUUCUGGUGGCAAGAGGUACUCACUACUAUUUAUUUUCUAGUUAUAAGCGUUUUUGCAUUCUUUUUUCAGUAACUUCUAUAAAUCAAUUUCAGGUUGGGUGACUUCUGGGUUCUAGAUACAGGUAAGUGUACAAUCAUAACAAUGUCACUGAGACCUGCCUGGAACUUUUUAAUACCCUGCUGCUGACAUUUUCUGCAGAUAUAUGGCAGUGGUCUGAGCUAACCAGCUUUGGCGACUUACCUACGCCUCGUGAUUUUUCUGCCGCCGCUGCUAUUGGGAACCAGAAAAUUGUGUUGUGAGUAUUCAGAAAUUUUAGACGUUCAUCAGCUUGUUGCAUGCAUUGGCGUAACCUAUGAUCAUUGGCAGGUGUGGCGGCUGGGAUGGUAAAAAAUGGCUGUCAGAUGUGUAUGUUAUGGACACAAGUAUAUCUCGCCUCUACUUCAGUUUUGUAAUAAAACUGUUUUUAAGUUUAUGAUAAUGUCAGCUUUCUUGGUGUCUGUUAGUGUCUCUUGAAUGGAUGGAGCUGUCGGUUUCGGGGUCGUUGCCGCCUCCUAGAUGUGGCCAUACAGCCACCAUGGUUGAGAAACGUUUACUUGUUUUUGGUGGCCGAGGUAUAACACCAGAACCAGAAUCUUUGUUCUGCUUGAGCUGAUGACAACUAAACUGAGACUAUGGUUAUCUUUGACAGGAGGUGGUGGCCCUAUCAUGGGUGAUCUGUGGGCUUUGAAGGGUCUAAUAGAUGAAGGUUCAUCCUUACCUAAAUUACUUAAAAAUUGCAUUGAAUUAUGUAGAGGAGUAUUCUCUUGAGUUGUCUUUCUUUCUUUUGUUCUGUUUGCUGAUCUUAUUGUGGGGUUUACCUUUGCUGUGGAAGAAAGAACGUGAAACACCUGGAUGGACCCAACUAAAGCUUCCUGGCCAAGCACCAUCAGCUCGAUGUGGUCACACUGUCACAUCCGGAGGACAUUAUGUAUGUCUUUUUCAGCUUCCGUUUGCUCUUUUGUAUAAAUAGGUUCGCAUGACAUACAUCACUCACAUCAUUAAUGUUCAUGUAUGAAGCUUCUGUUAUUUGGGGGACAUGGAACUGGUGGAUGGCUGAGUCGUUAUGAUGUAUAUUAUAAUGACACUAUAAUUUUAGACAGAGGUAAAUUCUUGCUUAUGAGAUUCGUCUCCUCUGCUAAAGGAGCACUCUAAAUCCAAAAAUCCACCUCAGUAAUUUACAAUCUAGUGAGAUGAUAAAAUUGUGAUGUGCUUUAUCAUUUUUCUUGCUGAGCAUUGUUUUCUACGCGUUGUUGCUAAAUUUAUAUUUUCACAUACUAGUAACUGCACAGUGGAAGCGCUUACCAAUAAGCAAUGAUGAACCUCCUCCUCCUCGAGCUUAUCACACCAUGACAAGUAUUGGAGCUCGUCAUCUUUUAAUUGGUGGUUUUGAUGGAAAAUCAACCUUCGGUGAUCUUUGGUGGUUGGUUCCUGAAGGUAUCUUUCUCUUAUUUAUACUGAUGUUUUAGUCCAACUUAGCUAUCAUUCUGUGUACACGCAUCAUCAGUUACUUAUAGUUGGAAACUCUUUAGACGAACUAAUCUUGGUGUUGGUCGCAGAUUGUAGGCAAUUUUAGAGACACUUAAUUUCUAGCAUAAUCUUUUUUUUCUUCUUUAUCAAGUUUGUAUUGAAAGUUUUGAAGUUUUACUGAACUGUUUAGCCUUCUGAAAAUGUUGUUAUUCGUUUUUUUCUUUUUCUCUUUUCUCAGAUGAUCCGAUAGCCAAGAGGUCUUCUGUACCUCAACUUAGAAACCCUCCUGAGACUAAAGAGUCAGAGAGAGAUUUGGAUACGGUAACUGUGGUUCCUGCUCAUCAUCUUAUGUGUUUCUCGCCAAUGCAGUUAAAUUAGCUUUUCAACUUGUUUUAACACCAAGAGUUUGGUCACAGCAGGAAAGAGGACAAGAGGGAUUCACUAUCGUCGACUUGCAAAAGAAAAUGGGAAUCUCUGUUUCUUCAGGGUUACGCCUUCAAAUACCCGAGGAGUUAGAAGAUCAAGAGUUCGUUGAGUUAGGAACCAGAUUGAUUGAGGGAGAUGCAGUUGAUAAUGGAGCCUCCAUGAUUCAGGUGAGUUUUUCCUCUUGUCUAUUUUAGAAUGUGUGAUUGUGUUAUUCUUGUACUGAAAAUGCUUCUCAAUGAAAAGAUGGCAGCUGAAGCACUUCGUCAACAUUGGAAAGAGUCCACUCCAGAGACUUUGCAAUUAAAGGAGCUUGGUUCCUUGCUUCGAGAUUAUCAGCGACUGGUUACCCGAAAAUACACGUGAGUUCUUAUCCAUGCCUAACUAUUUCAGACUCAGUUCUUGUUUAUGUAGAUUAUCUUUUGUUUCACUAAAAAUGGUUGUUCUUUGAUUGCGCUUGGAAUCACCACAUGGCAUUAGAAUAACUUAGAUAAAUCUCCUGAGAGUUUAGGAGUCAUAUAGAGUUAAUAUGAAUAUAUCAUUUUUGUGUCUUGAAUAGCCCUCGAGACUCUUUAAUCCGAGCAUAUUGUCAAAACUGAUAAUGUUGUGAAUGCAUUGUUUUGUGCCCCUACUAUUACAUGUUAUGAAAUCUCACAUCUGCGUCUUCCUUUCCUUGACACAUGUUUCUUUUCAUUUGUUGUGGCGGGUUUCUAUCAGAGCACAGAGCAGCUUAACAUCUGCUGAUUUUGGAAAGAAGACCUUUACGUUUUAUCAUAUCAAAAAUUCUUCCGAGGUAUUACUCUGCAUACUUUCCUCCCUCGCCUGAAUAUUUGACACCAAUCAAUCAAAACAUCAGGCUUUCCUCCUGACAUGUCAAGUUUACAUUUUGCUAUUCUCAGUUGCGGAUGGAUGACAUUCCGGAGUUGCUGGAAGAAUACAAAACCCUUGUAAUCUGAUUGAGGAGCUCUGCCAUGAAACUCACAAGGAGAAUACAAAACUCAUCAAGUAGCUGCCAAGAAGAUCACUGAUAUUACGUGUAUACGCACACCAAGUAACCUAAUGUGCACACUACCACAAUCGAAUGGUAUGUCGAUGUAUCACUUUAGGAUCGAAUCCACAGAGACCAACUAUUACACUUUAUCUUUAUGGGAUCAAUAUCAAGCUAAAACAAUAUGGGGGUUUUAAAGUUGAUUUCGUAACAAGCAAGUAAAAAGAUUAAUUAAAGAUUUCAGAUGAUUAAAAUGCUAGCCUAGGGUGGUUUGGUCGGGUGUUAAGCAAGUGUGAGCCAAACAAUUAUUCAAGUUCAAUUAAGAGCAAGUCUAGAACUCGGAUCACUCAAAUAGAACAAUCCACUGUCGUGGUACUGCCCCCUAUGCUGAUCGAUCUUGAUACCUAAACUCUCGUUUGGAUCAAGAUGCGACAGCAAGCAAUAGAGAUCAAGUCCGAUAUGUUCACAAAACACCCUAAUAUCUACUUUCGCUGAUUAGGGAUGCAAUGCUCAUUCAAGUUAUGUCUAGCAACCUAUAACACUUUUGAUGAAUAGAUUAAACCUAGAAUCAGGCACUAAGUGGUUAACUUGAUGCAAGCCUUAAGAACAACAGUGAAUGAAGACAAUCGAUUUAUAACUUAUUUAUGUCAAGCUCACGGAUCUAACACCCUAACACCCUAGACUAAGCAAGUUGACUACUCAGCCAUGAACAGAGAAAACAUAGAGAUCAAUUCUGAAUAAGACUUCAUGUAAAUAAAAGAGAUAGAAAGAGGGUUCAGGAUAAUCUUCUCUAUGGUGAGAGAGAUGGAGCCUUCUCCCUUUACAAUCCAAAAGCACAAAAGUCUCCAAUGGUUUUCUUCUGUCUAGAAUAGCGUAGAAUGAUAAAGAGAAACAGAAAAUAUGAUAUAUCAAAGCCACAGGCGGCUGGGAGAGAAAAUAGGGAUAAUUAGGGCAAAUCCCGUAAUGAUUGUAGUUUCCUUAAAAAUCUCUGCCGCUGGAACACUCAUUCGGAACAAUCACUCGGGUUGCUCCGCUAUCCGGAACAGUCAUCAAGACUGUUCUGCGUGAAAACCACCAAAUUGCACUGUUUGCUGCCUCUUUUGUUCCAGCUGGUCCAUCUCCCAUCCAAUGCAACUCCAGACCUGUAAUGACUCGAAAAGGACUAGAAAGACUCGAUAAAGACUUGAAAACCAAUUGAAAAGCAUAUAUACAAGAUGUAUAAAACACCAUAUAUCAAUUCCCCCAGACUUAGAUCCUUGUUUGUCCUCAAACAAUGUCAAGUAUCAAGAACAGGGAGAAAGGUUUGAAAGUGUGGGAACUCUCAUAUUCUCAGCAACCAUACUUUAACCACGAAUCUCUGAACCAUACAAGCAGUAAAACUAGGACAACACACCCUUACCGGAACCCCACUGACUGCUGUUCAAAAAUCGGCUCCAUACUCUUCAUCUCAAACCUGAAAAAGCAACACUAUCGAGACAGAACUCCCUACAUUCAUUUAAGAGUAGCGUGAGCUUCUCAUCACAGGCAUCAUUCAGGGUAGACGGUCUAGGUGUGGAACAGGCUAUUUAAUGGUGGAGUUAAGAGUGUUUAGGGGCUACCAUUUCAUUGAAGAGGAUGCAUGAUAUCACACAAAAUGGCAAGAGAGGAUAGAUCCAUUGAUGUCCACAGCCUCUACUCGUUUUUGCUCUAUCUGGUGCGACUGUUCUGAUGACGGAACAGGCAACUGAUUGUUCUGCUUUCCACUUUCCUCUACACACUCUUCAAUACUUGGUACCAACUUCUUGCUCGACCUUUCCAGUGGCUCUAUGUUUCUUUUCUUUCUUUCCCUUCUCCAUCACAUUGUUCUCGUUUUUUUUUUUUUUUUUGAAUACUGAUAUGGUGAUGUGACGAAGAAGGAGGUAAUACAUGAUCGUUCUGAGUGCCACUGGUGGUUCUGAUUUCGCGACCAUUCUGGUUCUCCACCCCUGCUCUUGCGCAGUUCAUUGGUUAUGGAGCGGUUGCUCCCUUAAUCUGCUUGUUCUCCUUUCUGACAAAAUUUCUGCAGCAGUAACGAGUAGGAGGCUGCGUUGAUCCUUUCCUCUCCGACCUUUUUGCACAUAUCUGCACAUAUGACACUGAAAAACAAAUGCAUGAAGGUAGAAUAAAGGCUAAGGUGCAGGGUGGGAACUAGCUAAAGAUGAGCUAGCCACUCAGGAUCAGCAAGAUGGAUAAAAAGGAUAAGAAGUCCUGAGUGUGUUCUCGUUUUCCUGAUCUAAUGCCCAUAACAAGAAGAAUUUUAGUCAAGAUUAGGUUCAAGUAAGGUGGAGUUAUGUCUACCCAGUGUAACCUGAUCGGCUGAGAACUUCUGGAGAAUCAAGUGAGAUAUGUCAGGGUGUUCAAGGUUCACAUGUGUGUCUUUCGCCACUGCUAAGGUCACUAAAUAAGAUAACUAAAGCACGAGGUGGUCAGUGAUCAACACAGAAUAAGGUCUUAAUUCCCACAAAGUUUUGACUGACUUAAUCAUAAAAACUGACUCAAACUGACUUAAAAGAAAAACAAAAGAAAGAAACAAGUUAGUAAACGACGAAAACCCUCCCCCAGACUUACUUCACAACGUCCCUGGUGUGAAAAUAAAUCAGAGAGAAGGACAAAACAAGAAUAAAUAUUUUUUUGUUUGGGUCGAGAUACUUACCUGAGUGGAGCAGGCGCUCCAUGAAAAUUCUGGGUGUUCUAUCGUCAGAUGAUCGCCUGGAACAACCGCUCUUUUCAGGGGAUAGGUUGUUCCGUUUCUGCAACCCAGAAUUUUUGAAGUAUCUCGAAUUUUUUUUGCUUUUUGACCUGAAACUUAAUAAACUAAAACGAAAAUUGAGUAAACAAAAACAAAACCAAGUUAUAUUUACACUUACCAGUGGGUUGCCUCCCACCAGCGCUUGGUUUAAGUCUCUAGCUUGACUUGGUGACUGGGAUCAGUCGGGUUGAGCAGGAGGGCCUGUUCCAAAACAAGCUCCACAAUCAGACAUGUUCAGCUUCAAAACCCUGCUCAACAACCCUUUCACAGCAGCUUCCCCUUUCUCUUUCAGCUCAUGUGUGAGAAUAGCUCUGCUUUAGAGAACGGUUUAGAGGUACCCUUGCACUUUACCUCAUACUCAAUGGAGUUCUCAUCACACUUGAGAGGUAUCAAAGUCACUGUAGGAUCUCCUUGACCCUUUUCUUCUGGACUUUCUGUUUCACCCUUGAAUUCCCUCUGAAUUUAGUAGGAUCAGUGCUAGGAUCUUCAUCAAAGAACAGUCUGCUCUCACCCUUAUCACCAUGCUCCUUCUCUGGAACAACCUUCAGCUUUUCUACAUCAAACACUGAGAUGCGAGAGGCGUGUGAUGAGGAAGAUCUGGUGGGUACAGCCUUGUAGAAUACUUUCUUGUUGAUGUUGGAGAAGCAGACUCUCUUGUUGGGCAUAUCGAUGGUUGCUCCAACAGUAGCCAUGAAUGUCCUUCCAAAUAUCAAAGGCAUCUCAUGAUCUUUGUUCAUCUCAACAACCUGAAACUCAGCAGGAACAAUGCAUUCCCCUACUUGAACAUGAAGGCUGCGGAUGGUUCCAUAUGGGACUGCUCUGGAAGAGUUUGCAAAGGUCAGGGUCAACUGAGAACGCUCAACAUCAGCAAUACCCAAAUCGUCUACAAUAGCCUUUGAGAUGAGAUUCACACAAGAACCAGAGUCACAAAGAGCGUCCUUGAAGGUUGUUCCUGCGAUGGAACAUGGGAAAACAAACUUUCCAGGAUCAUGAACCUUAGGCAAUACCUUCAGUGCUGGCGUAGACAGUGCUCUGGUAUAGAGGACCUUGAUCUCCUCUUGAGUCUCUCUACAGUGUUUAAAGAACUGGAGCAAUGGACGAAUCUGCAGAGCAUCUUCGAAUGCAAGUUCUUUAGGAAGCCUUCUCACCAUCUUGUUAAAACCUAUCAGCUGCUCUUCACUAAUGGGAUCCAUCAGAUGUCUAGGUGGAAUUGGAUAGGGAACCUUGGGAACAUAGACUCGCACUGGUGGAGUUUCAGCAGGUUCGCUAGGAGCAAUCACUCCAGAGCUAGCAGACUGCUCUGUGUUCUCUUCUGCGCCUAGAACAGUCUCAGCGAACGGCUGCUCUAUUGCAUUACAGUGCUCAGUCCUAGGAUUUUUAUCAGUUCUUCCAGGGAGCGUCUCUUGUUGCCUCUUGACACUCUCAACUGUUUGAGCAAGCUGAACAUCGAUCUUUCUUAUAUGGAUUGCAAGAUUGUCAUACUUGUUAUUCAGUUCAGUGAACAUGUUGCCCAUCCUGGUGUCUAUUUCCGUGGUUACCUGAUUCAACACCUUGGCCUGAACCUGCUGACCCUGCAACAGUUGUUGCAUCAUCAUACCCAGACCCUUCAGCUCAUCUGGUUGACUGUUCUCGGUAGCUGGAACAACAUGCGGAUUGCUCUGCGGUUGUCGUUGGUUCAGGUUCUGAAUAUGCCCGGCCGUAGGUUGCUCCAUGCUGAAAACGUGUCCUUGGUUGUUUUUCAGUAACUGAUCAACCUUGGCAGUCAGCUCAUCUAUUUUCUGGGCGUCAGAACUGUUCCCUUUCAUGGAGCGAUCACUCUCCUCUUUCUUAUUAGCUGAGCUAGCAGCCAUGUUCUCAAUCAGCUUAAACGCUCCAGCAGUGGUUUGAGUCAUGAAGUCUCCAUUGCUCGCAGAGUUUAGAGCACCUUGGUAUUUCCAGUCCACUCCAUCAUAGAAAAUAUCCAGGAUAUAAUCAUCAUCAAAUCCAUGGUGAGGACAUUCUCUGCGAUAGUCAUUGAAGCGCUCCCAUGCGUCGCAGAAAAGCUCAUCAGUGAGCUGUCUGAAGGAGGUGAUCUUGUUCCUCAAUGCAGCUGUUCUCGCCUUAGAGUAGAAAUGGCUGAGGAACGCUGAUCGGACCUGUUCCCAUGAAGUGAGAGAGCCGGUAGGGAGAGAGUUCAACCACCGUGCAGCUUUUCCAUCAAGAGAGAAUGGGAAUAACAUGCACGUGAUGUAGUCUGGUGGAACACCAUUCACGCGAGUGAAACUGCAGACUUUUUCGAAGCUCUCAAUAUGCUCCAUUGGAAUUUCUGUAGAGAGACCAGAGAACACCUUUCUCUGUACUAGACCGAUCAAAGCAGGCUUGAUCUCAAAGUCCUGCCUAGUACAAGGUGGAGGAACAAUGGCAGAGCGCGUAGUAGGGAUGUUACGCGGGAGGUUUCUCUGCCCGAUUGGAACAGUCUGCGCCUGUUGUUCCUGCUGCGCGAGAGCAGCCUGUUCAGCAGCAUCCUGCUGAGCUUGGAUGGUCUGCUGCAUUUGUUGCAUCUGCUGCUGCAUGAGUGCCAUAGCCGCAGCGAGAUCAUCUUGAUUGGCGUGAUCACCCAUAGUGGUGUCGGUUUGCCUUGGCUGUUGACGAUUUGUUCUUUCUAACCUUGCUAGCUCCUGGUUGGUAAAUGUAACUAACUCUCCUUGUGCGUUUCUUCGAGUAUGUCUACUGGUCAUGCACCUGGAACAUUAGCUGCAACAAAAAGGAUAAGGCAAGUUAGAGGUCUUAGACUAAAUAAAUAACCGAAAAAUAAAGGUAAAAAGAUGGUCCCCGGCAACGGCGCCAAAUUGAUAUUACGUGUAUACGCACACCAAGUAACCUAAUGUGCACACUACCACAAUCGAAUGGUAUGUCGAUGUAUCACUUUAGGAUCGAAUCCACAGAGACCAACUAUUACACUUUAUCUUUAUGGGAUCAAUAUCAAGCUAAAACAAUAUGGGGGUUUUAAAGUUGAUUUCGUAACAAGCAAGUAAAAAGAUUAAUUAAAGAUUUCAGAUGAUUAAAAUGCUAGCCUAGGGUGGUUUGGUCGGGUGUUAAGCAAGUGUGAGCCAAACAAUUAUUCAAGUUCAAUUAAGAGCAAGUCUAGAACUCGGAUCACUCAAAUAGAACAAUCCACUGUCGUGGUACUGCCCCCUAUGCUAAUCGAUCUUGAUACCUAAACUCUCGUUUGGAUCAAGAUGCGACAGCAAGCAAUAGAGAUCAAGUCCGAUAUGUUCACAAAACACCCUAAUAUCUACUUUCGCUGAUUAGGGAUGCAAUGCUCAUUCAAGUUAUGUCUAGCAACCUAUAACACUUUUGAUGAAUAGAUUAAACCUAGAAUCAGGCACUAAGUGGUUAACUUGAUGCAAGCCUUAAGAACAACAGUGAAUGAAGACAAUCGAUUUAUAACUUAUUUAUGUCAAGCUCACGGAUCUAACACCCUAACACCCUAGACUAAGCAAGUUGACUACUCAGCCAUGAACAGAGAAAACACAAAGAUCAAUUCUGAAUAAGACUUCAUGUAAAUAAAAGAGAUAGAAAGAGGGUUCAGGAUAAUCUUCUCUAUGGUGAGAGAGAUGGAGCCUUCUCCCUUUACAAUCCAAAAGCACAAAAGUCUCCAAUGGUUUUCUUCUGUCUAGAAUAGCGUAGAAUGAUAAAGAGAAACAGAAAAUAUGAUAUAUCAAAGCCACAGGCGGCUGGGAGAGAAAAUAGGGAUAAUUAGGGCAAAUCCCGUAAUGAUUGUAGUUUCCUUAAAAAUCUCUGCCGCUGGAACACUCAUUCGGAACAAUCACUCGGGUUGCUCCGCUAUCCGGAACAGUCAUCAAGACUGUUCUGCGUGAAAACCACCAAAUUGCACUGUUUGCUGCCUCUUUUGUUCCAGCUGGUCCAUCUCCCAUCCAAUGCAACUCCAGACCUGUAAUGACUCGAAAAGGACUAGAAAGACUCGAUAAAGACUUGAAAACCAAUUGAAAAGCACAUAUACAAGAUGUAUAAAACACCAUAUAUCAAUCACCAAGAUUGCUAUCAGCAUUACCAUUGCAAACCACAAAGCUAAAAAGUCUCAAGAGAAUCACAUCUCUGAUAGACAACUAUGUGCAACUUCUUUUUAGCAAGAACAAAAAGAUACAACGUAUAUGUAAGACUUCCAUUAUCUCAACUUAAAUCCAUAUCUAAGCCUCUGCUCUUUUAUUUCUUGUUUGGGCUUUGAAAAUAGAUUGCUUUGCCUUGAAGCCAAUGCGAAAGUAAGGAAAAAAGUAGGCAAACUUCAUCUAUUAGACUUUGAAAUGGAUUACAACAACAACGGUACUCUUGAUAACUUAAACCACAGAGUUUCUGUCUGCAUAGACCCGUAUUGUCUUUUCUCUAUCCCCUAAAACAACUCGAACUCAAGAUGAUCUCCCAUGGCUUUACAUUCAAGAUAUCCAUUACCAUUUCCUUUAGGAGAAGUUGCUUCCGUUGCACCAUUCUCAUAUACAUCAGGCAGAUCAGGCGGAAUGGCGCAGCGGAUGAGAGCCCAGUUCAAUCCUUCAAAGAAUGGAUGCCUCUUGAUCUCUGCAGCUCCUUUCUCCCACCCGAGGCGGCUCCCCGGAUCCUUCAUCACCAACCUUCUGAUCAAAUUCUUUGCCUGGAAGCUCACAAGAGGGCUAUCAGGAAACUUGAGGUUCUGAAACACAAACGUCUCCUCAUUGUCAUAACCUUUGAACGGUGUCUUCCCGUAUAAAAGCUCAUAGAGAAGAACCCCAAACGUCCACCAGUCUACUGCAGCACCGUGACCUUCUCCUUAAUGAUCUCCGGCGCCAAGUACUCGUGCGUUCCUACAAAAGAGUUUGAUCUUGCUUCAGUUGGUUCAGCCACAAGCUGAGGCAAUGAUCUGAACUGUUGGGUCAGAAGAUCAGGCCUUCUCUGUUUUCUUGGUUUUGAGUUUCUAGCUUGCGUUGACAAGAGCCUAGGGCUGAAACAUGGGACACGGCACGAUGGACUCUAUCUAAAUCACAGGUUCUUCAUCUUCUUUGGAAGCUGAGGAGCUUGAUACAAUAAUUGAAGACGAAGACAAACAGCAGUAUCCAGGCGAUGUGCACCGCAGCUACAGCUGGUAAGAAGUCAUGUUCGAACCCGGAUCCAUCUUUGAGCAACUGUUUUAGUUCCGUGUCUAGGAGACCAGUGUUCUGCACUAUCGAAUCUUGGUCUCCUACUUGAGAUGUGAUGCUUCCAUACAAUGUCCAGCCACUGGCGUUGCCUAGUAAUUAAUAUCAUCUCCACCAUAUCAAUAUUUGCUGCAUCCCCUCCUCCAUAAGAAACAUAAAACAUAAAAGUUAGGUAGCUCUAAAACACUUCUGAUCAUAACAAAAAGUAAGAUCUAUAACACACUUGAUGAUUACGUAAGUUGGUUCGUAAUUUUUACCAAUCUUUGGGAUGAGGAACUGGAGAAAAGAUUCCAAAUAGACCGAGGAAGAAAGACAUGCAGAUUCCGGAGAUUUGAUAGUUUGGUGUCAAGGCCACAAAGCAUCAAGCUUGGUAACAUGUCGUAGUAGUAGAAGUAGAACCAGAAGAACUUGACCACAGUACGGUCGUAUCCUAUCAUUGAGUAAAGGAUUAUAGUAUGUAAACUCUAGUUUGUAUGGUGUCAUACUACAUGAUCUAACAACUUUGUCUAUAUUAUCAAUUUUCCUAAUUAAUUAUUUCUAACAAAAAUAUAAUUUUUAAAUAUUAACGAAUAUAUUUUGGAAGUUGAAAAUAAGGUAGAAAUUUUGUACAAAAGGGAAGGAAGGAUAUGGGGGAAUUAUUUGCCUGCGAAAAGUCAUUAUCCCUUACAGACUAGAAAAGUCGCAUAUUUUCUUUUUAUUCAAAAUCAGAACCACAGAUGGCAGCCAAUAUAGACUGUUGAUAAGAUUGACUUGGAGUCAACUCUUUCAUUGCCAUUCAUAUCUCUUCUUCCAAAGAACGUCUCUAAGCAAGUUGAAGAGCUGUUACAUGAAAGGUAAAUCAUGUUCUUGUAUCAUUAUUUGUCUGUUUAACUUGCUUUGAUCUGUCUUUUGGACUCUGUUGUGGUUGAAUCUGAAUUUAAAAACGAAAAUUCGUUGGAUUAUUACAAAUCUUGUUUUACGAAUUUAAACCAUUUAAUCAUCAAAUCUUGUUAUAAAUUGUUUGAAUAAAAGUAAGUUAAGUAAAGUUCCUCUGACAUGUAUCAUGUUUUAUUAGAUCAACCAAGGAUUAUCAUAAACGGUUUUAAAUCGUACUACAAGUUUGUACUUAUGUGUUGUGUUGAUGGUGGAACAGGAGAAUAGUGAUGGCUGAGGGAGUUGUGUCGUUUGGAGUGGAGAAACUCUGGGAUCUCCUCAGUCGAGAAUCAGAGAGACUGCAGGGAGUUCAUGAGAAAGUUGAUGAUCUAAAAUGUCAGAUGAGAAUGUUACAGUCGUUGUUGAAAGAUGCAGAUGCCAAGAAAUAUGAGAGUGUGGUGAGAAACUUCUUGGAAGAUGUCAAAGACACUGUUUUUGAUGCUGAAGACAUAAUUGAAUCCUUUCUUUUGAAAGAAUUGAGUAGAAACCAAAAAGGGAUCAAGGGGCGUGUGAAAAGACUUGCUUGUUUCUUAGUGGAUCGCCGAGGUCUUUCUAUGGACAUUGAAGGCAUAACUAAGAGAAUGGCCAAGGUUGUUGGGCAAAUGCAAAGCUUUGGAAUACAACAGAUCAUCUACAGAUCACCGUCUCUACAAGAGAGACAGAGGGAGAUCCAACAAACAUAUCCUAUGGGAUCUCAAAAGGAUCUUGUGGGGGUGGAACAGAGUGUUAAAGAAUUGGUUGGUCAUUUGGUGGAGAAUGAUAACAUCCAAGUAGUUUCCAUAUCUGGGAUGGGUGGUAUUGGAAAAACCACUCUUGCCAGACAAGUCUUACAUCAUGACAUUGUUCAAAGUCAUUUUGAUGGAUUCGCAUGGAUCUGCGUUUCGCAAGAUUGUAAGCGGAUGGAUAUUUGGCAAAAGUUAUUGCAAGACCUUAGACCUCAAGAUAAGGGCAUCGAACAAAUGAAUGAGCCUACACUCCAGGCUAAGAUCUUUCACUUGUUGGAAACAUCUAAAUAUUUAAUUGUCAUGGAUGAUGUAUGGAAAAAAGAAGACUGGGAUAUAAUAAAAGGCGUUUUCCCCCAAGAAAGAGGUGAGCUCUCUAAUUGUACAUACAUUACUUACGAACUCUCCAUAGCUAUUUCAUAAAUGCCUUUUCAGUCUCUGAGAUGAAAGGAAAUACAAUUGCAGGUUGGAAAAUGAUUCUUACUUCACGUGAUGAAAGUGUUGGUUUCCAUGCAGACCGAACAUGUUUUCCCUUUAGACCAAAAACUCUUACUCCUGAAGAAAGUUGGAAGCUAUGUGAAAGCAUAGCAUUCCCUAGACGAGAUAUAACCGGUACGUUUUUAUAUAAGAAUCAUAUGAAUCCUUAAGGCCAGAAAGCUUGAUAUCUCUUACGGACCUUCUAAUCAAAAUUCUUGUGUUGUAAUUCCUAAAUCAUCCUCUGGGAUUACAUAUAUGGUUCCAAUGUUUAAAAAAUCGAUUUAUUCUAACAUUAUCUCUUAAUUUAAUUUAUUUAGAUUAAUUUAUAAUGAUUUAAACCGAUUUGAAUUGUAUAAAUUGGUAUAAAUCAGAUUUUAAGAAAAUCGUUUCGAUGGGACAAAGUUAGCCUAUGUGCCGCCUAGACCAAUUUUUAGAACAUUGUAUGGUUGUAUAUACCUUUGAGAAACAUUAUAGCAUUUCAUUUAUGUCAUAUGUCAUCAGCAAUGUUUUAAAAACCGGAUCAGACAUUGAUUCGGCAUUGUAGCUGCGUAAAUGGUCAGAUCGGUGCAAUUAGUUCAACUGACUUCUAAAUUUAAUUUAAUUUUAAAUUCAGUAACUACAUCUAUGUAUAAUAAAAUUGUUCUUAUAAAACUUUAUUUCAUUGUUAAUAUCUAAAAGAUCUUAUGAAAAUAAAAUGACAACUUCAAAAAUAAUAUAAACUAUAAUGAAACUAAUUGAUUUAGAUAGAUAUUAAAAACAAUAUGAAAUCUUUUUAAAAUUUGCAAAUUUUUAUUUUUAAACUUGAAUUUGAGAAAACUUGAUUUUAAUAUCGAACCAGAUUACCGGUUUUAGCAAAUUUGAACAGUUUAUGACAUGGUUUACCGGUUUAAUUCAAAUUCAGUUUUAAUACAACUCAAAACCGGCUAGAAUAACGAGUCAAGGUCCAACCGGGCAAUCCGGUUUUCAAAACACUAGUCAUCACCAUAAUGAUUCUUUUUUUUUAGAGAAAUAUGUUAGCCAUCUAAACAUAUAAUAUAAUACUCAUUAAACUAAAUAUUAAAUUAAUUAUUAAUGUACAAAACAUAUUAUUCCUUCUUUGCUUAAGUAUAAGCUACAAAAUUACAUAAUGUGAUAAAUAUAUAUAAGGAGUUUUCUUGCGCCAUGCGCAAAUAUACUAAUUUUUAGCUAAAUUUUUAUUUAUUUUAUUUUAAAUAAAAAUAAAUUUACGUUUUCAUACUAUUAUUUUUAUAUUUUAAAUUCAUCGGUCUGGAAAAGAGUGAAAUCACAACUAUUUUUUUGUAAUUUUGUUUCAUUUGAUUUGUUUUAUUUAUUUUAAUUUUAUUUUAUAUGAAUUUUAUUGGAGAAGAAUUAUAUUUUAUAUAACUUUGAAUUUUAUUUAUUUAUAUUUAGUGAUUAUUUAUUUUGAAUAUGUUUCUUAUCCUCUAAGUGUAUAAAUUUUAAUAAUGAUUGGGUUUCUGUUUAAAUGUAUAGCUAAUAUGUUAAACUCGUAAACUCAAUUUCUUAAUUAAUCAAAUAAACUAAUGGAUGCUAAUAAAAUUUUAAACAUUUAAUCAUCCAAAAAAAUUGAUUAGCAUUGCUUUAGUUUUGUGUUCCCUAAUGCACACUUACACUUUAUUUUAAUAAAAUAUAAAAUAUAUAUAGAAAAUAUGAUAAAUAAGUUAAUUUAAAAUUAAAAUAUAAUUAUAUUUAGUUUAUUUUUAUAAAUAUGAUAUAUAUAAUUUUAUUUUAUUUCAAUGGUGAUAUAUGAAUUAUUAGUUAUUAAUAUAUUUUAAAAGUCUUGCCAAAAUAAACAUUUACACAGAAAUGCUAACUUCUAAAUAGUGAUAUAAACAUUAUUAGUCAUUACCAUUUUUAUAAAUUCUUACUAGAAAUAUAUAAAUUUGUAAAAGUUAUUAUUAUUACCAUAUUUAAAAGUCUUUAACAAAAAUAUAAAUUUUUAUAAGAAAAUUUUCAUGUCAAAUUAACUUGAUCUCAUGUCAUUAUUUUCUAAAAACAUGUCAUUUUUUUGGGUGAGAAUGAACACUGUGAUGACAUGUGUACAAAACCACUUUGCAAUUAAUAUUUAGGAGAUACUACAAUCAAUGACUUUGAAUAAUAAUGAUUUGAUAACAAUUUGUGUAUCAUCUAUCAUCUUUAUUUAAUUUUAUAUUAUUAAAAUAAAUUAAUUAAUCAUAUUAAUCAUCUAAUAAAAAUAGAUUUUCCUUAUAUUUUGAAUUUUAAAGAUGACUAUAAAUUACUAAAAUUGUUAAAAUUAAUGGUUUAAUUUUAUUAUUAUAAUAAGAUACAAAUGAUCAUAAGAACUUAUGAAUAUGAAAUUUCAUUUAAUAGAACUGUAGAUUAAAAAAAAAAUAUAUAUAUAUAUAUAUAUCUAUUUCAAUAUCGUUUAAAUUUAGCUGUAUAUAUAUAUAUAUUUUUUUUUCUGAACAUUUGAAAAGACUAGAGACAUUAUUUCAAGGCUCUAAUGUUAUAAUAUGUGUUACUGUUUUCAGAAUUUAUUGUUGAUGAAGAACUAGAAGCCAUGGGUAAGAAAAUGGUCACACAUUGUGGAGGACUACCAUUAGCCGUUAAAGUGUUGGGAGGCUUGUUAGCUAAUAAAAGCAUGGUUGAAGAGUGGAAAAGAGUAGAUGACAAUAUUCAAAGUCAGAUAGUUCGCAUAGAUGACAACAGUCAAGAUUCGGUUUACCGAGUAUUGUCUAUGAGCUAUGAAGACUUGCCAAUGCAGUUAAAGCAUUGCUUCCUCUACCUAGCUCAUUUUCCUGAAGAUGACAAGAUACAAAUGGACAUAUUAUAUUAUCUAUGGGCAGCAGAAGGCAUAAUAAAGUCAAGUGGCGAUGGAGAAACCACUUGGGAAAUUGGAGAAGACUACAUAGACGAGCUAGUACGGAGAAAUAUGAUUAUUGGAGUAAAAGAGGAAUUGAGUUGCAGAUGGGCGUAUUGUCAAAUGCAUGACACGAUGAGAGAAGUAUGUUUAUAUAAAGCCAAAGAAGAGAACUUUCUUCAGAUUAUCAAAGUCCCUACUUCUUCUAUGUCUACCAUCAAUGCUCUUACUCCUACCAGAUCUCGCAGACUCGUAGUACACGGUGGUGGUAAUUCACUUGAUAUGCUGGGAGGUAAAAACAAUCAAAAAGCUAGAUCUGUUUUGGGUUUUGGACUCGACAGCAAAUCGUCGAAGCAGUCAGGUCAAGGACUCAGAAAUUUACAAUUACUUAGGGUCUUGGAUUUGAGUUUAGAUUAUAAAAGCGGCGACUCUAGAGGGUGGAGAAUACCAUCCAGCUUUGGAAAGCUCAUUCAUUUGAGAUAUUUGAGCUUACACAUGCGUUGGGCAACUGAUGUACCUUCUUCUUUACGGAAAUGAAAUACUUCAUCUGCCAAGUAUCUUUAAAGAGAUGGUAGAGUUGAGGUUCCUGCAGCUUUAAAGAGAUGGUAGAGUUGAGGUUCCUGCAGCUUCCCCUUCUUCUUGACGCUAAAACAAAGUUGGAAUUGGGCAAUCUAGUGAACCUGGAGUGCUUGGGCUGGUUCCAAUCAGAAAACGGUAGCAUCACAGACUUCCUCCGAAUGAAAAAGCUCAGGACUCUCCACAUAAAACUCAAAGGCAGGUAUACUUCUGAAACUCUAGCGUCAUCUCUCUGUGAAUUAAGAAACCUGGAGGAGCUUAGAUUGAUCGAUGAGAACAACGAAUCCGAUGGGGCUUAUGAUUUGGAUUUCGUUUGGAAUUUCAUUCAUCUAAGGGAAUUAUGGAUGGGUAUACAUAUGACAAGGCUCCCUGAUCACUCUCGAUUGCCUCCCAACCUUGCACACAUAUGUCUAAUUAAAUGUGAAUUGGAGGAUGAUCCACUGCAGAUUCUGGAAAAGUUGCUUCAUUUGAAGUCGGCUGUAUUACAUUACAGAUCUUUCGUGGGGAGGAAGAUGGUGUGUUCAAAAGGUGGAUUCCCUCAAUUAUGUAAGCUAGACAUAAUGUUCCUACACGACUUGGAAGAGUGGAUAGUCGAAGAAGGGUCGAUGCCAUGUCUUCGUACCUUGUCUAUUCAAAGUUGCUACCGGAAGGGCUCAAGUAUAUCACUUCUUUAAAGAAACUGGAAAUCAUACAUAAGAACAAGGAGUGGAAGACGACACUCGUACCAGGUGGGGAAAGUUACCACAAAGUCCAACACAUUCCUAGUGUUCAAUUAAACUAUUUUGGCCACGAAUAAGGAGAAUAAAACUGUCUCAGGUAUAUAUUCUUUUUUGGUAUAAUGUCAAUAUUGUUCAUUUUGUUGGUUAUAUAUCCUCCUUGAAGUUUAGUGUGAAAGUCUAAACUCUCUGUUAUUCGGUUUUCAGGUGAACCUACUCAGGAUCAGUACCCACCACUAUCGAUUGUGUGAUAUGAUAAUAAGUCGUUUUUGUUGUAUGAAGUUUACAUAUCUUGUUUGUGAUAUAUUCCGUAUAUCUAUUUGCAUGCUCAUUCACUCGUCUCAUAAGAUUCUUCUCCUCUGCUAAAGGAUCACUCUAAAUCCAAAAAUCCACUUCAUUAAUUUACAAUAGUACAAUACUAGUGAGAUGAUAAAAUUGUGAUGUAAAUUAUCCUUUUUCUUGCUGAGCAUUGUCUUCUAUGCGUUGUUGCUAAAUUUUUAUUUUUCACAUACUAGUAACUGCGCAGUGGAAGCGCUUACCGAUAAGCAAUGAUGAGCCUCCUCCUCCUCGAGCUUACCAUACAAUGACUAGUAUUGGAGCUCGUCAUCUUUUAAUUGGUGGUUUUGAUGGAAAGUCAACCUUCGGUGAUCUUUGGUGGCUGGUUCCUGAAGGUAUUAAACUCUUAUUUGUACUAAUGUUUUACUCCAACUUAGCUAUCAUUCUGUGUACAUGCAUCAUCAGUUACAAUCUCGGUGCUGGUCACAGAUUAUAGGCAAUUAGAGACACUUAAUUUCUAGCAUACUCUUUUUUUUCUUCUUUAUCAAGUUUGUAUUGAAAGUUUUGAAGUUUUACACAUCUGAUUGAAUUUACUGAACUGUUUUAGCCUUCUGAAAAUGUUGUUAUUCGUUGUGAAAGAAAGAAAUGGAUUAAAGAAAGAAAUGUUGUUAGCGAUCUAACUCUUUUUCUCUUUUCUCAGAUGAUUCCAUAGCCAAGAGGUCUUCUGUACCUCAAAUUAGAAACCCUCCUGAGACUAAAGAGUCAGAGAGAGAUUUGGAUACGGUAACUGUGGUUCCUGCUCAUCAUCUUAUGUGUUUCUCGCCAAUGCAGUUAAAUUAGCUUUUCAACGUGUUUUAACACCAAGAGUUUGGUCACAGCAGGAAAGAGGACAAGAGGGAUUCACUAUCGUCGACUUGCAAAAGAAAAUGGGAAUCUCUGUUGCAUCAGGGUUACUACGCCGUCAUAUCCCCGAGGAGUCAGAAGAUCAAGAGUUCGUUGAGUUAGGAACCAGAUUGAUCGAGGGAGAUGCAGUUGAUAAUCGAGCCUCCAUGAUUCAGGUGAGUUUUUCCUCUUGUCUAUUUUAGAAUGUGUGAUUGUGUUAUUCUUGUACUGAAAAUGCGUCCCAAUGAAAGGAUGGCAGCUGAAGCACUUCGUCAACAUUGGAAAGAGUCCACUCCAGAGACUUUGCAGUUAAAAGAGCUUAAUGCCUUGCUUCGAGAUUAUCAGCGACUUGUUACCCGAAAAUACACGUGAGUUCUUACUCAUUCCAACUAUUUCAGACUCAGUUCUUGUUUAUGUAGAUUAUCUUUUAUUUCACUAAAAAUAGUUGUUCUUUGAUUGCGCUUGGAAUGGCAUUAGAAUAACUUAGAUAAAUCUCCUGAGAGUUUAGGAGUGUUAUAUAGAGUUAAUAUGAAUAUCAUUUUUUGUGUCUUGAAUAGCCCUUGAAACUUUUUAAUCCAAGAAUUGCCAAAACUGAUUCAUUUCUUAAUGUUGUGAAGUCCUCACAUAAAAGUUGAUUGUAAAUGCAUCGCUUUGUACCCCUCUGAAAAGUAUUAAAUGUCAUGAAAUCUCACAUCUGCUUCUCCCUUUCCUUCACACGUUUGUUUUCAUUUGUUGUGGCGGGUUUCCAUCAGAGCACAGAGCAGCUUAACACCUGCAGAUUUUGGAAAGAAGACCUUUACGUUUUAUCAUAUCAAAACUUCUUCCGAGGUACUUCUGCAUACUUUCUUCCUGUUAUUAGCUUUAUUGAACAUUUGACACCAAUCAAUCAUACAUCAGGCUUUCCUCUGACAUGUCAAGUUUUCAUUUUGCUAUUCUCAGUUACGGAUGGAUGACAUCCCCAAGUUGCUGGAAGAAUACAAAACCCUUCUAAUCUGAUUGAGGAGCUCUACCAUAAAACUCACAAGGAGAUAUACUAAAACCCUUCUAAACUCAUCAAGUAGCUGCCAAGAAGAUCACCAAGAUUGCUAUCAGCAUUACCAUUCGCAAACAACAAAGCUAAAAAUUCUCAAAAGAAUCAUCUCUGAUAGACAACAAGACAUGUACAACUUCUUCUUAGUCAAGGACAAAAACAUAUACCCAUAUGUAAGAUUUUCAUUAUUUCUACUUAAAUCCAUAUCUCAGCGUCUGCUCUUUGCUUUAAAGCCAAUGGGAAAGUAAGGAAAAAAGUAGGCAAACUUCACCUCUUAUACUUAGAAAUGGAUUACUACAACAACAACGGUACUCUUGAUAACUUAAACCAUAGAGUUUCUGUCUGCUUAGACCCGUAUUGUCUUUUUUCUCUAUCCCCUAAAACAACUCAAACUCAAGAUGAUCUCCCAUGGCUUUACAUUCAAGAUACCCAUUACUAUUCCCUUUAGGAGAGGUUGCUUCAGUUGCACCAUUGUCAUAUACAUCAGGCAGCUCAGGGGGAAUGGCGCAGCGGAUGAGAGCCCAGUUCAAUCCUUCAAAGAAAGGAUGCCUCUUGAUCUCAGCAGCUCCUUUCUCCCACCCGAGACGGCUCUCCGGAUCCUUCAUCACCAACCUCCUGAUCAAAUCCUUUGCCUGGAAGCUCACAAGAGGGCUAUCAGGAAACUUAAGGUUCUGAAACACAACGUUGGACAAUGUCUCCUCAUUGUCAUAACCUUUAAACGGUGUCUUCCCGUAUAAAAGCUCAUAGAGAAGGACCCCAAAAGUCCACCAGUCUACCGCAGCACCAUGCCCUUCUCCUUUUAUUAUCUCCGGCGCCAAGUACUCGUGCGUUCCUACAAAAGAGUUUGAUCCUGCUUCGGUUGGUUUAGCCACAAGCUGAGGCAAUGAUCUGAACUGUUGGGUCAGAAGAUCAGGCCUUCUCUGUUUUCUUGGUUUCGAGUUUCUAGCGCAUUGAUGGGAGCCUAGGGCUGAAACAUGGGAAGCAGGUUCUUCACAGGUUCUUCACCUUCUUUGGAAGUUGAGGAGCUUGAUACAAUAAGCGAAGACGAAGACAAACAGCAGUAUCCACGCGCAGCUACAGCUGGUAAGAAGUCAUGUUCGAACCCGGAUCCAUCUUUGAGCAACUUUUUUAGACCCGUGUCUAGGAGACCAGUGUUCUGCACUAUCGAAUCUUGGUCUCCUACUUGAGAUUUGAUGCUUCCAAACAAUGUCCAGCCCACUGGUCGUUGCCUAGUAAUAUCAUCUCCACCAUAUCACCAACAAUAAACAUUUUCGAAACUACCCUCCCUCUCCCCUCUCCCAAUAAAAAAAACACAAAACUUAAAAAUUAGGUAGCUCUAAAACCCUUCUGAUCAUAACAAAAAGUAAGAUCUAAACACACUUGAUGAUUACGUAAGUUGGUUCGUAAUUUUUUACCAAUCUUUGGUAUAAGGAACUGGAGAAAAGAUUCCAAAUAGACUGAGGAAGAAAGACAUGCAGAUUCCGGAGAUUUGAUAGUUUGGUGUCAAGGCCACAAAGCAUCAAGCUUUGUUAACAUGUAGUAGUAGUAGUACCAGAAGAACUUGACCACAGUACGGCCGUAUCCUAUCAUUGAGUAAAGGAUUAUAGUAUGUAAACUCUAGUUUGUAUGGUGUCAUACUAAUAACUUUGUCUAUAUUACCAAUUUUCCCAAUUUCUUAUUUCUAACAAACUAUAAUGUAUAAAUAUCAAUGAAUAUAUUUUGCAAGUUGAAAAUAAGGGAGAAAUUUUUUUUACCAAAAAGAAUAAUAAGGGAGAACUACAGUGAAUGUUUCGAGUGGGCCUAAAGCAAAUGCAUUAUUGCCUUGCGAAAAAAUCAUUAUCGCCACAGACUAGAAAAAACUCCUAUUUUCUUUUUAUUCAAAAUUAGAACCACAAGAUGGCAGUCGUAGACUGAUAAGAUUGACUUGGAGUCUACUCUUUCAUUGCCACUCAUAUCUUUUCUUCCAAAGAACGUCUCUAAGCAAGUUGAAGAGCUGUUACAUGAAAGGUAAAUCAUGUUCUUGUAUCAUUAUUUGUAUGUUUAACUUGCUUUGAUCUGUCUUUUGGACUCUGUUGUGGUUGAAUCUGAAUUUAAAAACGAAAAUUCGUUAGAUUAUUACAAAUCUUGUUUUACGAAUUUAAAGCAUUUAAUCAUCAAAUCUUGUUAUAAAUUGUUUGAAUAAAAGUAAAGUUCCUCUAACAGGUAUCAUGUUUUAUUAGAUCAACCAAGGAUUAUCAUAACGGUUUUAAAUCUUACUACAAGUUUGUACUUAUGUGUUGAUGAUGGUGGAACAGGAGAAUAGUGAUGGCUGAGGGCGUUGUGUCGUUUGGAGUGGAGAAACUCUGGGAUCUCCUGAGUCGAGAAUCUGAGCGAUUGCAGGGAGUUCAUGAGAAAGUUGAUGAUCUAAAAUGUCAGAUGAGAAUGUUACAGUCGUUGUUGAAAGAUGCAGAUGCGAGGAAACAUGAGAAUGAAGUAGUGAGAAACUUCUUGGAAGAUGUCAAAGACAUUGUUUUUGAUGCUGAAGACAUAAUCGAAUCCUUUCUUUUGAAAGAAUUGAGUGGAAACCAAAAAGGGAUCAAGAGGCGUGUGAAAAGACUUGCUUGUUUCUUAGUGGAUCGCCGAGGUCUUUCUAUGGACAUUGAAGGCAUAAUUAAGAGAAUGUCUAAGGUGGUUGCACAAAUGCAGAGCUUUGGUAUACAGCAUAGCGUCAACAGAUCACCGUCUGUACAAGAGAGGCAAAGGGAGAUCCGACAAACAUAUCCUAAGAGGUCUCAAAAGGAUCUCGUGGGGGUGGAACAGAGUGUUAAGGAACUAGUUGGUCAUUUGGUGGAGAAUGAUAGCAUCCAAGUAGUUUCCAUAUCUGGGAUGGGUGGUAUUGGAAAAACCACUCUUGCAAGACAAGUCUUUCAUCAUGACAUUGUUCGAAGUCAUUUUGAUGGAUACGCGUGGAUCUGCGUUUCGCAAGAUUUUAAGCGGAAGGAUAUUUGGCAAAAGUUAUUGCAAGACCUUAGACCACAUGAUAAGGGCAUCGAACAUAUGAAUGAGAAUACACUCCAGGCUGAGCUCUUUCACUUGUUGGAGACGUCUAAAUAUUUAAUUGUCAUGGAUGAUGUAUGGAAAAAAGAAGAUUGGGAUGCAAUAAAAGACGUUUUCCCCCAAGAAAGAAGAGGUGAGCUCUCUUAUUGUACAUACAUUACUUAAGAACUCCCCAUAACCACAUUUCAUAAAGGGCAAUUGUCAAUAAUAGCACAUUUUGAAGUUUAUGUCACAAAAAGAGCACUAGAAGGAGAAAAUCACAAAAAUGACAUUCAUUAAAGGGUAAAAUGUCCCUAAUAUCCUUGGUUUAAAUUAAAUAAACAAACAAAAAUAAAUAAAUAAAUAAAUAAAAAAUAAAAAAAUAAAAAAAAAUAAAAAAAUAAAAAAAAUAAAAAAAAAUUUAUAGUUUCAGAUUAUAUGUUUUCAGAUUCGAAAUUUUUAUAAUUUUUUUAAAAAAAAUUUUGAAUUUUUUUUUUAUUUUUUUUUUCAAAUUUUCUUUUUAUAGUUUAAAAAUAAUUUUUGAAACUGUUUUAUAAAUUUUUAUUUUUUAUUUUAGUAUUUAUUUUUUAUAAAAUUUUAAACCCUAAUUCCAAAACCCCACCCCCUUAACUCUAAACCCUAAGGUUUGGAUUAAUUAACCCAAGGGGUAUAAGUGUAUAUUUACCUCUUUAAUGAAACCUAUUUUUGUGACUUUGAGCCUUGAGUGCUACUUUGGGAACAAAAACUUGGUUUGGUGCUAUCCUAGUCUUUUUCUCUUUCAUAAAUGCCUUUUGAGUCCCUGAGAUGAAAGGAAAUACAAUUGCAGGUUGGAAGAUGAUUCUUACUUCACGCGAUGAAGGUGUUGGUUUGCAUGCAGACCCAACAUGUUUUCCUUUUAGACCAAAACCACUUACUCCCGAAGAAAGUUGGAAGCUAUGUGAGAGCAUAGCAUUCCCUAGAAAAGAGAUAACGGGUAAUGUUUUUAUAUAAGAAUCAUAUGAAUCCAGAAUCCUUAAGGCCAGUAAUUUCUUACGGCCGGGACAUCUUAUCAAAAAUCUUGUGUAUUAAUUCCUAAAUCCGCAUGACAUAUAUUAUUACAUAUACCUUUGAGAAACAAUAUACCAUCAAUACUAUUAAAACAGAAGACCUUUUUUUGAGGUGCUCUUCUGUUUCAACAAUAUUUUCAGAUCUUUGCCACUGAAAUAUUUAAAACUUAUGAUUUUAAUUAAAUUCUGAAUUUUCUUUUAUUUAUACAACAGAAAAUCUAAUAAUGAAUCAACACGUUAUUAAAGUAAACCGACUUAUUUAAUAUUUUACCAAAAAAAAAAAAGUAAACCGACUUACCCAACGAACGUAAACCAACCAACAUACUUAACAAUAAAAUAAAGUGUUAUGCUGGUUCAAUCCAUCGAAGUAUAAAUUAUAAACUACAUGAUUCUAUAUACUUAACACGUCUUUAACUUGAUAUCAAGUAUAUAAACAAACAAUUUACAGCAUUUCAAUUCCUAUAGGAUACCGGUUCAAAUGUUCUAUAGAAAACUAAAUCGACGUUGGUAUGAAUUAAAUCAUCCAAUAUAUCACACUUAAAGAAACGAAUAUAUAAACAAUAAAUAUUAAAUAUAUGAACAAAAUAGGUGUGGGAAUAUUCAUUAAGAACAGUUAAUAUUUUCCUAAUUGAAUGGUCGAUAAGAUAUUUAUAAUAAUCAUAUUUUUCAUAGCAAUCAAUUAAAUGCAUCAGUUUCGGAAUGCUAACUAACAAUACCUUUCUUUUUAAAAAUAAAAUUAGAAAGAUCUUCCUAACUAAAUAAUUAAGUCGACAGCAAAAAAAAAAUUAUACAUGAACAAAAUGACUAAUCCUAUUAGAAAAAAUAAAUGAAUUUAUAAGGGUUUGAGAUUUAAAAAGUGUCGGUUAAAAAAGAGACGGGUUCAAAUACAUGACAGAUUUAUUUAUUGUAAAAUAUUAUUUUUAAAAACAAUUAAUUAUAAACUUUCUGAAUAUUUUUUUUUAAAUUCACCUUUCGUAUUGAAAUAUAAAUAUUCUAAAAAAAAUUGUUUUAUCAUGUAAUCUAAGAAAUAUGUCAUUACAAAUAUGUUCUUUACAAUUUCAUUUAUGAUAAUAAUGUGAAAUCUUUUUUUUCAAUAAUGUAUUUUUUCCUAUUAUAAAAAAUAUUAAUAAAAUAUUUUAAUAUUUUUAAUAAUAUAGUUAUUUGAAUUCAGUAUUUUUAAUAAUAUAGUUAGUACAAAAUUAAACUAACCCUUAAACUUACACAAUAUUUACAAUAGAAUGCCACUGCAGUAUUUAAUAAACCUAACAAUAGAUAUUCUUUGUCUUUCAUGUAUUAUUAAUGCAUUUUCCUAAAUUAAUUUUUAACUAAAAACAUGGCAACAAUAAUUUAAGCAAAUCUAAACAAUAAGGAAUAUCAAAACAUGAAUCAGUUGAGACAAUUUUUUUCACGAAAAAGAUGAUUAAUUAGUUUGUACUUUUAUUAUCAUAUCAUGAAUCAGUUGUAAUUUAAAAUCCAAUUUUUAUAUAUAUAUUUAUACUAUAAUGUAAAAAAAAUGACGUAAUAAGUGAAAAAAUCAUUUUAACCACACGAGAUCAACAUAUGAACAAUAAGAAAACAUAUACAAACAUCGUCCAUUUGUUCAAUGAAUAUUAUAUCUUUUUAAUGCUCUUCAUAUACUCAAUAUAAUCAAAAUAUCUAUUUUAAUAUAUCUAUAUUAUUAAAACUGAGGUAAGUAUUAGAAUAUUUUUUUUCAUUCUAAUAACUACAUGCGCUACCUAAUUAAUAAUUAUUAAUUAAUUGACAACAAAUCAUUUAUUUUGUUAGAUUUUUUGCUAUCCAAACUUCAAACUUAAUUCAUUAACUACAAAUCAUUUAUUUUGUUAAAUUCUUUUCUAACCAAACGUACGAAACUUACGAUUAUUUUCUAACUGGAUUAUUCUGUAACCAAAUUUUACAAUAAAACUAAAAAAAUUUAUUUAAAAUGUAUCUACAAACUUUAAAUGUUAUAGAUAUAUUCAUAUAUAUAAUUAUUUUAUUUCACAUGCAAAAUAUAAACUAUAGAUAUUUUUAUAAAGUUAUUUUCAAAAUAUAUAUUAAAUAAUUUGAUGAUUAAUACAAUUUACAAAUAUAAAUUUAAUUAUAAGAAUACAAUAAAUAAAUUUCAAUUUAAUAUUUUCUCAAAAAUGAAAAUAAAAGUGAAAUUUAUUUGGCAUAUAAAAAAAUUUAGAGACAUAUAUAUCUAUGUUAUUAAAACAUGAUACAUUUAAUUUUUAAAAUAUAAAUUUAUUAAUAUAUAUAUAAACAUAAUAAUUGGUACUCUAAUUUAGAAAUAAAUACAUCAAAAUGGUUACUGUAGUCAAAAAUAUAAAUCGACAAAUAUAUUAUAUAAUUUAUUUUUAAUUUGUUUUGUAUUCUACCAUAAUAUGAGAAAUCAACAAAUUACACACAGUAAAAAUAGUCCAUUUAUCACAAUUACAAAUCGAAUAAAUACCAUAUGAAUGUAUAUAUCUACAACUAUUAUAUUUUGUAUUGUAAAAAAAAUUAUAUUUCUAUUUUGUUAAUUAAACACCCGUGCGGAUGCACGGGUCAAACUCUAGUUUGAUUUAUUUCAUAUGUCAUCACCAAUGUUUUAAAAACCAGAUCGGACAUUGACUCGGCAUUGUACCUGGGUAAACGGUCGGCUCGGUCCAACCCGGUUCAAGCGGCUUUUAAAUUUUAAUCAAAUUUUAAAUUAAAUAACUAUAUAUAUAUAUAUAUAUAUGUAUAAUCAAUUUAAUUUUAUAAACCUUUCUAUCAUUGUUAAUAUAAAAAAUCAUAUGAAAAUAAAAUGCAACUUCAAAAAUAAUAUAAAACUAUAGUGAAAGUAAUUUAUUUAGAUAAAUAUUAAAAAAAAUAUGAAUUUUUAUGAAAUCUUUUUUAAAAUUGCAAAUUUUAUUUUUAAACUUGAAUUUGAGAAAAUUUAUUUAAAAAAAUCUCAUAAUUUCAUAAUUGAAAAAUAUUGUUUAAAAUCAGUUUAAAAUUGCAUUAUUUAAACAUAACUUAACAUUUAAAAGUUUUACGUAAACACAAGUUCAAUUAAAGCUACUUAAUUUUUUAUAAAACUUUAUUGUAAAUAACAUGUUUGGUUUUCUGUUGUGAAAGCAACACUAAGUAUAAAUUGCAUGCACCAUUAAAUAUUGAUUCUGGCAGAGUAACAAACGUUACAGAUACUAAAGUUUUAGCUAGCUCUAUUCAAAUAUGAAAGAAUUUCUAUACCAAAAACGAUGUGUGUUUUUUACUGAGAAAAACAUAAUUUUUUUUACUGAGAAAAACAUAAUUUUCUUGAAUAAAGUAGAAUCUUAAAUAUUGAAAUAUUUAUGUUGAUAGUUCAAAUUUCUUCUUAUAUUAAAUUACAUAUAAAUCUGAUAUUGAUAUAUUUAUAUUAAAGAUAUUGUCUUUUUAUAUUAAAUUUAUUUUUUAGUUAUAAAAAAAGAAAAUCGUUUUUAUUAAAUUACAUGUUUUAUAUUUAUUAAAGAUAUUUCCUUUUUGAUGAUAAAGUGAUUUGGAAACAAAUAUUUAAAUGUUUAUUAAAAUAUUGAUAGUGGUAUUUUAACAAUAAAAUUUAUUUAUUAAGGUUAUCACUGUAAUUAACCAUUCUAAGAAUCAACGUGAGUGCGACACGUAGAAAACUGACUUAUCAUAUACUAUUAUAGAGAUAAAGUACUAUUAUGGAGAUAAAGUACUAUUAUGUUCUACACAACUUUAUAUAAUUUUGCUUAUUUGUCAUCUAACACUAUUAAAAGGGGAAUAACAAGCCCUCUUAGAUGUGCCACGUCGGAUUGGAAAUUCAGACCAAUCAAACACAAGUUUUAUGACAUGUCAUUAGGUCAACACAUUAACAUACUGAACUUCAAUUUUAUUCGGCAAAAUCGAUUCCUUUUUCUUUCUUCUCAAUUUCUCUGCAAAAUGUAUUCUGAACUUUUGAUUUUCUAUCCAAGAGUCUACUCAUUGAUUCCUCUUCCUUUCUUCUCUCCUUCUCUACAAAACUUUUACCAUACCCAAGAGUCACUUUUUUUUUAAACUUCAGGCUUGUGAACUCUUAUUCUCGAAGUUGACUUUUGUGUGGUUCUCUUAGAAAUCCUAUUUCUGGAUUUAUGAUUCUGAAAAUUGGAAUUUUGUUUUUCGUAGUUGUAAGAUGGGGAAGAGAUGAGAAAGCGGUUAUAGGCGUUUCAGACAAAAAAAAGAAACAAGAGCUAAAGAAGGAGAAUCACGAUAAAUUACAAAGAGAUUUACGGCAAAGAUCAAAUUGAUGUGCUCUCCUCUGAACUCUGAUGGUAUCAUGGUAAAAAUAUUUGAUUCAAAAGCACUAAAAUUAUAGAGUGGAGAGAUUUGUGGAGAGAUUCAGUUUUUUUGUUCUCAUGUAAUUUUAAGUUAGUUCUCUCAUUGUUGUAUCUUUUCGCAUGAACAUUGUAAUUGAGUUGUUUGUGUGUAUGUCUUUUUAUAGAGUGUGGAUCACUGGAUCAACAUGGGUUUGCAAGGGACAAAAUCUGGGUAAUCGAUGACAAUCUAUCUCCUAUUUACUCAAAAGAGUUCUUAAGAAAAGCUUAGUUGAUCUUCAUCUCAAACCAUCAGAAGAGGACUUAAAGCAAUGGUCUGACAGGUAAAAGUAAAACCAUCAUCAUGCCUUUUAUGAUCUAUCUUUAUAGAUUCUGAAUUCUGUGUGUGUUUCCUUUUUGAGUUCCAGGUUCACUUGCUAUAGAUGGCGACUCAACAUUGAUUUCUUUAGAAACAUCAAUGGCAAGCCCUUCAGAUUCUUAUUUGCAUAUCAUACUUACCUCGCUGUCUCAGAUAUAAGGUAAUUGUACUCUUUAAAAAAAUAUAUCAUCAGCAAAAUAUUCUGUGUUUGAUGAAUCAUUCAACUAUUGAAGGAUCAGAAACAUUUGACUACUUGGAGAACCUCAGCAAAAAUGAGCUUUUGACUCUACUAGAGUAGAAACAUACUUCCCUGAGAACAAGUAUCGUUCGUUAACUGCCCAAAGUGGUAUCUCUCAGACACCAUAAGCUAAAUAAAUGUUUCUUUCAACGUGCAAAAAUCUGAAUCACAUUGCUUUAUAUUUCUAAUCUUCUUUGUUGGCAGGAACUUUGAAAACACAUUAAGUGAAUAGAACGUGUGAUGAUGAACUCAAUAUUCAGAACGUCUUUGUAGAACAUGAUGUCGUUUGUGUAAGUCGUAUAAUAUAAUAACUGUUCCAUAUUUACAUAUAUUUCGUCUUAGAACACAAAUCCAGACUGACCACAGAGUUCUUUAUUUUUUUGUUCUUAUAUGGUUUGAUUCGAAGUUAAAGUUCGUUUCUUUAAUUAUGUGUGUUGCAGAAGUCCAAGAGGAAUGAGUAUGCCAAACUAUCUCCUAACGUUUGCAAGGUAUUGUUUUACCUUGUCUGAUUUGUUUUCAUCAUUCUGUAAUUUUCAUGUGUUUGUUCGCUACAUGCUCGCAAGAGACUCAGCUUGAUCUUUGAAAAGUGCUCUGCUUUUUUCAAUUUUAGUUAGAGACCAAGGUUUCAAUUUUUGUUGCUGUUUGUUUGUGUCUCAGACUGUUUCGGUCAGGUUGAUAAAGGGGCUAAUAUUCUUGAAAUUUAUCGCAAUCAUUGUGAUACUGAUCACACUUGCUCGCAUGACGCUGCUACUUGCUCUUUUUGGUUCUUUGCGGGAGAAAUUGAAAGACUUGCGUUUAGCAUCUGAUCUCUCUUCUUUGUGUGUGUUUCUGCAAGUAAAAAUGGUUAAGGGCUUUGAAUGUACUUUUCAUUCUGAUGGGUUAUUUGGGAUUUAAAGUUUUUGACAUUCUCAGAGUUUCCAUAAAUUUGCAGCAUUGAACGUCAUUUUCCCUUUAUGAGUCCGUGCAAUAAGCUUGAAGACAGAGGUGGAAAGUCGGGGAGGUGGAUGGGACGAGCUUGCUGUGAUGGAUGGGGCGGAGAGGCGUCGGAUCUGAAGAAGCUGUGUAGUGGAGAUGGCAGAGGAAGCUAGCGGUGGUAGUGGUGGCGGCACAAAAAGAGAGAGCACUGGAAGAAUGGAGAUGAAUUUUAGGUUUAGUUAAAAAUUUGGUUUAGUUUGGUUUAGUUUAAUAUCGCAUUCAUAAAUAUGUAAACAAUUUCAAUAUAUAAAAUUUAAUUUAAUUUAUAUUUUUCAUAAUUUUUUAUUUUUUAAUAAUGAAAAUAAUUAACAAAAGUAAUACAUCAUUAAAAUCAAAUUAAUAAAUUUUAAUAACAUUUGUAUAACGUUAUUAUAAAUAUUAACAAUUGCAUAGAUAUUAACGCUAUUGUUGUUUAUUUAACUAUAGCAUACGACAAAUCCGCUAUCAAAAGGGUUGGACGAUGUCAGAGCGUUUUAGGGAACGCUAUUAAAAUGAACUAAUAGCGUUUAACGCCAGCUAUUAAUACCCCAUUUCCUAUAGUGUUCGAGUUACUACGCCAGAGUAUGCAACAUUCAGCAAGGUGGUAGCUUCCAGUUACGCUAAAUAGUCAAAAGUUGGAAAGUUUGGAUUUGAUCUGGUCACGUGCUCAAAGUCAUACCUUUUUAUUAAUCUUAUAAUGGUAACUUCUUUCUAUUGUUGAAAAUGCUUUUCUUUCUUUUAUAUAGAGUGAAGGUGGUGACAAAGCAGUUAAUCAGUUAGACAAAUCUGUUAAUCAACAAUAGCCGUCAACAUGUCUAUUGAGAACAAGGAAGUUGCUGAGAAGAUACAUCCGAGAACUAUACAAGUUUAAUUUUCUUGAUCUAUGUGUUAGUUUUAUCGCCGCCAACGUCCAGGAUUGUGAUCUCCAGUCUCUGCUUUAUACUAUAGUUCAGGUUAUAAAUGGAGUUGCUACACUGUUUAGUGGACCACGAUACCUGCUCCUAAGGGUUAAAUGUAUUCGAUGGCUAAAUCUCUUUCGUGCAAGUCGCAUAUUCAUUCCUAUAGCUUCACUGGUAUUGGAUAUACUGGAAUAUAAAUCCAUAAAUGAUAGUGAAAAGCAAGGAAGUAGCUUGAAGCUGUUUCAACCGUAAAGCUGCUUAAGAAUUGGUUGAAGUCCCUGAAUUUCCAAGAACAAUGUAUCUUUUCUGUGAUUGAGCUCCUUGCCGUCCACUUUUCUCAACGGAGCUUCAACAUAUCUUUUCUAGAGCUUGCUAUUAUUCCCUUAUGAGGCUGAACAAAUUUAACGAGAGAAGCAUUCUGGAAGGGUUAAAGAUGGACAUGGUGGUCAAACACUUCAUCAAGCAGGUGGAGUUGAAUAUUGAGUCUGUACACAAUACUAUCAAAGCAUCACAGACAAAGGUCUUGGAACAAAAAAAGAAGAAGUGAGACAAGUGUGCGAACAAUAAUAAUGCAAUUCCUGGGUUUGCAACUCAGAUUAUAGGGCAUAAUCAAACCGUAGCAGUUAGAAUUCUCAAAUUCUUAAACCAUUUUUGUUUCAUAAAUUAUUUUCAGAAAUACACAAAACGUCUAUGCAAUCUGGUUAAUAAAAACGGUGAAACAAAAAUAAAUCAGAUUCAUUCGAAAAAAUGUGUUUAAUCAGUAAUCUAAUUUCAGACCUACAACAGUAAUGUUUUAAAAAUGUUUUAAAAACAAUAGCCAAAAAAAAGUAGCAAUCUAAUUUCAGACCUAUGACAGUAAUGAUUUUGUUAUAUAUCGACAAUUUAUAACUUUGAGAGAGCUUUUAAACUGGGUAUGAGGUCCUCACUCUUACUUGUUUUCGAGAGGUCAUGCAAGAUCAUGUUUGAGCAAAGUUGACUCAAACACUACCCAACAAACAAACAAAAAGCUUGAACAUGAAAAAAAAAGUAUUAAUAUUUACAAUGAUUUCCAAAGUAUUAAAUAUUUAAAUGAUUAUCAUCAAAUGUAGUUAAAUAAAUAUUAAAAUAGUUAAAUUAUUAAAAUAAGGAACUAUGUAUAAAUUAAUAUGACAUCAAAUGUAAGAAAGUAAACCUUAAAUAACUUUACAACUAAAAAUAUUCAAAUCAUGAAGCAAAAUUUCUUUCCAUCACAAAAAAGCAAACAAUAAAUGAUAAAUUAAAUAUUUGGUUAAAGGUAAAUGGAGACAACAAACUCGAUUGGUACUUUCUCUUAAAUUCAAGUAUAAAAAUGAAAACUUAAUAAUUGUAAAACCAAACAAAAUUUAUACAGUAUUAAUUAUAAGUUUUACAAUUUUUUUACAUAAAAAUAAUAACCAAGAAAAGAAUAUAUAUAGAUCUUAACUAAUAAUUUAGUUAACUUUUUAUUAAUCUUUGCUAAUAUGAUUCUAAUAUCCUAUUUAAAUUUCCAAUAAAACACACAAACAAAUUCUAAUAGUUUUAAAUAUGCAUAUAUUUUUAUAAUUAUUCUUUAACCAGUUCCAGUAUAUAUUAUAUUUGUUCAUUUUUAAAAUAAAAAUACACAAAUUCAAUUAAUAUUAUAGGAAAAAAUCCGGGCGUAGCCCGGAAAACCCUCUAGUAUUUUUAAUGAUUUUGACUGAUGAAUCAUCAAUUUAGAUUUAUACUAUUAUUUAAAAUUUUAUCUUAUUUAGUCAUCAAUUAUUUAUUUAAUCUUAAUUUUAAAAUAGAAUUAAACUAAUAUUUAAAAUUAAUUAAUGUAAUCAAAUAAUAAAUCUAAAAACUGACAAAAAUUAUUUUAAAAUAAAAUUUAAAUUUAAAAAAAUAUUACUCUAAACAUAGUGCAGAAAAAUACCUAAUACAACUUCAUAUUGUAAGUGAACAUAAUGUUCAAGACAAAAAAAAAGUGGUAGUAAUAGCAAAAAGUAUAAAUACAAAGUAAACUAUAAAGGGGCCAUCAUAAAACUAACAAUUCUUCAAUAGUUAUAAGUUAGAAAAUAUUAUAUAGAUUCUUUAACUUAAAAAUUAGUUAUUUAUUAAUGGUAUCAACGUUUUUAACCGAUCUGACUUUUAAGGUGAGAGCUAAUAAAAAAAAAUUAAAUCAUUUUGCAAAUAAUAAAUAGAUAUAUUAUAUUUUAACAUUUAAAAGACACACAUAUAUUUCGAGGCUCUAAUCUUAUAGUACGGUUUUCAGAAUAAAUGUUGAUGAAGAACUAGAAGCCAUGGGUAAGAAAAUGGUCACAUAUUGUGGAGGACUACCAUUAGCCGUUAAAGUGCUGGAGGCUUGUUAGCUAAUAAAAACAUGGUUGAAGAGUGGAAAAGAGUAGAUGACAAUAUUCAAACUCAGAUAGUUCGCAUAGAUGACAACAGUCAAGAUUCGGUUUACCGAGUAUUGUCUAUGAGCUAUGAAGAUUUGCCCAUGCAGUUAAAGCAUUGCUUCCUAUACCUAGCUCAUUUUCCCGAAGAUGACAAGAUACAAGUACGGAUAUUGUAUAAUCUUUGGGAAGCAGAAGGAAUAAUAACGUCAAGUUGCGAUGGAGAAACCACUAGGAAAAUUGGAGAAGAAUACAUAGACGAGCUAGUAAGGAAAUAUGGUUAUUGCAGUAAAAGAUGAUUUGAGUUGCAAAUGGAAGUAUUGUCAAAUGCAUGACAUGAUGAGAGAAGUAUGUUUAUAUAAAGCCAAAGAAGAGAACUUUCUUCAGUUUAUCGAAGUACCUACUUCUUCACCUCUACCAUCAAUGCGCAUACUCCUACCAGAGCUCGCAGACUCGUAGUACACGGUGAUGGUAAUGCAUUUGAUAUGCUGGGACGUAAAAACAAUCAAAAAGCUAGAUCUGUUUUGGUUUUGGACUCGACAGCAACUUGUGGAAGCAGUCAGGUCAAGGAUUACGAAAUUUACAACUACUAGGGUCUUAGAUCUGAAUUUACAAACACAUGAUAGCGACUCUAGAGGAGGGAGAAUACCAUCCAGCAUUGGAAAAGCUCAUUCAUUUGAGAUAUUUGAGCUUACACAUGGGUCGUGCAACUCAUGUAGAGUUAAGGUCCCUGAUGCUUCCCUUUAUAUUGACGCUAAACAAAGUUGGAAUUGGGUAAUCUACUGAACCUAGAGUACUUGGUCGGCUUCCGACUUGAAUACGUAGCAUCACAGACUUCCUCCGAAUGAAAAGCUCAGGACUCUCGAGAUAUUUCUCAAAGGCAGGUAUACUUCUGAAAUUCUUGCGUCAUCUCUCUGUGAAUUAACAAACCUGGAGACGCUUAAAUUGAUCAAUGUGAACGGAUACGAUGAGGCUUAUGAUUUGGAUUUCGUUUGGAAUUUCAUUCAUCUAAGGCAUUUAGAGCUGGACAUACAUAUAACAAGGCUUCCUGAUCACUCUCGAUUUCCUCCCCACUUGCACACAUAUCUCUAUGUGACUGUAAAAUGGAGGAGGAUCCACUGCAGAUUCUGCAAAAGUUGCUUCAUUUAAAGUCGGUUGAAUUAUCAUAUAGUACUUUCGUGGGGAGGAAGAUGGUGUGUUCAAAAGGUGGAUUCCCUCAGUUAUGUAAGCUACAAAUACGGUUCCUGCACAACUUGGAAGAGUGGAUAGUCGAAGAAGGGUCGAUGCCAUGUCUUCGUACCUUGUCUAUUCGGUAUUGUAAGAAGUUGAAGGAGCUACCGGAAGGGCUCAAGUAUAUAACUUAUUUAAAGGAACUGGAUAUCAGACAUAACAACAAGGAGUGGAAGAAGAAACUCGCACCAGGUGGGGAAAGUUAUCACAAAGUCAAACACAUUCCUAGUGUUCAAUUAAACUAUCGUGGCAAUUAAUAAGGAGAAUAAAACUGUCUCAGGUAUAUAUUCUUUUUGGUAUAAUGUCAAUAUUGUUCAUUUUGUUGGUUAUGUAUCCUCCUUGAAGUUUAGUGUGAGUCUCAACUCUCUGUUAUUCGGUUUUCAGGUGAACCUACUCAGGAUCAGUACCCACCACUAUCGAUUGUGUGAUAUGAUAAUAAGUCGUUUUGUUGUAUGAAGUUUACAUAUCUUGUUUGUGAUAUAUUUCGUUUAUCUGUUUGCAUGCUCAUUCACUGUAAUACUAAGUUUGAAAUAUAUUUUGUAUGUUGAACCAUAUCUUCUUCGAUGUCUCCGUUGUGUGUGCUUAGUUGAUUUUCAUAGUCGGAACUGGAGAUAGAACGAUGGUUUUAUCAUGACAAAACGCAAGAACAACAACACAUAUAAAUUAGAUAUGUUGUAACAACUAUUUAAAAAAUUGAAUGAUGGAAACCCCAAAUUUGUUUAAAGAAAAUGAUGUUGAUAGUGGUUUUUGAAAAAAAAAAAGGAUUAUGAUGAACAAUAACAAUGAAAACUCAUUGUAAACACGCUUUAGAGAGCCAAACAAAUAAAUCAAUUCUAAGAUUUUUGGUGGAAAGGUAAUUUAAGAGGAGAUGGAAAACGAUAACAGGAAUGAGUCUUUAAAAACACACAUAUAUAUAGAUUGAUAAAGGAUGCUUCAUCUAAGAGUUGUAUUGUUUUGAGAUGGAGACUAUUCGGUGAAAAGAUGCAACGCACCGCAGUUUUGUUUUUUUAUAUCAUUAAAUUCAAUCAAAUAUGACUGUUGGACUUAAAACCUUUUUCUUUUAAAAAGUGACGAUAUCACCAGUUUUGGUAUGCUAUUAUAUAUAUAAUUUUUUUAUAAUGAAAAUAUACAAUUUUAAAAAUUAAUAAUAUUCAGAUUGUUAUGAAAAUAUACAAUUUAUAUAAUGAACAGACACAAUUUUUCAAACUAAUACAUUUCAGUUUUUUUUUAUGAAACAACACAACCAAAGUAGUUAUUUUGAAAAGACACAACUAUUUCGAUUUUUAGAAAAGAUACAACUUUUCAACAUAAGUAAGAUUCAUAACCUUUGAAAUUAAUCAGGAUUGCUAUUAUUAGUAGAUAAAAUAUUUGAUUUUAUCAUAUAUAUAUAUAUCUAUUAAUAAUAGCAAUCCCAAUUAAUUCAAAAGGUUGUGAAUUCUACUUAUGUUGAAAGGUUAUAUCUUUUCAAAAAUUAAAAAUUGUGAUUUUUCAUAUAAGUAUUAUUACAAAAAGACACAACUUUUUAAUUCAAACGAUGUGACUCUUCGAAUUUUUUUUUGAAAAUCUGUAAAUAAUCCAAUGUCCAUGCCUUCUCAAAGCAUAAUUUCCCUAAUCAAAUAAAAUGGUCACAUUCGUAGGGUUUUUAUAAAUACUUUAAAAAUAUAUAUAUAUUUAAAUAAAAAAAUGUGACUAUUUAUAGUUAAAAGUUGUGACUAUUUAUAUAAGUAUUAUCUCAAAAAGAACAACCAAUUAAUAUGAAAAGUUGUGAAUUGAUAGGUUGUGUUUUAAAACAUGUAACUCUACAAAAUAUUAGCUUUAAGAGUUGUGUUUUUUCAUCAUAAAUGAUAUAUUAGUUUUCAAAAGUUAUAAAAUAUUCUAUAAAGUAUCUUUGUACAAUUAUUUGUUUCUAGAGUUGUUUAUUAGUUAGUGUAAAUAGUAAUGUCUUUCUAUUGUAAAAGAAAACUAGAUUUUGACCCGCGCUUUUUAAGCGCGGGUUUUUUUCCGACAAAAAUAAAAGUUUAAAUUGAUUAUUAUUUUGUGUUCAUAUAAUUUUUUUAAGAUUAAAGUCACCAUGAUUUAUAUUGAUGUGAUCAAGCAUCUGCGUUUUUGAAAUUUGGUUGAAAUGUUUUUAAAAAUGAUGUUUGUUUGUCUAAUAGUAUAUGAAAUAUGAAGUGUAAAUAUAUAUAUUGGUAUUGGAAAGAUUGUUGCACACAACUAUAUAUAUAUAUAUAUAUUAACUAUCAAAAUUUAAAAAUAUAAAAGCAAAUAUAUAAAAGGAUUUAAUAUGUAGUUAUUAUAAAGCUAUAUUUUUUUCUAUACAUAGUCAAUAUUUAAAUUAUUGUUGAAAAUUAAAAUCUAAGUUUUUAAUUGCAGGUUUAUUAAUAUAGGUGUAAAAUGAGUUUUAAUAUAAACUAUGACAUUGUCAUAUAUACAUGAUACGUUUUUUUAUUUCACAUGUCCUAUUAGAAACAUACCAUAUAUAGGUCUAUUUAUUUAUACUGCUGGUACAUACGAUUUUAUAUAUACCUUUAUCAAAAUAUGCGAUAUUAUAAGGACUAAAAACCUUUUAACUAACGUUGAGUAAUAUAUGGUAAUAGGAGAAAUAAUAGGUAGACCAAUAUACUAUUAAUUAAAUAAAAGGGUGCAGUAACCUUGUUUAAGUAGAUUUCUCAAGACUGAUUCUCUUUUAAUAGAAUAGAUUUAGUUUUUAAAAAUAGUUAAGGUGUCUUUCUUUAAUAAAUAUCUUCGUGUCUUUCUAUUAAUCUUGUUGUAUUGUGUAACCUUGCAAUGUUUGGUUAUUAACAGUUGCAACUUUUAGUUUCUUAUAUAAAGAAUUUUGGAUUGCGACACAUCACAAAAAUUCAUUUACUUGAUUCACCCAAAACAUACAACAUUUUGUAUAUUUGUUUAUUUUAGAAUAACAACACUUGUGAAACAUAAAACAAGUGUUUCAAAACAUUUCGAUUGCAAAAAAGAAAAGAAAAUACCCAGUAUUCCUCAACAUGCAUACUGCAUAUAUAAUCUCAUACAUCACUCUCCUAAACUCUUUUUUCUUUGUUUUAUUUUUGUUGUAUUAUUGACUAGUAUAUAAUCUUAUAUUAAUAUUAUACUCAUGUGAUGAGAACUUCCCCCCCCCCCCCCCCCACCCCCCCCACCCUUUUCAAAAUUCGACCAAUUAAGUUGGUUCGUUGAAUCGUUAUCGAUUUUUAUAAAUUGGUUCUGCAACGGAUCAUCGUCCAUCGCGCAACACUCCAACCUCGUCUCCCAAGGCACGUUUACAGAUUUGUCAAGUCGUCAUGUUCUUCUGAUCUGAUAAAUGCGUAAUUUGAUGAACUCUUCUCUCGCCUAUUUGCGGUACUAUUAGGCAGAAGAACCCGUCGAUUUACGUCCCGUCACGACGGAUCUCCAGCGGAACUGCUGCGGCGACGCUGCGUUAUGCCACUGCUAUGAGAUCUUAUUCUACGUCGUUUAUGGAAGAGAGGGACACUUUCGGGCCGAUCCAAGUUUCUUCCGGUAAGUACAUGAUAUUUUUUUUUUUACCAUAACGUCUUGACUAUCUCAGUUCUCCAGUAUGUCUUAUCAGCCUUAUCUUUGUUGUCACUGUGUCAGAUUUUGGGGAGCCCAGACGCAGAGACGCUGCAGAACUUCGAAAUCGGUGAUGAGCACGAGCGUAUGUCCAAACCUAUCGUCUGCGGUUUUGGCGUCUUGAAGAAGUGCGUGGCCAAGCAUAGCUAUAAGUCUAUAACCAUAGGUUUUGUCUAAGUCAUGCACAUUGCCGCUGUAACUGAGAUUAAUUGAAGGCUCUUAUUCGUAAGACUGAUCAAAAAGCCAAUAAUGUGGCGGUGAUUUCAACCGGAAAGGAAGAUAAGUUCAAUUAUUAAGCUUCUAAAAAGUACAUAAAAACAUACCUUGACAAUCUAUGAUUAAGAGAUGAACGAAAAUGCAAUGCAGAUGAAUGAAGAGGUUGAAUAGAACGCAGAAAUCAGGAAUCAGAAAAAGAAAAUUGAAAAAAGGAGAUAAUUUGUAAACUGGUUAUCAAAAAUAUAAACGUAUGAAGAGGUGCCAACUAAGAGUCACAAUUUCAUUAAUGGAUAAAAGUCAGACAAUGCUUCACUACCGACAUACAACUUUGGUAGAGUCGUGUCUUAACUAAACCAUUGGAUUAAAAGGUUGCUAAUCUCAACAGUUUCCUGUUUUUUUUUUUGAAGAAAAUUACUAUAAGAAUAUGAAAUGGGACUUGGAACAAAAAAAAAGAAAAAAAAAAGAAAAGGGACUUCACUAACGACACAAAGCUUCAGUAGCGGUAGCGUCUCCUUUUUUUGUCAAAACAAAAAAAUUACUAAUCUGAACAGUUUCCUGUUUUUUAAAAGAAAGUUACUAUAAGAUUAUGAAAAGGGACUUCACUAACGACACAAAGCUUCGGUAGCGUCUCCUUUUUUUAGUCAAAUCAAAUGAUCAGCCCUUGGAUUAAAAGGUGUACUAAUUUCAACCAUUCCUUUAAACAAAAUUAUAAUAUAAAAAAAUGAUGUCAGAUAAAUACAAAUUUUGGUUUGCUAUUAUAUGUAGACCGUGUUUUUUUUGUAAUGAUAUAUCUUUUCAAUAUACAUUAUAUACAACAUUUUAAAAAAACUAUUUAUAAUUUGAAAAGUCGUGAUCAUUCAUAUACAUAUUUGAAAAACUAUAAAUAGCCCAUGUCCAUAAAUUUCUUAUUGUAAAUCUUUCAAAAAUUUAUUAAAAUGGCCAAAAAGAAAAGUUAUGUGCAGUAACCUGAUUACAAAUAAUUUGAAGAUAAUAGACGAAACGAUGUCAACAAAGAAUUGUAGCAAGGGUCAUUCAUGUUUGGCUAGUAAAAAAUUCUAAACGAGAUACUGAAGUUAUUAGUCUUAAUUUCUCUUCAACUAGAUGAAAAUGUGUGCUUUUAUUUCUUACAAAUUUUGCAUUUGUAAUGAUGUAUGUUCCAUGAAACACAUAUUAUGCAUGUCUUAUAUAUUCAUGUGCUAUAUAUUCUUACACUUGGGUUAUAUAAGAAUGUAUGAUCAUGUCACAAAAGCCGGUAAAUUUUAGUAACAUAAUAUUCUUAUUGAUUGUUGACAUUUUAUUUGAGUGGAUAUUUUUGUUUUACAAAACCAGUCAAUUAAUGUAUUUUUUUCUCAUUCUCUUGGGUUGUUUCAUAUUUGUGACAUCAAUAAUCAUUAUCAAUAAAAGAAUAUAGUUAUAUACAAAAUAAUUUUGUAACACGUGUAUUGUCUCAAAAUUAAUUGUAAACAAUUUUCAUAAAAAUUUAUUUUAUAAAAUAUAUUAUAUUUACUUUUAUGAAAUGAGUUCCCGUGCGAUAUCGCACGGGUUCCUUACCUAGUAUUAACAGUGGCGGUUCUACUAAGCUCAAGAAGGUGGCACUUGCCCCCUAUAAAAUCAUUAAAUUCUUUUUAACUUACCCAAAAUUUUGUUACAUACGUUUACUGAAAAUCAUGUUUUAUUUAUAUAGUUGUAUUUACAUAUGAUUUGCCCCCAGUAAAAUUUUGUUCUACAUCCGCCCCUGUAUAUUAAUUAACUUUUAGAAAUCCGACAUUUAUAUUUUUUUGUUACACUAUUUGGUGUAUACAAAAUAUGUUUUAUAGAAUUUAAAAUGUAUUUUUAUAUAUAAUUUUACGAAAUAUUAUCAAAAUAUAUUGAAAUGUUAAGAAAAAAUAGAAAUGAACUUCAUUUGUGAAUAUAAAACAAAUAAUACAAUGUUUAAUGUUUGUACUUUAUGUGUUUAUUAAUUAUAGAAUUUUUACUGCAUAUUGUUAUAAAUAUAUAUAUAUAUAUAUUUUAAAAACAUUUGAAAAGACUAAACACACUAUUAUUUCAAGACUCUGAUCUUAUAACGUGUGUUACUAUUUUCAGAAUUUGAUGUUGAUGAGGAACUAGAAGCCAUGGGUAAGGAAAUGGUGGCAUAUUGUGGAGGACUACCAUUAGCCAUUAAAGUGUUGGGAGGCUUGUUAGCUAAUAAAACCAUGGUUGAAGAGUGGAAAAGAGUAGAUGACAAUAUUCAAACUCAGAUAGUUCGCAUAGAUGACAAAAGUCAAGAUUCUGUUUACCGAGUAUUGUCUAUGAGCUAUGAAGAUUUGCCAAUGCAGUUAAAGCAUUGCUUCCUAUACCUAGCUCAUUUUCCCGAAGAUGACAAGAUACAAGUGGACAGAUUAUAUUAUCUAUGGGCAGCAGAAGGCAUAAUAAAGUCAAGUGGCGAUGGAGAAUAACGAGUCAAGGUCCAACCGGGCAAUCCGGUUUUCAAAACACUAGUCAUCACCAUAAUGAUUCUUUUUUUUAGAGAAAUAUGUUAGCCAUCUAAACAUAUAAUAUAAUACUCAUUAAACUAAGUAUUAAAUUAAUUAUUAAUGUACAAAACAUAUUAUUCCUUCUUUGCUUAAGUAUAAGCUACAAAAUUACAUAAUGUGAUAAAUAUAUAUAAGGAGUUUUCUUGCGCCAUGCGCAAAUAUACUAAUUUUUAGCUAAAUUUUUAUUUAUUUUAUUUUAAAUAAAAAUAAAUUUACGUUUUCAUACUAUUAUUUUUAUAUUUUAAAUUCAUCGGUCUGGAAAAGAGUGAAAUCACAACUAUUUUUUUGUAAUUUUGUUUCAUUUGAUUUGUUUUAUUUAUUUUAAUUUUAUUUUAUAUGAAUUUUAUUGGAGAAGAAUUAUAUUUUAUAUAACUUUGAAUUUUAUUUAUUUAUAUUUAGUGAUUAUUUAUUUUGAAUAUGUUUCUUAUCCUCUAAGUGUAUAAAUUUUAAUAAUGAUUGGGUUUCUGUUUAAAUGUAUAGCUAAUAUGUUAAACUUGUAAACUCAAUUUCUUAAUUAAUCAAAUAAACUAAUGGAUGCUACUAAAAUUUUAAACAUUUAAUCAUCCAAAAAAAUUGAUUAGCAUUGCUUUAGUUUUGUGUUCCCUAAUGCACACUUACACUUUAUUUUAAUAAAAUAUAAAAUAUAUAUAGAAAAUAUGAUAAAUAAGUUAAUUUAAAAUUAAAAUAUAAUUAUAUUUAGUUUAUUUUUAUAAAUAUGAUAUAUAUAAUUUUAUUUUAUUUCAAUGGUGAUAUAUGAAUUAUUAGUUAUUAAUAUACUUUAAAAGUCUUGCCAAAAUAAACAUUUACACAGAAAUGCUAACUUCUAAAUAGUGAUAUAAACAUUAUUAGUCAUUACCAUUUUUAUAAAUUCUUACUAAAAAUAUAUAGAUUUGUAAAAGUUAUUAUUAUUACCAUAUUUAAAAGUCUUUAACAAAAAUAUAAAUUUUUAUAAGAAAAUUUUCAUGUCAAAUUAACUUGAUCUCAUGUCAUUAUUUUCUAAAAACAUGUCAUUUUUUUGGGUGAGAAUGAACACUGUGAUGACAUGUGUACAAAACCACUUUGCAAUUAAUAUUUAGGAGAUACUACAAUCAAUGACUUUGAAUAAUAAUGAUUUGAUAACAAUUUGUGUAUCAUCCAUCAUCUUUAUUUAAUUUUAAAUUAUUAAAAUAAAUUAAUUAAUCAUAUUAAUCAUCUAAUAAAAAAUAGAUUUUCCUUAUAUUUUGAAUUUUAAAGAUGACUAUAAAUUACUAAAAUUGUUAAAAUUAAUGGUUUAAUUUUAUUAUUAUAAUAAGAUACAAAUGAUCAUAAGAACUUAUGAAUAUGAAAUUUCAUUUAAUAGAACUGUAGAUUAAAAUAUAUAUAUAUAUAUAUAUAUAUAUAUAUAUAUAUAUAUUUUAAUAUCGUUUAAAUUUAGCUGUAUAUAUAUAUAUUUUUUUUUCUGAACAUUUGAAAAGACUAGAGACAUUAUUUCAAGGCUCUAAUGUUAUAAUAUGUGUUACUGUUUUCAGAAUUUAUUGUUGAUGAAGAACUAGAAGCCAUGGGUAAGAAAAUGGUCACACAUUGUGGAGGACUACCAUUAGCCGUUAAAGUGUUGGGAGGCUUGUUAGCUAAUAAAACCAUGGUUGAAGAGUGGAAAAGAGUAGAUGACAAUAUUCAAAGUCAGAUAGUUCGCAUAGAUGACAAAAGUCAAGAUUCUGUGUACCGAGUAUUGUCUAUGAGCUAUGAAGAUUUGCCAAUGCAGUUAAAGCAUUGCUUCCUCUACCUAGCUCAUUUUCCUGAAGAUGACAAGAUACAAGUGGACAGAUUAUAUUAUCUAUGGGCAGCAGAAGGCAUAAUAAAGUCAAGUGGCGAUGGAGAAACCACUUGGGAAAUUGGAGAAUACUACAUAGACGAGCUAGUACGGAGAAAUAUGAUUAUUGGAGUAAAAGAGGAUUUGAGUUGCAGAUGGGAGUAUUGUCAAAUGCAUGACAUGAUGAGAGAAGUAUGUUUAUAUAAAGCCAAAGAAGAGAACUUUCUUCAGUUUAUCGAAGUCCCUACUUCUUCCAUCUCCACCAUCAAUGCUCAUACUCCUACCAGAUAUCGCAGACUCGUAGUACACGGUGGUGGUAAUGCAUUUGAUAUGCUGGGAUGUAAAAACAAUAAAAAAGUUAGAUCUGUUUUGGGGUUUGAACUCGACAGCAACUUGUGGAAGCAGUCAGCUCAAGGACUCAGAAAUUUACAAUUACUUAGGGUCUUACAUCUGAGUUUAGAUUAUAAAAGCGACUCUAGAGGGUGGAGAAUACCUUCGAGCAUUGGAAAACUCAUUCAUUUGAGAUAUUUGAGCUUAGACAUGGGUUGGGCAACUCAUGUACCUUCUUCUUUACGGAAUCUAAAGCUUCUAAUCUAUUUGAGAAUUUCCUCCUGGGGACUGGAAAGAGUUCAUCUGCCAAGUAUCUUUAACGAGAUGGUACAGUUGAGGGUCCUGAUUCUUCCCCGUUCUUUUGACGCUAAAACAAAGUUGGAAUUGGGUAAUCUCGUGAACCUGGAGUACCUGAUCGGCUUCCGAUCAGAAUACGGUAGCAUCACAGACUUCCUCCGGAUGAAAAAGCUCAGGACUCUCGAGACCUGGAGAAGCUUACAUUGAUCAAUGAGAACAACAAAUCCGAUGGGGUUUAUGAUUUGGAUUUCGUUUGGAAUUUCAUUAAGCUAAGGCAUUUAGUGAUAUGGAUGCAUAUGCCAAGGCUUCCUGAUCACUCUCGAUUUCCUCCCCACCUUGCACACAUAUCUCUAAUUAACUGUAAAAUGGAGGAGGAUCCACUGCAGAUUCUGGAAAAGUUGCUUCAUUUAAAGUCGGUUGAAUUAGGUUACAGAUCUUUCGUGGGGAGGAAGAUGGUGUGUUCAAAAGGUGGAUUCCCUCAAUUAUGUAAUCUAGAAAUAGAGUUACUAAACGACUUGGAAGAGUGGGUAAUCGAAGAAGGGUCGAUGCCAUGUCUUCGUACCUUGUCUAUAUGGUUCUGUGACAAGUUGAAGGAGCUACCGGAAGGGCUCAAGUAUAUCACUUCUUUAAAGGAACUGGAAAUCAUACAUAAGAACAAGGAGUGGGAGACGAAACUCGUACCAGGUGGGGAAAGUUACCACAAAGUCCAACACAUUGUUACCACUAUGAUGGCGACGAAUAAGGAGAGUAAACCGGUCUCAGGUAUGUUUUUUUGGUAUAAUGUCAAUAUUGUUCUUCUUGAAGUUUUGUGUGCAAGUCUCAACUAUCUAACCUUUUUAUUAUUCGGUUUUCAGGUGAACCUACUCAGGAUCAGUACCCACCACUACCGAUUGUGUGAUAUGAUAAUAAGUCGUUUUUGUUGUAUUGGUGUGUGAAGUUUACAUAUCUUGUUUGUGAUAUAUUCCGUUUAUCUAUUUGCAUGCUCAUUCACUGUAAUGCUAAGUUUGAAAUACAUUAUUUGUAUGUUGAACCAUAUCUUAUUCGAUGUUCUCCGUUGUGUGUGCUUAGUUGACUUGUAUAGUUACCGAACCGAACCUGAGUUUUCCAAAUUUGUCUUUUACUACUAAACCGGACAAAUUGAUGGUUUAAAAACAAAACUCGGUCUGGAUUAUAAUAAAAUCAGAUCAUGAGAGACUACCAAACAAGAGAGUCCUUUCGAUCUCUGCAAAUUUGUUUUUGACUCUAAUUAAGAGGAGAAGAAGUGUACUAGUUGAAGCGAAGAAUCCAAAACGCGGUGAUCAAUCGCCAAACGUAUGCAUAACUGGGUUAGAGCUUCCUCUUCCGAUCUCACGGGAACUCCUCCACAGCCUAGGAGGUAAAUUAAUUACUUCUUCUCCAUUCAAUUUUCGAUUUUAAUUUCAGCUGCUGAUUUUUAUUCUUCAAUCAGUGGACAUACAGCUGUCAAUGUCGGAAAAUCCAUGGUCGUGGUGUUCGGCGGUCUCGUCGACAAAAAGUUCCUCAACGACAUCAUUGUUUAUGACAUUGGUAAUAUCAUACUUCAGCCUAGGAUUAUUGAUUCCUUGAUCCAAAGAAGAUGCUUUUUUUUUAAAUUUCCCUUGAGUUACUGUCUUCGCUUGUAAUAUAAAGACUAGUGUUUCUUGUAGUUUAUUGUGUGUUAAGCUUAGUUAGGCUAAUGCGUACAUCAAAGAUAGAGUUACUUUGCAAAAAAAAAACUGUAGAAAACUGAAAACUUCACCACUAAAAUUAUUAGACUCACUAUAGGAUACUCUCUUUCUUAUUCCGCAUGGCAUUGUUUUAAGUACCAGUGAAAUUAGUUUCUUUACGGUCUGCUAGUAUAUGUGGUGGUUAUAUCAAGUACAUAGUUUCCUAUCCAGCUUUUUUAAUCGGUUUGUCUUAUGAUUUGCUUCUUCUUUAUCCUGUCGACUAGAAAACAAACUCUGGUUUGAGCCAGAGUGUACUGGCAGCGUUUCUGAAGGAAAAGUUGGCCCUACACCUCGCGCCUUUCAUGUUGCCAUAACAAUUGAUUGCCAUAUGUUCAUCUUUGGUGGACGUUCUGGUGGCAAGAGGUACUCACUACUAUAUAUUUUCUAGUUAGAAGCGUUUUUACAUUUCUACUUUCACCGGAAUAGCUUAUUUCUAGAAAUAAAUCAAUUUCAGAUUGGGUGACUUCUGGGUUCUAGAUACAGGUAAGUGUACAAUCAUAACAAUGUCAGUGACAUUAUGUCACUGAGACCUGCCUGGGAACUUUUUAAUACCCUGCUGCUGACAUUUUCUGCAGAUAUAUGGCAGUGGUCUGAGCUAACCAGCUUUGGCGACUUACCUACACCUCGUGAUUUUUCUGCUGCCGCUGCUAUUGGCAACCAGAAAAUCGUGUUGUGAGUAUCUGAAAUUUUAGACGUUCCAUCAGCUUGUUUCCUGCAUUGGCUUAGCCUAUGAUUAUUGGCAGGUGUGGCGGCUGGGAUGGUAAAAAAUGGCUGUCAGAUGUGUAUGUUAUGGAUACAAGUAAAACUUUAUACCUCUCGUCUACUUCAGUUUUGUAAUAAACUGUUUUUAAGUUUCUGAUAAUGUCAGCUUGCUUUGUAUUUGCUAGUGUCCCUUGAAUGGAUGGAGCUGUCGGUUUCGGGGUCGUUACCGCCUCCUAGAUGUGGUCAUACAGCCACCAUGGUUGAGAAACGUUUACUUGUUUUUGGUGGCCGAGGUAUAACACCAGAACCAGAAUCUUUGUUUUGCUUGAGCUGAUGACAACUAAACUGAGACUAUGGUUAUCUUUGACAGGAGGUGGUGGCCCUAUCAUGGGUGAUCUUUGGGCUUUGAAGGGUUUAAUAGAUGAAGGUUCAUCCUUACUUAAAUUCUUAAAAAUUGCAUUGUUAUGUUAUGUUUGCUAAUCUUAUUGUGGUUUACCUUUGUUGUGGAAGAAAGAACGUGAAACACCUGGAUGGACCCAACUAAAGCUUCCUGGUCAAGCACCAUCAGCUCGAUGUGGUCACACUGUCACAUCCGGAGGACAUUAUGUAUGUCUAUUUCAGCUUCCGUUUGCUCUUUUGUAUAAAUAGGUUCGCAUGACAUACAUCACUCACAUCAUUAAUUUUCAUGUAUGAAGCUUCUGUUAUUUGGGGGACAUGGAACUGGUGGAUGGCUGAGUCGUUAUGAUGUCUAUUAUAAUGACACUAUAAUUUUAGACAAAGGUAAAUUCUUGCUUAUGAGAUUCGUCACUCUAAAUUUAUAUAUUCACAUUCUAGUAACUGCUCAGUGGAAGCGCUUACCGAUAAGCAAUGAUGAGCCUCCUCCACCUCGAGCUUACCAUACAAUGACUAGUAUUGGAGCUCGUCAUCUUUUAAUUGGUGGUUUUGAUGGAAAAUCAACCUUCGGUGAUCUUUGGUGGUUGGUUCCUGAAGGUAUCUUUCUCUUAUUUUAUACUGAUGUUUUAGUCCAACUUAGCUAUCGUUCUGUGUACACGCAUCAUCAGUUACUUAUAGUUGGAAACUCUUUAGGCAAUUGUAGAGACACUUAAUUUCUAGCAUAAUCUUUUUUUUUCUUCUUUAUCAAGUUUGUAUUGAAAGUUUUGAAGUUUUACUGAACUGUUUAGCCUUCUGAAAAUGUUGUUAUUCGUUUUUUUUCUUUUUUUCUUUUCUCAGAUGAUCCCAUAGCCAAGAGGUCUUCCGUACCUCAACUUAGAAACCCUCCUGAGACUAAAGAGUCAGAGAGAGAUUUGGAUACGGUAACUGUGGUUCCUGCUCAUCAUCUUAUGUGUUUCUCGCCAAUGCAGUUAAAUUAGCUUUUCAACGUGUUUUAACACCAAGAGUUUGGUCACAGCAGGAAAGAGGACAAGAGGGAUUCACUAUCGUCGACUUGCAAAAGAAAAUGGGAAUCUCUGUUGCAUCAGGGUUACUACGCCGUCAUAUCCCCGAGGAGUCAGAAGAUCAAGAGUUCGUUGAGUUAGGAACCAGAUUGAUUGAGGGAGAUGUAAUUGAUAAUCGAACCUCCAUGAUUCAGGUUAAUUUUUCCUCUUGUCUUUUUCAGGAUGUGUGAUUGUGUUAUUCUUGUACUGAAAAUGCUUCUCAACGAUUAGAUGGCAGCUGAAGCACUUCGUCAACAUUGGAAAGAGUCCACUCCUGAGACUUUGCAGUUAAAAGAGCUUAAUGCCUUGCUUCGAGAUUAUCAGCGACUUGUUUCCCGAAAAUACACGUGAGUUCUUACAUUAUCUUGUUUAUGUAGAUUAUCUUUUAUUUCAAUAAAAAUGGUUGUUCUUUGAUUGCGCUUGGAAUGGCAUUAGAAUAACUUAGAUAAAUCUCCUGAGAGUUUAGGAGUGUUAUAUAGAGUUAAUAUCAAUAUCAUUUUUUGUGUCUUGAAUAGCCCUUGAGACUUUUUAAUCCAAGAAUUGCCAAAACUGAUUCAUUUCUUAAUGUUGUGCAGUCCUCACAUAAAAGUUGAUUGUAAAUGCAUCGCUUUGUACCCCUUUGAAAAGUAUUAAACAUCAUGAAAUUUCACAUUUGAUUCUUCCUUUCCGUCACACAUGUUUGUUUUCGUUGUUGUGGCGUGAGUCUCAGAGCACAGAGCAGCUUAACAUCUACUGAUUUUGGCCUCCCCGGAAAGCAGACGUUUACGUUUUAUCAUAUCAAAACUUCUUCCGAGGUAAUACCACAUACUUUCCUCCUGUUAUGAGCUCUCUUGAACAUUUGACAGCAAUCAAUCAACACAUCAGGCUCUUGGCACAUGCUCUGACAUGUCAAUUUAACAUUUUGUUAUUCUCAGUUACGGAUGGAUGACAUCCCGAAGUUGCUGGAAGAAUACAAAACCCUUGUAAUCUGAUUGAGGAGCUCUGCCAUGAAACUCACAAGGAGAAUACAAAACUCAUCAAGUAGCUGCCAAGAAGAUCACCAAGAUUGCUAUCAGCACUACCAUUGCAAACAACAAAACUAAAAAAAGUCUCAACAGAAUCAUAUAUCUGAUAGACAACAAGACAUGUACAACUUCUUUUUAGUCAAGAACAAAAACAUGUACCCAUAUGUAAGAUUUUCCAUUAUCUCCACUUAAUCCGUAUCUCAGCGUCUGCUCUUUAUUUUUCUAGCCUCUUGCAUUUUACUUUGAAAAUAGAUUGAUUUGCCUUGAAGCUAAUGUUCGAACCCCGAUCCAUCUUUGAGCAACUGUUUUAGUUCCGUGUCUAGGAGACCAGUGUUCUGCACUAUCGAAUCUUGGUCUCCUACUUGAGAUGUGAUGCUUCCAUACAAUGUCCAGCCACUGGCGUUGCCUAGUAAUUAAUAUCAUCUCCACCAUAUCAAUAUUUGCUGCAUCCCCUCCUCCAUAAGAAACAUAAAAUAUAAAAGUUAGGUAGCUCUAAAACACUUCUGAUCAUAACAAAAAUUAAGAUCUAAACCACACUUGAUGAUUACGUAAGUUUGUUCGUAAUUUUUACCAAUCUUUGGUAUGAGGAACUGGAGAAAAGAUUCCAAAUAGACUGAGGAAGAAGGACAUGCAGAUUUCAGAGAUUUGAUAGUUUGGUGUCAAGGCCACAAAGCAUCAAGCUUGUUAACAUGUCGUAGUAGUAGAACCAGAAGAACUUGACCACAGUACGGUCGUAUCCUAUCAUUGAGUAAAGGAUUAGAGUAUGUAAACUCUAGUUUGAAUGGUGUCAUACUACAUGAUCUAAUAACUUUGUCUAUAUUACCAAUUUUCCCAAUUAAUUAUUUCUAACGAAAAUAUAAUGUAUAAAUAUCAAUGAAUAUAUUUUGAAAGUUGAAAAUAAGAGAGAAAUUUUUUUUUACCAAAAAGAAUAAUAAGGGAGAAACUAUAGUGAAUGUUUCGAGUGGGCCUAAAGCAAAUGCAUUAUUGCCUUGCGAAAAAAUCAUUAUCGCCAGAGACUAGAAAAAAACUCCUAUUUUCUUUUUAAUUCAAAAUUAGAACCACAAGAUGACUGUCAUAGACUGUCGAUACUCUUUCAUUAUUUUUUCUUCCAAAGAACGUCGCUAAGCAAGUUGCAGAUCUGUUACAUGUAAGGUAAAUCACGUUCUUGUAUCAUUAUUUGUCUGUUUAACUUGCUCUGAUCUGUCUUUUGGGCUCUGUGGUGGUUGAAUCUGAAUUUAAAAACAAAAAUUCGUUGCAUUGUUACAAAUCUUGUUUUACGAAUUUAAAGCAUUUAAUCAUCAAUGCUUGAAUAAAAGUAAGUUAAGUAAAGUUCCUCUGACAGGUAUCAUGUUUUAUUAGAUCAACCAAGGAUUAUCAUAACCGGUUUUAAAUCUUACUAUACAAGUUUGUACUCAUAUGUUGACGGUGGAACAGGAGAAUAGCGAUGGCUGAGGGAAUUGUAUCGUUUGGAGUGCAGAGACUCUGGGAGCUCUUGGCUCGAGAAUCUGAGAGACUGCAGGGAGUUCAUGAGAAAGUUGAUGAUCUAAAAUGUCAGAUGAGAAUGUUACAGUCGUUGUUGAAAGAUGCAGAUGCCAAGAAACAUGGGAGUGAAGUAGUGAGAAACUUCUUGGAAGAUGUCAAAGACAUUGUUUUUGAUGCUGAAGAUAUAAUUGAAUCCUUUCUUUUGAAAGAAUUGAGUGGAAACCAAAAAGGGAUCAAGAGGCAUCUGAAAAGACUUUCUUGUUUCUUAGUGGAUCGCCGAAAUAUUUCUAUGGACAUUGAAGGCAUAACUAAGAGAAUGUCCAAGCUUGUCGAGCAAAUGCAGAGCUUUGGAAUACAACAGAUCGUCUACAGAUCACCGUCUCUACAAGAGAGACAGAGGGAAAUCCAACAAACAUAUCCUGAGAAAUCUCAAAAGGAUCUUGUGGCCGUGGAACAGAGUGUUAAGGAACUGGUUGGUCAGUUGGUGGAGAAUGAUCGCAUCCAAGUAGUUUCCAUAUCCGGGAUGGGUGGUAUUGGAAAAACCACUCUUGCGAGACAAGUCUUUCAUCAUGACAUUGUUCGAAGUCAUUUUGAUGGAUUCGCGUGGAUCUGCGUUUCGCAAGAUUUUAAGCGGAAGGAUAUUUGGCAAAAGUUAUUGCAAGACCUUAGACCACAUGAUAAGGGCAUCGAACAUAUGAAUGAGAAUACACUCCAGGCUGAGCUCUUUCACUUGUUGGAGACAUCUAAAUAUUUAAUUGUCAUGGAUGAUGUAUGGAAAAAAGAAGACUGGGAUAUAAUAAAACACGUUUUCCCCCAAGAAAGAAGAGGUGAGCUCUCUAAUUGUACAUACAUUACUUAAGAACUCUCCAUAGCUAUUUCAUAAAUACCUUUUCAGUCUCUGAGAUGAAAGGAAAUACAAUUGCAGGUUGGAAGAUGAUUCUUACUUCACGUGAUGAAAGUGUUGGUUUCCAUGCAGACCGAACAUGUUUUCCCUUUAGACCAAAAACUCUUACUCCUGAAGAAAGUUGGAAGCUAUGUGAGAGCAUAGCAUUCCCUAGAAGAGAGAUAACAGGUACGUUUUUAAUACAAGAAUCAUAUGAAUCAUUAAGGCCAAAAAGCAUGAUAUCUCUUACAUGCCUUCUUAUAAAAAAACUUGUGUAGUAAUUCCCAAAUUAUCGUCUCUGGAAUGACAUACACUAAAAACUCUAUAAAUUAAUAAUACUAAAACUAUGAAAUUUUAUUAAUUUAUAGAAUUACUAAUUUUUUCAAAGUUUCAGUUUUAGAUUUUUUUUACACUAUUUUUAUUAUAAAAACUAGGUAAGGAACCCGUGCGAUAUCGCACGGGAACUCAUUUUAUAAAUUGAUAGUAAAGAUAUACACAUUAAAAAAUUAUGCAGAAUUUAAAUUAUUAUCUUGAACUUAUUUUAAUAAGAUUACAAAUAUGUCACGUUGUGGAAUUUAUACUUUUGUAUAAAACAUCUUAUUGUGCUAUCAAAAAAAGUUCAUGUGACAUUAAUGUAAAACUAAAAUAAGGAGAAAAUACAUAUCUUUUGAUUUUCCAUAAAAUUAAAAAAAUAUAUAAUAUAAGUAAAUUGAGAAAUAACCACAAACCAUAUCAAUAAAAGUAUUCAAAAUGAAAAGACACAUAGUUUCAUAUAUCAUAUAUUGUUUUACUGAAAAUAUUUGUCAAAUAACUUAUUAGUGACAAUAUUUUAUUUGUUUCAAUUAUUGUUAUACCAGCCAAAAUAGAACUAAUUAUAUAUUAAUUUACUUUUUAUAGUAACAAUAAACUCUUGACUAACAAAACUUUCACUAAAAUGACAGUAGGACAUUGUCUUCAGCCUCAUUGUCAAUUUUAUUUUCAUGUAUACUAUAUUUAAUAUCAAUUUUCUUUAAAAUAAAAUUAUCAUUUUAUGUAUUCAGAAUAACUAACAAGUUACAAUAGAUUUAACUAAUUCAGUUGGUUAUUUAAUAGAAUCUUUGAAAUAUAUUUGUUAACAUUAUAAAAGACUAUGUAUAUGAACCAUCAUAGGGAAUCAACUUUACUCAAUAUAUAUAUAUAUAUAUAUAUAUAAUAACUUUAAUGUUCUGUUUAUAUUUUAUUAGAAUAAAUAUUGUUUACAACUAUGCCUCCAUCUUUUUAAGUUUAUUCUUAUAGUUUUACAUGAUAUUUAGCUCCAACAACUUCUUGAACUACUUUCAAUUAUUUUCCGUGAUAUUUAAAUAAUUUUUCCUAUUUAAGAGACAAUAUUAGAAUUAUCAGUUUGUAGUAUAUUAAGAAAAUUUAUAUUUCUAUGUUGGUAAAAAUAGUUAUUAUUUUUAUAAAUUUAUUUACCUGCUCUAUUUUUGGGAAAAAUAUUAAGGAGAUUGGAUAUCAUAAUAAAUAUAUGUUGACUUAAGUUGAUAUGACAUUUCUCACUUAUAUUAUUUCCUUUAAUUUCCGGAAGAGUUCUUAUAAAACACCAGCACUUAUUAUAUUAAAACUAACAUAAUAAUUAUGGAUUUAAAUCAUGAUGACUUUUGUUGUAUCAAUAAAUAAUAUUUUUGAAGUCAAGGUUGUAUUGAGAUAUAAAUACUGUAGAACUCUAUCGGUUUCUCAAUCAAAUUUCCAAGCUUAGACUAAGAUAUAAGAAUAACAAAUAGAGCUAUGCAUGUUCAUAUGUAUUUGUUCAAAAAUCUUUGAAAAUAAUUUAACAGUGAAUCUCUAUCUUUUCUAAUCUAUAGAUUGUUGUCAUUUUUUUUGUGAUUUUUCUAUUCCCACAACAACUUAUAUAGAUGACUAAAGGUUACAAUGGUUGAUACCAAACAUUGCAAUGGUUAGAUAAUAGUUGCAAUAAUUAACAUCAGAAGUUACAAUGGAUUAUCACCAAAUACUACAAUCACUAACAUUGCAAUGAUUUAUUACCAAAGAUUGCAUUGGUUCUUCACUAAAAUUAUUGUCACCAACAGUUGCAGCGAUAUCUUUAGACAUUUUGAUAACUUUUUUUAACAAAUAAAAAAAUUUAGGAUGAAAAACACAUCCUUAUACAUUUUAACAACAUCUUUUAAACCAAUUUAAUUCCUAAAAUGAAAGUAACAUUUUUAAGAUGAAAGGAUCCAUACUUAUAUUUUUUACAAUAUUUUUUGAAGAACGCAAUUUUUAAUAUGAAAAGACACAUUGUUAAGAUCAAAAAUUAUAACCAUUGAUAUUUAUUUGGAGAAAAUAUACAUUUUUACACAUUUUGAUAAUUUUUUAACAAAUGAAAAUUUAGGAUGAAAAGACAUAUUUUAUACGUUUUAGGAACUUACUUUAAACCAAUGCAAUUCUUAAAAUGAAAUGACAUAUUAUUAAGAUGAAAAGUUACAUACUUAUAUAUGUGACAACAUUUUUUAAAGUAGUGUCAUUUUUAAGAUGAAAAGACACUUCGUUAGGAUGAAAAGUUACAACCUUUGACAUUUAUUUGGAGAAAAUAUAUAUUUUUAGACGUUUUGACAACUUUUAUUAAGAAAUACAGUUUUUUUUAGGAUUAAAAGAUACAUCUUUAUACAUUUUAACAAUUUCUUCAAAACAAAUGCAAUUCGACAAUGAAAAGACACAUUGUUAAGAUGAUAAUAUUUUUACUUAUAUAUUUGACAACAUUUUUUUAAAGCAAUGCCAUUUAAAUGAAAAAUAAUACUUUGUUAGGAUGAAAAAUUACAACAUUUAACAUUUAUUUUUUAACAAAUGCAAUUUGUAGGAUAAAAAGACACAUCCUUAUACAUUUUAACAACUUCUUUUAAACCAAUGCAAUUCUUAAAAAUGAAAAGACAUACUUUUAAGAUGAAAAGAUACAUACUUGUAUUUUUUUAGGACAUUUUUUAAUAAGAUAAAAAGACACUUUGAUAUAAUGAAAAGUUACAAUUUUUGACAUUUAUUUGGAUAAACCACAUCUUUAGACAUUUUGACAACUUUUUUUAAUAAAUGCAAUUUGUAUGAAACUUAUACUUAUACACUUUGACAAUUUCUCUUAACCCAAUGCAAUUUUAAAAAUAAAAUAAAAUGUACUAAUAUAUUUUAACGACACUUUUAAAACAAUGCUCUUUUUAAGAUGAAAUGACACAUAAUUACAAAGAGACACUUUUUGAGAUAUUUUAAUAAUUUUUUAAAAAAUUAUCUUAUAUAAUGAGAAGACACAAUUUUAAAACUAAUAUUUAUAGAAAAACACUUAUUAGGAUAUUUUAACAAAUUUUAAACUAAUAAUUUUACUUAUAGUCUAAGAAAUUCAACCUAUAAUAGUUUUGAUCUUGAGACUUCUAGUUUACAGAUGUGUAAACCAGUAAAUAGCCAUUUAAAUUUAAUUGAAUGCAAGACAAGAUUGAUAAAAGUCAACUACUUAUGUUCGCUAAAUAUCUUGGAAAAAGGUUCUAAAUUUAAAUUGUUAUUUUCCUAUAUAUACGUAACGACACAAGUGAUAAAAGAUGCUACUUUUGAUAAAUAAAUGGUCAUUAACGAAAUAUAGAUGCAAAUAACUAAAAAUAAAUAAAAAAUUUGUCAGAUUUGUUUGUUGUCAAAGAAAUUGUAAGAUGUGUUUUGCCUUUAGUUUUCGUUAAGAAUUGAAUAUAUUUAAAACUCUAGACUUUUACAUCAUAUUUGUUUGUCUCUAACCAACAAUUGAUAUGUUUCCGAGAAAUAAUAUAUAAAUAAAAAGAUCUUUUAAUGAGUUUUAUAAUCUCAGUAGUUCGCACAUCUCCAAACCAGGCAGUAGAAAACAAUGUAAAUUUGCAAUUCAUGAGUGGACAAUUAUAUUAUUUUGUGAACAAUUAUAUUGACAUGGGGGAUUCCUAAGUUUAAAAUGUGACACCUAUGCAGAUUUAAAUAUUCCAGUGGAAUUAAACCAUUCCCAUUAAAAAGAAAUUGAUGAUAAUUCCCACGAGAAUAACACUCUCCAAUUAAGAGACACAUUGUUUGAUUAACUCAUGACGGUCAUCACCAACCGGUUUUCCUCUAAUAGAUUUACUGAAUGACAGACAACCCAUUUUUUGUACAUCGUAAUUUGGAAAGCAUUAAUCUUAGACUCUGACAAAACGCAAGAACAACAACACAUAUAAAUUAGAUAUGUUGUAACAACUAUUAAAAAAAUUGAAUGAUGGAAAUCCUAAAUUUGUUUAAAGAAAAUGACGUUGAUAGUGGUUUUUGAAAAAAAAUAUAUGGGAUUAUGAUGAACAAUAACAAUGAAAACUCAUUGUAAACACGCUUUAGAGAGCAAAACAAAUAAAUCAAUUCUGAGAUUUUGGGUGGAAAGGUAAUUUAAGAGGAGAUGGAAAACGAUAACAGGAAUGAGUCUUUAAAAACACACACAUAUAUAUAGAUUGAUAAGGAAUGCUUCAUCUCAGAGUUGUAUUGUUUUGAGAUGGAGACUAUUCGGUGAAAAGAUGCAACACACCGCAGUUUUGUUUUUUUAUAUCAUUAAAUUCAAUCAAAUAUGACUGUUGGACUUAAAACUUUUUUCUUUUAAAAAGUGAUAAUAUCACCAGUUUUGGUAUGCUAUUAUAUAUAUAAUUUUUAAUAAUGAAAAGAUACAAUUUUAAAAAUUAAUAAUAUUCAGUUUGUUAUGAAAAUAUACAAUUUUUAUAAUGAACAUACACAAUUUUUCAAACUAAUACAUUUCAGUUUUUCUUAUGAAACAACACAACCAAAGUAGUUAUUUUGAAAAGACACAAUUAUUUAGAUUUUUAGAAAAUACACAACUUUUCAACAUAAAUGAGUUUCAUAACCUUUGGAAUUAAUCAGGAUUGCUAUUAUUAGUAGAUAAAAUACUUGAUUUUAUCAUAUAUAUAUAUAUAUAUUAAUUAACUUUUAGAAAUCCGACAUUUAUAUUGUUUUUGUUACACUAUUUGGUGUAUACAAAAUAUGUUUUAUAGAAUUUAAAAUUUAUUUUUAUAUAUAAUUUUACGAAAUAUUAUCAAAAUAUAUUGAAAUAUUAAGAAAAAAUAGAAAUGAACUUCAUUGUGAAUAUAAAACAAAUAAUACAAUGUUUAAUGUUUGUACUUUAGUGUGUUUAUUAAUUAUUGAAUUUUUUACUGCAUAUUGUUAUAAAUAUAUAUAUUUUAAGAACAUUUGACAAGACUAAACACAUUAUUAUUUCAAGACUCUGAUCUUAUAACGUGUGUUACUAUUUUCAGAAUUUGAUGUUGAUGAGGAACUAGAAGCCAUGGGUAAGGAAAUGGUGGCAUAUUGUGGAGGACUACCAUUAGCCGUUAAAGUGCUGGGAGGCUUGUUAUCUAAUAAAACCAUGGUUGAAGAGUGGAAAAGAGUAGAUGACAAUAUUCAAAGUCAGAUAGUUCGCAUAGAUGACAAAAGUCAAGAUUCUGUUUACCGAGUAUUGUCUAUGAGCUAUGAAGAUUUGCCAACGCAGUUAAAGCAUUGUUUCCUCUACCUAGCUCAUUUUCCCGAAGAUGACAAGAUACAAGUGGAGAGAUUGUAUUAUUAUUGGGAAGCAGAAGGAAUAAUAACGUCAAGUGGCGAUGGAGAAACCACUAGGAAAAUUGGAGAAGACUACAUAGAGGAGCUAGUAAGGAGAAAUAUGGUUAUUGGAGUAAAAGAGGAAUUGAGUUGCAGAUGGGAGUAUUGUCAAAUGCAUGACAUGAUGAGAGAAGUAUGUUUAUAUAAAGCCAAAGAAGAGAACUUUCUUCAGUUUAUCAAAGUCCAUACUUCUUCCACCUCUAACAUCAAUGCUCAUACUCCUACCAGAUCUCGCAGACUCGUAGUACACGGUGGUGGUAGUGCACUUGAUAUGCUGUUAUGUAAAAGCAAUCAAAAAGCUAGAUCUGUUUUGGGUUUUGGACUCGACAGCAACUUGUGGAAGCAGUCAGGUCAAGGACUCAGAAAUUUACUUUUACUUAGGGUCUUAGAUUUAAGUUUAGAAGAUAAAAGCGACUCUAGAGGAGGGAGAAUACCAUCCAGCAUUGGAAAGCUCAUUCAUUUGAGAUAUUUGAGCUUAGACAUGGGUAGUGCAACUGAUGUACCUUCUUCUUUACGGAAUCUAAAGCUUCUAAUCUAUUUGAGUAUUUACUCCAAUGAAAGAGUUCAUCUGCCAAGUAUCUUUAAAGAGAUGGUAGAGUUGAGGUUCCUGGCGCUUCCCCCUCUUAUUGACGCUAAAACAAAGUUGGAAUUGGGUAAUCUUGUGAACCUGGAGUGCUUGACCGGCUUCCGAUCAGAAAACGGUAGCAUCACAGACUUCCUCCGAAUGAAAAAGCUCAGGAAUCUCGAGAUACAUCUCAAAGGCAGGUAUACUUCUGAAAUUCUAGCGUCAUCUCUCUGUGAAUUAAGAAACCUGGAGGUGCUUAGCUUGAUCGAUGAGUACCGAUCCGGUGGGGCUUAUGAUGUGGAUUUCGUUUGGAAUUUCAUUAAGCUAAGGCAUUUAGGGCUGAGCAUACAUGUGACAAGGCUUCCUGAUCACUCUCGAUUUCCUCCCCACCUUGCACACAUAUCUCUAUGUUUCUGUGAAUUGGAGGAGGAUCCACUGCAGAUUCUGGAAAAGUUGCUUCAUUUAAAGUCGGUUGUAUUACAAUACAGAUCUUUCGUGGGGAGGAAGAUGGUGUGUUCAAAAGGUGGAUUCCCUCAAUUAUGUAAGCUAGACAUAGUGUCCCUAUACGACUUGGAAGAGUGGGUAAUCGAAGAAGGGUCGAUGCCAUGUCUUCGUACCUUGGAAAUAUGGUAUUGUGAAAAGUUGAAGGAGCUACCGGAAGGGCUCAAGUAUAUCACUUCUUUAAAGGAACUGGAUAUCGCACAUAAGAACAAGGAGUGGAAGACGAAACUCGUACCAGGUGGGGAAAGUUACCACAAAGUCCAACACAUUCCUAGUGUUCAAUUACACUAUCAUAGCGACGACUCUGAUAUUGACGAAUAAGGAGAAUACAACCGUCUCAGGUAUAAUAUUCUUUUUGGUAUAAUGUCAAUAUUGUUCAUUUUGUUUGUUAUGUAUCCUCCUUGAAGUUUAGUGUGAAAGUCUAAACAGCUGUUAUUCGGUUUUCAGGUGAACCUACUCAGGAUCAGUACCCACCACUAUCGAUUGUGUGAUGUGAUAAUAAGUCGUUUUUGUUGUAUUGGUGUAUGAAGUUUACAUAUCUUGUUUGUGAUAUAUUCCGUUUAUCUGUUUGCAUGCUCAUUCACUGUAAUACUAAGUUUGAAAUACAUUAUUUGUAUGUUGAACCAUAUCUUCUUCGAUGUCUCCGUUGUGUGUGCUUCGUUGAUUUGUUUAGUCCGAACUGGAGAUAGAAUGGUGCUUUGAUAGUGUGAUCACUGAACAUCAUUCUUAACACGAUUUUAUCAUUUGGUUUAACGAAGGUCAAGAUAUUGAGGGAACCCUGAGUUUUCCAAAAAUUUUAAGUAACAAGAGAAACCGGUUAAUUCCAAUCCAGUUCUGUAAUUUGUCUGUCACUACCAAACCGGACCAUAUUGAUGGUUUAAAAACAAAGCUCGGUCUGGAUUAUAAUAUCAAAGAUUAAACAAAGAGUCCUUUCGAUCUCUGCAAAUUUGUUUUGACUCUGAAGAGGAGAAGAAGUGUACUUUCAAUCGCCAAGCGUAUGCAUAACUGGGUUAGAGCUUCCUCAUCCGAUUUCACCGGAACUCCUCCACAGCCCAGGAGGUAAAUUAAUUACUUCUUCUCCAUUCAAUUUUCGAUUUUAAUUUCAGCUGAUGUUUUUUAUUCUUCAUCAGUGGACAUACAGCUGUCAAUGUCGGAAAAUCCAUGGUCGUGGUGUUCGGCGGCCUCGUCGACAAGAAGUUCCUCAACGACAUCAUUGUUUAUGACAUUGGUAAUAUCAUACUUUAGCCUUAGGAUUAUUGUUUCCUUGCUUCAAGAAAGAUGCUUUCUUUCUCACGAGUUACGUUCUUGGCUUGCUCUGUUUGUAAUGACUAUUGUCUCUAGUAGUUUAUUUGAUAGAACGAUGCUUACAUCAAAGAUAGUUACUUUGCAACAAAAAAAAAAAACUAUAGAAAGCUGAAAACUUCAAGAUGAGAUUAUUCGAUUCGGUGUUGUUGAAGAGGAAUCAGAUGGAUACUCUCUUUUCUUAUUUUGCUAGUUUUUGUUUCUGAGCUUCUUUUGUCCCCUCCUUGGCCUUGUUUUAAGUAUCAUACUAGAUCUUGACCCGCACACCCGUGCGGAUGUAUUUAAAAAAAAAAAUAUGAUAUAUGAUGUUAUUUGCUUUUUAUGUCACUAUUUAGGGUUGGGCAAAAACUCAAAUUCGAAAAAUCAAACCGAUCCGAUCCCAAUCCAAAUAAGUAGUACUAAAUCCGAACCAGAAUUGAUUAAAUAUCCGAAUUAUUCAAAAUUUUGGUAUUUGAAGAAUUGAAACCUAAUCCGAUCUGAACCGAAUUAUUUUUAAUAUAUAUAAAAACGUCCAUAAUAUAUAUACAACUAAUUAAACGUAAAUAUCUUAAAUAAUUAAAAAAUACUCAAAUCUCCAAAAAUACUUAAAUAAUUAUUAAUUCUCUAUCCAAAUAUUUAAACCAAACCUAUUUAAAUUGGUUAUCCAAAUCAGAACCAAAUCCUCAAAGAUCUGAACUGAACACGAAAUCCCAAAAAGACCCGAAAACGAACCCGAACGCCCACCCAUAAUCACUAUUAUAUAUAUAUAUGUUAUCAUAGGUUACAAAAUAUGUGUUAUCAUAUAAUUAAUCGUAUUUUAUACGUACCAUCAAAUAAGUUUUCUUAUAAUUAAUAAUAUUUUAUACGUACAAUCAUAUAAAUAAUCACAUAUAUUAUAUUUUAAAAUUUAAUGUGAAAUAUAAAAACCAUAAUUUAAGUUGGUGUUUGAAAUUGGGCUUUGUAUUGUAUUAUUAUUAAAUAUAUUGAAAACAUUUUUAUAAUAGUUACUGGAAAAUAUGUUAGUAAAAAUCAAAUUUUGAAUAUAUGUAUAUUUUUGAAUGAAUUUUUGAUAUAAAUCAAUUUUAAGUUAUUACUUUGAUUUGAACAUAUAUAUCAAGUAACAUAUACCUAUUAGUUUUUAAUAUAAUGUAAUGGACUUUCAAUUUUUUUAAGUAGCAUAAGCCCAUUAUCUUUUUUUCUAACUUACUAUUAUCCAUGUUUUCAAUUUUAACUACUAUCCACAUUACCAAACAAUCCCAUUUUGUACUUGAGUUUUAAUAAGAUAGAUGUUCAGCUUUUUUAAUCAUGUGAUAAUUGGUGGUCUUAUGAUUUGCUUCUUCUUUAAUCCUGUCGACUAGAAAACAAACUCUGGUUUGAGCCAGAAUGUACUGGCAGCGUAUCUGAAGGAAAAGUUGGUCCUACACCUCGCGCCUUUCAUUUUGCCAUCACUAUUGAUUGUCAUAUGUUCAUCUUUGGUGGACGUUCUGGUGGCAAGAGGUACGCACUACUAUUUAUUUGCUAGCUGUAAGCGUUUUUACAUUCUAAAUAGCUUAUUUCUAUAAAUCAAUUUCAGGUUGGGUGACUUCUGGGUUCUAGAUACUGGUAAGUGUGCUUCGGAGUUUUUAUUUCUCUGCUUUGGCACUUCUAUGAGACACCUAUUAAUGACAUUUUCUGCAGAUAUAUGGCAGUGGUCUGAGCUAACCAGCUUUGGCGACUUACCUACGCCUCGUGAUUUUUCUGCUGCCGCUGCUAUUGGCAACCAGAAAAUUGUGUUGUGAGUAUCAUAAAUUUUAGACGUUCCAUCAGCUUGUUGCCUGCAUUGGCUUAACCUAUGACCAUUGGCAGGUGUGGCGGCUGGGAUGGUAAAAAAUGGCUGUCAGAUGUGUAUGUUAUGGACACAAGUAAAACACUUUAUACCUCUCGUCUACUUCAGUUUUGUGAUAAAACUUGUUUUAAGUUUAUGAUAAUGUCAGCUUUUCUUGGUAUUUGCUAGUGUCUCUUGAAUGGAUGGAGCUGUCAGUUUCGGGGUCGUUGCCGCCUCCUAGAUGUGGUCAUACAGCCACCAUGGUUGAGAAGCGUUUACUUGUUUUUGGUGGCCGAGGUAAUACCAAAAUUAAAAAAAAACUGUAGAUUCUUGAUGUUGACUUAUCGCCAUUCCUUUAAUAAGUUAAGGUGUUUGCAUACUAAACCAAUCACCACAACUGAGGAGUGUUCUUGGCGGACUCGCAUUAUGGAUAAAAUUCAAAACUGAAUGAUUUAUUUGCUAUUUUACUUUUUUCAUUCAUCAAACAUGUUAAGGAUGCUGAUGUGUUUGGUUUACCCGUUGCUGUUAAUUAAUAACUUUCAUUUAUUAACGAAGUUUCCUGACCGGGUGUACUGAUGGUAUAUGUUCACAAGAAGUUUUGCUUGAGCUGAUAACAAGUAAACUGAGACUAUGGUGUGUGAUAUGGUUAUCUUUGACAGGAGGUGGUGGCCCUAUCAUGGGUGAUCUGUGGGCUUUGAAGGGUCUAAUAGAUGAAGGUGCAUCCUUGAUUAAAUUACUUCAAAACUGCAUUGGAUCUUAUUCUGGGUUUACCUUUGUUGUGCAAGAAAGAGCGUGAAACACCUGGAUGGACACAACUCAAGCUUCCUGGCCAAGCACCAUCGUCUCGAUGUGGUCAUACGGUUACAUCCGGAGGACAUUACGUAAGUCUUUUCCAGCUCAUGUUUGCUCUUUUGUAUAUGAAUGGCUUCGCGGGACAUACAUCACUCACAUCAUUAAUUUCCAUGUAUGAAGCUUCUGUUAUUUGGGGGACAUGGAACUGGUGGAUGGCUGAGUCGAUAUGAUGUCUAUUAUAAUGACACUAUAAUUUUAGAUAGAGGUACAUUCUUGCUCACUCGUCUCAUUAGCUUCGUCUCCUCUGCUAAAGGAUCACUGGAAAUCUAAAAUCCACCUAAUCGAAGUAUAAUCUAGUGAGAUGAGAAAAUUGUGAUGUAAUUCAUCAGUUUUAUUGCUGUGCAUUGUCUUGUACGCGCUGUUGCUAAAUUUAUGCGUUGUUGCUAGUAACUGCACAGUGGAAGCGCUUACCAGUAAGCAAUGAUGAGCCUCCUCCUCGGUGUGAAGUUUCAGUUCUACGAAGGCUCUGGUCUUGGUGGUGUUGUCAGGCUGCGGUGGAGGGCUUAGCGUUUCUCUUCGGUGUCGAGGAGGUCUCUCUCCCUCUCUCUUCUGUCGUGUGAGCUCUGGAGGUUUCCGCUUCCUCGGAGAUGAGUCGUGGGUUGAGGUAUGCAGUAGGAGAUGGUGCCUCAGUCUAGUUCCGAUUUCCAAGGGUUCUGUGGGUUGCUUGGAAGGAGUCUUCUAUGGUUUUAUUCACGGCAUCUCAACGUCUCUCAUCACUGGAGAUCUUCCCUGCUUGGUUCUCGUUCUGAUUCUUCUGGUGAAUGGCGACGGUCCUCUUCAUCAAAUGCUUGUCCUUGUUCUUCAUGUUUCUUGCUUUCUGUUUGACACCGGAAUGUGACACAGGGAGUCACAGGAAAUUGCUCUCGGUUCUCGAUAGCAGCAAGCGUCGAUUUGUUUUGAGCGUGUGCUCUUUGCCUAUUGGUGUCAAUGCUUGGCCAAUUAGCAAGCGUCGAUUUGGUUUGUUCUUCUGUGGCAGUGUGAGCUGGCUAUAUUUCUGUGCAGGUUCGGAUACUGUAUCAGACGAAAUGUGGUGGCGUUUGCAAGCCCGCCUUUUGGAUCCUAAUUGGUGAUGGAGGGGAGUGUACAGUCCGAGUUCUUGGCGUCGUCACUCAGGUGAAAUGUCCGAAACUCCCUCUGUUUCCAUCGUCAAACGCUUCAUAGACAGUGACAGUUAUAAGCUGGAGUUCAUCGGGAACCAGCUACUCCGUGGACAAAAUGGAAAGUCCCAGCGCAUCCGAAGCAAUAAGGACCGAGACAAUAAGGAAAACCUCACCUUCUCGUGAUCUUCGUCGAUGGUUGAUGUUUGAGAAUGGUAACCAUUCCAAAGAAUUCCAAAAAACGAAUCAACGGAAUGUAUCAUGUUUAGUGGACGGAAAAAGCUAAUUUUGUAAUAGUUUGAGUUUGAAAAUUUUGUACAAAACAGACUUGUAACCAGAUCUGAAUUUCCGAUCCUCAGGUCAAAUUAAUAUAUAUUUUAAAAAAGUCUUUAGUAUUGCAAGACGAAGUAUUCAAGGUGUAUAGGUCAUAGAUUGUAGACGAAAUAUUUAUUUAAAUUUUUUAUAUAUCUUACUUAUGGAGGAAACAUCUUAGUUUGGUAGAAUUUUUCCAUUUUAUUGGAGUCAAGCGGAAAACUUGAUCCAAAGACCAUAAAUCGUUUAAGCAGGAAAAGAAGGAUCUACCUCCUAAGCAAGUUGCAGAUCUGUUACGUGAAAGGUAAAUCACGUUCUUAUAUCAUUAUUUUUCUGUUUAACUUGCUUUGAUCUGUCUUUUAGGCUCUGUUGUGGUUGAAUCUGAUUUACAAACAAAAAUUCGUUGGAUUAUUACAAAUCUUGUUUUACGAAUUAAAAGCAUUUACUCUAAUCUUGUUAUAAAGUGUCUGAAUAAUAAGCUAAGUAAAGUUCCUCUGACAGGUAUCAUGUUUUAUUAUAGAUCAACCAAGGAUUAUCAAAAACGGUUUUAAAUCUUACUACAAGUUUGUACUUAUGUGUUGUGUUGAUGGUGGAACAGGAGAAUAGUGAUGGCUGAGGGAGUUGUGUCGUUUGGAGUGGAGAAACUCUGGGAUCUCCUGAGUCGAGAAUCUGAGCGAUUGCAGGGAGUUCAAGUGCAAGUUGAUGAUCUAAAAUGUCAGAUGAGUACGUUACAGUCGUUGUUGGAAGAUGCAGAUGGUAAGAGAUAUGAGAGUAAAGUAGUGAGAAGCUUCUUGGAAGAUGUCAAAGACAUUGUAUUUGAUGCUGAAGAUAUAAUCGAAUCCUUUCUUUUGAAAGAACUCAGUGGAAACCAAAAAGGGAUCAUGAGGCGUGUGAAAAGACUUUCUUGUUUCUUAGUGGAUCGCCGAGGUCUUUCUAUGGACAUUGAAGGCAUAACUAAGAGAAUGGCCAAGGUUGUUGCGCAAAUGCAUAGCUUUGGAAUACAACAGAUCAUCUACAGAUCACCGUCUCUACAAGAGAGACAAAGGGAGAUCCGACAAACAUAUCCAAAGAGAUCUCAAAAGGAUCUUGUGGGGGUGGAACAGAGUGUUAAGGAACUGGUUGGUCAGUUGGUGGAGAAUGAUAACAUCCAAGUAGUUUCCAUUUCUGGGAUGGGUGGUAUUGGAAAAACCACUCUUGCGAGACAAGUCUUUCAUCAUGACAUUGUUCGAAGUCAUUUUGAUGGAUUCGCAUGGAUCUGCGUUUCGCAAGAUUUUAAGCAGAAGGAUAUUUGGCAAAAGUUAUUGCAAGACCUUAGACCACAUGAUAAGGGCAUCGAACAUAUGAAUGAGAAUACACUCCAGGCUGAGCUCUUUCUCUUGUUGGAAACAUCUAGAUAUUUAAUUGUCAUGGAUGAUGUAUGGAAAAACGAAGACUGGGAUAUAAUAAAACACGUUUUCCCCCAAGAAAGAAGAGGUGAGCUCUCUAAUUGUACAUACAUUACUUAAGUUCUCCCCAUAGCCAUUUCUUAAAUGCCUUUGAGUCUCUGAUAUGAAACUAAAUACAAUUGCAGCUUGGAAGAUGAUUCUUACUUCACGCAAUGAAGGUGUUGGUUUGCAUGCAGACCCAACAUGUUUUCCCUUUAGACCAAAAAUCUUUACUCCUGAAGAAAGCUGGAAGCUAUGUGAGAGCAUAGCAUUCCCUAGAAGAGAGAUAACAGGUACGUUUUUAUAUAAGAAUCACAUGAAUCCUUAAGGCCAGAAAGCAUGAUAUCUCUUACUGGUUUUCUUUAUAAAAAAUGGUGUAGUAAUUCCUAAAUAUCCUCUGAGAUGGCAUAUAUUGUUGUAUAUGUAUUUUUUUUUUUUUGAACAUUUGAAAAGACUAGACACCAUAGGGGUGGGAAAAAGCUGACCCAUCCGUACCCAAGCCAAACCAAAAUCUAUGUUUAAAAAAAAGGUGUUUUUAAUUAGAUUAAUUAAAUAUACUAGUAAUAUUAAAAUCUAAUAUAUUUAUCCAUUUAACCUAAACAACUAAAUAUAAUUUAUACAUUUUACUUCUAAAUGAAUAGAAUAAACAUAACUAAAAAUAAAAUAAAAGAAUUUUAUUUUCAUACAUUAACAUUAAAACCGAAAAAUUACCUAUAUUACUUAUAGUAGGUUUAAAGAUAAUAACAUAAAAUUAUUUGGAAACAGAAUAUGAUGUUGAUGAAGAACUAGAAGCCAUGGGUAAGAAAAUGGUCAUGUAUUGUGGAGGACUACCAUUAGCCGUUAAAGUGCUAGGAGGCUUGUUAGCUAAUAAAUAUAUGGUUGAAGAUUGGAAAAGAAUAAAUGAGAAUAUUCAAACUCAGAUAGUUCGCUUAGAUGACAACAAUCAAGAUUCGGUUUACCGAGUAUUGUCUAUGAGCUAUGAAGAUUUGCCAAUGCAGUUAAAGCAUUGCUUCCUCUACCUAGCGCAUUUUCCCGAAGAUUACAAGAUACAAGUUGGGAAAUUGUGUAAUCUCUGGGAAGCAGAAGGAACAAUAACAUCAAGUUGCGAUGGAGCAACCACUAGGAAAAUUGGAGAAGAAUAUAUAGACGAGCUAGUAAGGAGAAAUAUGGUUAUGGCAGUAAAACAGGAUUUGAGUUGCACUUGGGAGUAUUGUCAAAUGCAUGACAUGAUGAGAGAAGUUUGCUUAUAUAAAGCUAAAGAAGAGAACUUUCUUAAGUUUAUCAAAGUCCCUAAUUCUUCCACCUCCACCAUCAAUGCUCAUACUCCUACUAGAUUUCGCAGACUCGUAGUACAUGGUGGUAAUGCCCUUGAUCUGCUGGGACGUAAAAGCAAUCAAAAAGCUAGAUCUGUUUUGGGGUUUGGACUCGACAGCAACUUGUGGAAGCAGUCAGCUCAAGGACUCCGAAAUUUACAAUUACUUAGGGUCCUAGAUCUGACUCUGAGUUUAAAACUACAUGGUAGAAGCAACUCUAGAGGAGGGAGAAUACCUUCCAGCAUAGGAAAGCUCAUUCAUUUGAGAUAUUUGAGCUUAUACAUGGGUUGUGCAACUCAUGUACCUUCUUCUUUUAGGAAUCUAAAGCUUCUAAUCUAUUUGAAAAUUUGCUCUGGGGCAACAGUUUAUCUGCCAAGUAUCUUUAAAGAGAUGGUAGAGUUGAGGUUCCUAUUUCUCCCCUCUUCUUUUGAGGCUAAAACAAAGUUGGAAUUGGGUAAUCUUGUGAACCUGGAGUACCUGACCUGCUUCCGAGCAGAAUACGGUAGCAUCACAGACUUCCUCCGAAUGACUAGGCUCAGGACUCUCUAUGUAUUUCUCAAAGGCAGGUAUACUUCUGAAAUUCUAGUGUCAUCUCUAUGUGAAUUAAGAAACCUGGAGACGCUUAUAUUGAUCGAUGUGAACGAACCCGAUGAGGCUUAUUAUGAUGUGGAUUUCGUUUGGAAUUUCAUUCAUCUAAGGCAUUUAGAGCUGGCCAUACAUAUGCCAAGGCUUCCCAAUCACUCUCGAUUUCCUCCCCACCUUGCACACAUAUCUUUACGUUACUGUAACAUGGAGGAUGAUCCACUGCAGAUUCUGGAAAAAUUGCUUCAUUUAAAGUCGGUUAAGUUAACAGAUUUUUCUUUCGUGGGGAGGAAGAUGGUGUGUUCAAAAGGUGGAUUCCCUCAAUUAUGUAAGCUAGAAAUAUGGGACCUAAACGAAUUGGAAGAGUGGAUAGUCGAAGAAGGGUCGAUGCCAUGUCUUCGUACCUUGUCUAUUCGGUAUUGUAAAAAGUUGAAGGAGCUACCGGAAGGGCUCAAGCAUAUAACUUCUUUAAAGGAACUGUAUAUCAGACAUAAGAACAAGGAGUGGAAGACAAAACUCGUACCAGGUGGGGAAAGUUACCACAAAGUCCAACACAUUCCUAGUGUUCAAUUACACUAUGAUAGCGACGAAUAAGGAGAAUAAAACGGUCUCAGGUAUGUCUUUUUGGUAUAAUGUCAAUAUUGUUCUUCUUGAAGUUUUGUGUGUAAGUCUCAACUAUCUAACCUUUUUAUUAUUCGGUUUUCAGGUGAACCUACUCAGGAUCAGUACCCACCACUACCGAUUGUGUGAUAUGAUAAUAAGUCGUUUUUGUUGUAUGAAGUUUACAUAUCUUGUUUGUGAUAUAUUCCGUAUAUCUAUUUGCAUGCUCAUUCACUGUAAUGCUAAGUUUGAAAUACAUUAUUUGUAUGUUGAACCAUAUCUUAUUCGAUGUUCUCCGUUGUGUGUGCUUAGUUGACUUGUAUAGUUACCGAACCGAACCUGAGUUUUCCAAAUUUGUCUUUUACUACUAAACCGGACAAAUUGAUGGUUUAAAAACAAAACUCGGUCUGGAUUAUAAUAAAAUCAGAUGAUGAGACUCUACCAAACAAGAGAGUCCUUUCGAUCUCUGCAAAUUUGUUUUUGACUCCAAUUAAGAGGAGGAGAAGUCUAUUAGUUGAAGCGAAUACAAAACGCGGUGAUCCGUGCGUUUCAGACAUCAAUCGCCAAACGUAUGCAUAACUGGGUUAGAGCUUCCUCUUCCGAUUUCACGGGAACUCCUCCACAGCCUAGGAGGUAAAUUAAUUACUUCUUCUCCAUUCAAUUUUCGAUUUUAAUUUUAGCUGAUGAUUUUUUUAUUGUUCAUCAGUGGACAUACAGCUGUCAAUGUCGGAAAAUCCAUGGUCGUUGUGUUCGGCGGUCUCGUCGACAAGAAGUUCCUCAACGACAUCAUUGUCUAUGACAUUGGUAAUAAUCAUCAAUUAUAUUCAGCCUAGGAUUAUUGAUUCCUUGAUCCAAAGAAGAUGCUUUUUUUUUUAUUAGUUACUACUGUCUUGGCUUGUUCUUCUUGUAAUGACUAGUGUUUGCUUCUUCUUUAAUUCUGUGGACUAGAGAACAAACUCUGGUUUGAGCCAGAAUGUACUGGCAGCGUGUCUGAAGGAAAAGUUGGUCCUACACCUCGCGCCUUUCAUGUUGCCAUCACUAUUGAUUGCCAUAUGUUCAUCUUUGGUGGACGUUCUGGUGGCAAGAGGUACGCACUUCUAUAUAUUUUCUAGUUAUAAGCGUUUUUACAUUCUAAAUAGCUCAUUUCUGUAAAUCAAUUUCAGGUUGGGUGACUUCUGGGUUCUAGAUACUGGUAAGUGUUCAAGUUAUAACAAUGUCAUUGAGACCUGCAUAGGGAACUUUUUAAUACUCUGCUGCCAACGUUUUCUGCAGAUAUAUGGCAGUGGUCUGAGCUAACCAGCUUUGGCGACUUACCUACGCCUCGUGAUUUUUCUGCCGCCGCUGCUAUUGGGAACCAGAAAAUUGUGUUGUGAGUAUUCAGAAAUUUUAGACGUUCAUCAGCUUGUUGCCUGCAUUGGCGUAACCUAUGAUCAUUGGCAGGUGUGGCGGCUGGGAUGGUAAAAAAUGGCUGUCAGAUGUGUAUGUUAUGGACACAAGUAAGUUUCUGAUAAUGUCAGCUUUCUUGGUGUCUGUUAGUGUCUCUUGAAUGGAUGGAGCUGUCGGUUUCGGGGUCGUUGCCGCCUCCUAGAUGUGGCCAUACAGCCACCAUGGUUGAGAAACGUUUACUUGUUUUUGGUGGCCGAGGUAUAUAACACCAGAACCAGAAUCUUUGUUCUGCUUGAGCUGAUGACAACUAAACUGAGACUAUGGUUAUCUUUGACAGGAGGUGGUGGCCCUAUCAUGGGUGAUCUGUGGGCUUUGAAGGGUCUAAUAGAUGAAGGUUCAUCCUUACUUACAUUUCUUGAAAAUUGCAUUGAAUUAUGUAGAGGAGUAUUCUCUUGAGUUGUCUUUCUUUCUUUUGUUCUGUUUGCUGAUCUUAUUGUGGUUUACCUUUGUUGUGGAAGAAAGAGCGUGAAACACCUGGAUGGACCCAACUAAAACUUCCUGGCCAAGCACCAUCAGCUCGAUGUGGUCACACUGUCACAUCCGGAGGACAUUAUGUAUGUCUAUUUCAGCUUCCGUUUGCUCUUUUGUAUAAAUAGGUUCGCAUGACAUACAUCACUCACAUCAUUAAUUUUCAUGUAUGAAGCUUCUGUUAUUUGGGGGACAUGGAACUGGUGGAUGGCUGAGUCGUUAUGAUGUCUAUUAUAAUGACACUAUAAUUUUAGACAGAGGUAAAUUCUUGCUUAUGAGAUUCGUCACUCUAAAUCCAAAAAUCCACCUCAGUAAUUUACAAUCUAGUGAGAUGAUAAAAUUGUGAUGUGCUUUAUCAUUUUUCUUGCUGAGCAUUGUUUUCUACGCGUUGUUGCUAAAUUUAUAUUUUCACAUACUAGUAACUGCGCAGUGGAAGCGCUUACCGAUAAGCAAUGAUGAGCCUCCUCCUCCUCGAGCUUACCAUACAAUGACUAGUAUUGUUGCUCGUCAUCUUUUAAUUGGUGGUUUUGAUGGAAAAUCAACCUUCGGUGAUCUUUGGUGGUUGGUUCCUGAAGGUAUCUUUCUCUUAUUUAUACUGAUGUUUUAGUCCAACUUAGCUAUCAUUCUGUGUACACGCAUCAUCAGUUACUUAUAGUUGGAAACUCUUUAGACGAACUAAUCUUGGUGUUGGUCGCAGAUUGUAGGCAAUUUUAGAGACACUUAAUUUCUAGCAUAAUCUUUUUUUUCUUCUUUAUCAAGUUUGUAUUGAAAGUUUUGAAGUUUUACUGAACUGUUUAGCCUUCUGAAAAUGUUGUUAUUCGUUUUUUUCUUUUUCUCUUUUCUCAGAUGAUCCGAUAGCCAAGAGGUCUUCUGUACCUCAACUUAGAAACCCUCCUGAGACUAAAGAGUCAGAGAGAGAUUUGGAUACGGUAACUGUGGUUACUGCUCAUCAUCUUAUGUGUUUCUCGCCAAUGCAGUUAAAUUAGCUUUUCAACGUGUUUUAACACCAAGAGUUUGGUCACAGCAGGAAAGAGGACAAGAGGGAUUCACUAUCGUCGACUUGCAAAAGAAAAUGGGAAUCUCUGUUUCUUCAGGGUUACGCCUUCAAAUACCCGAGGAGUUAGAAGAUCAAGAGUUCGUUGAGUUAGGAACCAGAUUGAUUGAGGGAGAUGCAGUUGAUAAUGGAGCCUCCAUGAUUCAGGUGAGUUUUUCCUCUUGUCUAUUUUAGAAUGUGUGAUUGUGUUAUUCUUGUACUGAAAAUGCUUCUCAAUGAAAAGAUGGCAGCUGAAGCACUUCGUCAACAUUGGAAAGAGUCCACUCCAGAGACUUUGCAAUUAAAGGAGCUUGGUUCCUUGCUUCGAGAUUAUCAGCGACUGGUUACCCGAAAAUACACGUGAGUUCUUAUCCAUGCCUAACUAUUUCAGACUCAGUUCUUGUUUAUGUAGAUUAUCUUUUGUUUCACUAAAAAUGGUUGUUCUUUGAUUGCGCUUGGAAUCACCACAUGGCAUUAGAAUAACUUAGAUAAAUCUCCUGAGAGUUUAGGAGUCAUAUAGAGUUAAUAUGAAUAUAUCAUUUUUGUGUCUUGAAUAGCCCUCGAGACUUUUUAAUCCGAGCAUAUUGUCAAAACUGAUAAUGUUGUGAAUGCAUUGUUUUGUGCCCCUACUAUUACAUGUUAUGAAAUCUCACAUCUGCUUCUUCCUUUCCUUGACACAUGUUUCUUUUCAUUUGUUGUGGCGGGUUUCUAUCAGAUCACAGAGCAGCUUAACAUCUGCUGAUUUUGGAAAGAAGACGUUUACGUUUUAUCAUAUCAAAAAUUCUUCCGAGGUAUUACUCUGCAUACUUUCCUCCCUCGCCUGAAUAUUUGACACCAAUCAAUCAAAACAUCAGGCUUUCCUCCUGACAUGUCAAGUUUACAUUUUGCUAUUCUCAGUUGCGGAUGGAUGACAUUGCGGAGUUGCUGGAAGAAUACAAAACCCUUGUAAUCUGAUUGAGGAGCUCUGCCAUGAAACUCACAAGGAGAAUACAAAACUCAUCAAGUAGCUGCCAAGAAGAUCACCAAGAUUGCUAUCAGCAUUACCAUUGCAAACCACAAAGCUAAAAAGUCUCAAGAGAAUCACAUCUCUGAUAGACAACUAUGUGCAACUUCUUUUUAGCAAGAACAAAAAGAUACAACGUAUAUGUAAGACUUCCAUUAUCUCAACUUAAAUCCAUAUCUAAGCCUCUGCUCUUUUAUUUCUUGUUUGGGCUUUGAAAAUAGAUUGCUUUGCCUUGAAGCCAAUGCGAAAGUAAGGAAAAAAGUAGGCAAACUUCAUCUAUUAGACUUUGAAAUGGAUUACAACAACAACGGUACUCUUGAUAACUUAAACCACAGAGUUUCUGUCUGCAUAGACCCGUAUUGUCUUUUCUCUAUCCCCUAAAACAACUCGAACUCAAGAUGAUCUCCCAUGGCUUUACAUUCAAGAUAUCCAUUACCAUUUCCUUUAGGAGAAGUUGCUUCCGUUGCACCAUUCUCAUAUACAUCCGGCAGCUCAGGCGGAAUGGCGCAGCGGAUGAGAGCCCAGUUCAAUCCUUCAAAGAAUGGAUGCCUCUUGAUCUCUGCAGCUCCUUUCUCCCACCCGAGACGGCUCCCCGGAUCCUUCAUCACCAACCUUCUGAUCAAAUCCUUUGCCUGGAAGCUCACAAGAGGGCUAUCAGGAAACUUGAGGUUCUGAAACACAAACGUCUCCUCAUUGUCAUAACCUUUGAACGGUGUCUUCCCGUAUAAAAGCUCAUAGAGAAGAACCCCAAACGUCCACCAGUCUACUGCAGCACCGUGCCCUUCUCCUUUAAUGAUCUCCGGCGCCAAGUACUCGUGCGUUCCUACAAAAGAGUUUGAUCUUGCUUCAGUUGGUUCAGCCACAAGCUGAGGCAAUGAUCUGAACUGUUGGGUCAGAAGAUCAGGCCUUCUCUGUUUUCUUGGUUUUGAGUUUCUAGCUUGCGUUGACAAGAGCCUAGGGCUGAAACAUGGGACACAGCACGAUGGACUCUAUCUAAAUCACAGGUUCUUCAUCUUCUUUGGAAGCUGAGGAGCUUGAUACAAUAAGUGAAGACGAAGACAAACAGCAGUAUCCAGGCGAUGUGCACUGCAGCUACAGCUGGUAAGAAGUCAUGUUCGAACCCGGAUCCAUCUUUGAGCAACUGUUUUAGUUCCGUGUCUAGGAGACCAGUGUUCUGUACUAUCGAAUCUUGGUCUCCUACUUGAGAUGUGAUGCUUCCAUACAAUGUCCAGCCACUGGCGUUGCCUAGUAAUUAAUAUCAUCUCCACCAUAUCAAUAUUUGCUGCAUCCCCUCCUCCAUAAGAAACAUAAAACAUAAAAGUUAGGUAGCUCUAAAACACUUCUGAUCAUAACAAAAAGUAAGAUCUAUAACACACUUGAUGAUUACGUAACUUGGUUCGUAAUUUUUACCAAUCUUUGGGAUGAGGAACUGGAGAAAAGAUUCCAAAUAGACCGAGGAAGAAAGACAUGCAGAUUCCGGAGAUUUGAUAGUUUGGUGUCAAGGCCACAAAGCAUCAAGCUUGGUAACAUGUCGUAGUAGUAGAAGUAGAACCAGAAGAACUUGACCACAGUACGGUCGUAUCCUAUCAUUGAGUAAAGGAUUAUAGUAUGUAAACUCUAGUUUGUAUGGUGUCAUACUACAUGAUCUAACAACUUUGUCUAUAUUACCAACUAGUGGUAUGCCCGCGCUACGCGCGGGGCGGUUGUCUUGUGUUGUAAUAUUUAUUUUAAAUGUAUUGUCAUCUUUUGUUUGAUUAUAGGUAAAUGAAAAAUUAAUGUAAUAAAAAUUGGUUUGAUUAUAUUAUCAUUAACUCAAAAAAUAAAAAUUAAUUUUUAGUUAUACUUGAGAUCAUGAAGCAUUAUUUUGAUCAACUGAUGAUAAUAGAUAUAAGUUUUAACUGUCAAAGAUAAAUUGUAGAGUACAAUGUGCAUAGUAUAAUAUAGGCUUGACAUUUUAUGUAUAAAUUUAGAUAUCUAUUAGUUUUUUUGUUUGAAAUAAGUAUUUUUUUAAAAUUGUUCUUAUUUGAUUAUAUUUGGGAAAGAAAUGCUGAGAAAGAAAAUUAUUUUGUAAAGAGGGAAUUUUUUUUGUUGUUGAAAUUAAUACAAAGGAGAAAACAGUACAGAAAUGAAACUGGAAAUUAGAAUAUAAUAAACCCCCUUAUUAGUAGUAAUUAAGCUGAAAUCAUAGAUUACUUUCCCUACGUAUGGGACAUUUUUUGUUCGUGCGAAGCCAUCGAUAAAUGUAAGGAAAAUAGAAAUUAUGGUUGCAAGUAAGAGAGUAAAUAUUGUUUUCAUAGUUGAAAUUCCUAAAGCACAUAGUGCAUUCUUCAAUAGUUGGAAGCCUAUUAAUUUCCUCUAAAUCGACGUUAAGUUUUGCAUCGCGUUUUGGUUGUAGCCCUUGAUAGUAAGAGUAAAUUGAAGAUCAUCAGUCAUGGUAUGUUAACAUGAAUUCUAUGCUUUCGGUUGUUGAAUCAUUAAAAUUAAAUUGAUUGUCAAUGAUAGAUGGUAGCUGAAAAUUAAUAAUGGAUUGUUGUGUGUUAGAUCUGGGGAUGUAGACUUGGAGUAUUUGUUGCGGACUUUCUCCUGAAGAUCUUGUUCGGAGUGAUAGCUGAUAAGAGAGAAGUGGUUUGUUAUUUACUUUUGAGUUCUUUGUAAGAGUUUUAUGGUGAAAGUAUGAAAAUGUUUUAUAAAUAUGUCUUAUAGAGUGUGAAUUAAGUUUUUGAUUUAUUUUGACUUCUUCUUACGUUUGGUAUUAAGAACUAUUUAUUUUGGAGGUUUAAUUUUUUGAGUUGAUGGUUUUUGAAGACUUGACUGUUCUGUUUAGGUUGAUUUGUUACUUCUUAUCGAGAUUUUUAUAAUAUACAUAUAGAGUUUAUUUGUAAGAGAAAAUGAUAAUAGGGUAAUUUUCCUAAAUACACAUUUUUAUGUUUUUGUCACAAAAUAGCUUCAAAUGAGUAAAAUGACUAAAAUGUCUCAUUUAAGAGAAAAAGAUAUUUAUACCCUAGAUAUAUAAAUACAAAUAAAAUAUAAUUUAUAGUUUCCAAUUAUAUGUUUUCAAAUUUGAACUUUCUUAUAAAAAUAUAUUUUGUAAAAGUCCAUUCUUUAACUCGAAACCCUAAAGUUUAGAUUAGUUAACCUCAAUUUUAUAAAAAAAUUGAAACCUCUAUCCUAAAACUUUAUCCUUUAACUCGAAACCCUAAAGUUCAGAUUAGUUAACCUCAAGGAUAUAAGUGUAUAUUUAUCUUUUAUUUUGGUUAUUUUUAUUCUAAAAGACUAUAUUUGUGACAAAAAAAAUUUAGGACUGUAAUAGGAAUUUCUCAUGAUAAUAUAUGCUUUUUAUAUUUCGAUGAAUCUUAUUAAUAAUAUAAUUUUAGUUUGGUUAAUUAUUAUUAUGGUUUAACAUUUCAACGAUAGUUUUACUCUUAAUUUUGAUGUUUCUAUAAUGUGCGUUGUUCUAAACUGAAAUUAAUUCGUAUUAGUUAUUUGUAGUUAUGUUAAUAUAUAUUUUUAUUAGUUUUAGUAUAGUUUUAAUGUCCUUGGCUAAAAGCAUUCUACAAAACUAUAGUAUAGUAUAGUUUUAAUUUGGGUUUCCAUAUUUAAUGGAAACGUAGUGGGUCUAGGAGAUUAAUGGUGUUCUUUUGUUGCUGUUGGAAUACGUUAUUGUUUUCAAAGUUUUGAUUUGAGUUAUUAAAUUUAUCAUUUAUAAUUUGAGAUUUUAUAUCAUGAAACUUUAAAACACGAUUGUUUUGUGACUUGUUUGAAAUAAUUAGUAUAUUAUACUUUAAAUUUUAUAUUAAUUUAUUUUAUCGUUAGUAAUUAACAAAGUUCAAGUUAUUCUCCCAAUAAUUGGUUCCAAAAAAAUAAUUGUGCUUUUUCAGUAAUUUACUGUUAAGAAAAUAAAGUUGUAAAUGUUAUGUGAUAUAAUUUUAAGUUAUAUUACACUGUUAUUUUAUAUUUUCUACAAAACAAUUUAUGGACAUUGUUAUUUUUGGCUCAUUUGAAUACACGAAAAAAAAUCUAUUGAUGGACUACACCUACGUUUGGGGAUUAGCAUACAUCUUUUCAUAUGUUUCCUAGGUUAAUAAAAUAAUAUUUCUAUUUUAUCUUCUAUUUAAAUUUAAAAUUUCUAAAUAUCCAUUUUGAUUAUAUAUUUUAUAUAUUUUGAGUAUCGUUGGCUGAAUUUCCUCUCAAAUCCUAGUUACCAAUAUGCCUUAAUUGUUUAAAAGUAGUAGAAAAGCCCAAUAAAAAUCUCUAAACCGAAGACGUUAUAGAGAUGAAGUCUCAGAUUCCGGAAGAGGAAGAGGAUGGAGCAGGAGAGACCCCGAUGGCGAAACAUAGAAACCCUAAAAGAACAAAUUAAGUUUUCUAGAUGAAGAGAAGAGCCCAGAGCCCAGGAACACAUUAAACUAUUCAGAGAGAAAGAGAAUGGCCCACGAAACAAAAACAAACGGACAAAACAAAAUAAACCCACGAAACAACACAAUUUAAGAAACGUAAAUGAAAUCAAACGAACAAAAGCUUUGUAAAAUAGAGACACGUGGCGAAAUUUAGAUAUAUGAGUGCUGAGGUGGAGGCCUGAGGAGCCUUUCCAAGCUACUUUAUUAAUAUAGAUUUUCCCAAUUAAUUAUUUCUAACGAAAAUAUAAUGUAUAAAUAUCAAUGAAUAUAUUUUGAAAGUUGAAAAUGAGGAAGAAAUUUUUUUUUUUACCAAAAAGAAUAAUAAGGGAGAACUAUAGUGAAUGCUUCGAGUGGGCUUAAGCAAACGCAUUAUUGCCUGCGAAAAGUCAUUAUCGCUACAGACUAGAAAACUCACAUAUUUUCUUUUUAUUCAAAAUUAGAACCACAGAUGGCAGCCAAUAUAGACUGUUGAUAAGAUUGACUUGGAGUCUACUCUUUCAUUGCCACUCAUAUCUCUUCUUCCAAAGAACCUCUCUAAGCAAGUUGAAGAGCUGUUACAUGAAAGGUAAAUCAUGUUCUUGUAUCAUUAUUUGUCUGUUUAACUUGCUUUGAUCUGUCUUUUGGACUCUGUUGUGGUUGAAUCUGAAUUUAAAAACGAAAAUUCGUUAGAUUAUUACAAAUCUUGUUUUACGAAUUUAAAGCAUUUAAUCAUCAAAUCUUGUUAUAAAUUGUUUGAAUAAAAGUAAGUUAAGUAAAGUUCCUCUGACAUGUAUCAUAUUUUAUUAGAUAAACCAAGGAUUAUCACAGCGGUUUUAAAUCUUACUACAAGUUUGUACUUAUGUAUUGAUGGUGGAACAGGAGAAUAGUGAUGGCUGAGGGAGUUGUGUCGUUUGGAGUGGAGAAACUCUGGGAUCUCCUGAGUCGAGAAUCAGAGAGACUGCAGGGAGUUCAUGAGAAAGUUGAUGAUCUAAAAUGUCAGAUGAGAAUGUUACAGUCAUUGUUGGAAGAUGCAGAUGCCAAGAGAUAUGAGAGUAAAGUAGUGAGAAGCUUCUUGGAAGAUGUCAAAGACAUUGUUUUUGAUGCAGAAGAUAUAAUCGAAUCCUUUCUUUUGAAAGAACUUAGUGGAAACCAAAAAGGGAUCAAGAGGCGUGUGAAAAGACUUUCUUGUUUCUUAGUGGAUCGCCGAGAUAUUUCUAUGGAAAUUGAAGGCAUAACUACGAGAAUGUCUAAGCUUGUUGCGCAAAUGCAGAGCUUUGGAAUACAACAGAUCAUCUACAGAUCACCGUCUCUACAAGAGAGACAAAGACCAAGGGAGAACCGACAAACAUAUCCAAAGACAUCUCAAAAGGAUCUUGUGGGGGUGGAACAGAGUGUUAACGAAUUGGUUAGUCAUUUGGUGGAGAAUGAUAGCAUCCAAGUAGUUUCCAUAUCUGGGAUGGGUGGUAUUGGAAAAACCACUCUUGCGAGACAAGUUUUUCAUCAUGACAUUGUUCAAAGUCAUUUUGAUGGAUUCGCAUGGAUCUGCGUUUCGCAAGAUUUUAAGAAGAAGGAUAUUUGGCAAAAGUUAUUGCGAGACCUCAGACCACAUGAGAAGGGAAUCGAACAUAUGAAUGAGGAUACACUCCAGGCUAAGAUCUUUCAUUUGUUGGAAACAUCUAAAUACUUAAUUGUCAUGGAUGAUGUAUGGAAAAAAGAAGACUGGGAUGUAAUAAAAGACGUAUUCCCCCAAGCAAGAGGUGAGC
RNAcentral lists this long non-coding RNA (117304 nucleotides) under Brassica rapa (field mustard). RNAcentral's name for it is "long non-coding RNA (BRAP_LNC003300)". The stretch from base 49325 to 49431 matches the Rfam family "Plant small nucleolar RNA R71". The record is from RNAcentral. Lineage: Eukaryota; Viridiplantae; Streptophyta; Magnoliopsida; Brassicales; Brassicaceae.